CUUCCAUAACUUGCCUUGCAACUUGCUUGACUAGCGUGGUUUUACCCACGCCGCCCAUCCCGUAGACCCCAAUUAUCUUGAGCUUAUCAUCCUUCAACGCCUCCACAACAUCUUCAAAUACUUUCAUUCUUGAAUCAAAGGCCUCGAAAUCUUUCACUUGCAUAUGUUCUGCCCGCUUUGGAGCAGGACGGUAGGAAACAUUAGAGAAGUUACAUUUUCCCAUGAGACUAGCAGCAGCUUCUGCGGCCUUUGCUGCUUGUCUACUGAGCUUGUAACGAGAAAUCAAGUUUGGGCACAAUCCUUUGAAACAGAACUUCUUAGCUCUAUCUUCAUCAUCAGUGAUGGAUUUCGCAGCUCCCUGACUGAAUUCCUUGACGCUAUUAAGCCAGUCUGCAACAUCCUUAUAAAUCUCAUCUCCUUGUUGAGUAGCCUGAUGAACGGGUAUUUCCACCCUUUCUCUUUUAUAUCCCAACUGUUUCACUUGAUCUUUUAGGCCAUCUAUGUAGCUCUGGUACUUGAACACAUAAGAGAUCUGCCGUAUAAUCGGUUUGAACAGUGACUUUGCAUCUUCUGAUACGAUGCUGGAAAAAGCAGCCAGACCCACUUCUGCAACCAUUGCCUGUUGCUUAACAAUAUAUGUAUAUAUAUGAAUAAAAUGAAUAAAAAUGUCAAAGAAAGGAAUACAAAUAAAUUAAAAUGAACUAGAGGGAAAGACAGAGAAAGAAAAGACCGCAAACAACAUCGCGAUAUUGAUUUUGAACCAACUGAUACAUAAGUAGAGAAUUUCUUUUUCUAUCUUAAGGAUCAGAGGUUUUGCUAUUAACAGAAAGGUAUCCUUUAAGGAAAGUUGAUGGAAAUUAAGAAAGAAUGGCUAUCAAGAUCAAGUAUUCUGCUACUAAAAAUAAAUGAUAUGACUUAAGAAAAGUAAAUGAUAUGAUUAAGAAAAACCAGAGAAUUUUUUCCUAGGAAAGUUGAUGGAAAUUAAGAAAGAACCGCUAUGAAGAUCAAGUAUCAGAGAUUCUGCUACUAAAAGAAUAUUACAGGUUUUAGAACAAGUGCACCUCUUUACCUGUCUGGGAUCAGAGUCGAUGAGCUGCUGUAUUCACCUUGAAUAUAGAAGAAAUAUUACAGGUUUUGACUAAAGAGGAAUGUGAGGAACGAGUUGAUGAGAGUAAUAACAAUGAAUUUCCAAAAGAAGACGACUUGAGCAUUAAGCAUGCACCCCCUUUAUCAAUCAAAUAUUGGUACGUAUGUACGUAGGGACCAUUAUGCGUAUAUGAAGUCCAUUAGUUGCAAUCAGAAACCCUGGCCCAAUUUAAUUGACACUCGAUUUUUGAUAAGAAGAAGGCAAGGAUAAGGACAAAGUCAAUCAAUCACCAACAGUAAUUACUUCAAUCUUUGUCAAUCUACUUAAAUUGUCGAUCAACAUGAAAAUUGUUUAAAUUGAUAUUUGUAAAUCAAUCAAUUUUCUAGUUACUAUGAUUAUAACGUUUCACCUUUCAUAUUGGAUUUUAUCUUUUCGAAAGUUUUCAAAUAUGAGUGUCAAUAAUUAUUGAGACUCCAAGCCGUGCUCUCAAGAUCGUGCUGACAAAUCACUAUUGACUUUGUUUAUGCAAAAUUCAAAGAAAAAAAGUUAUGGUUUUGUAUUGCCAGCCCUGCUACUUUUUGUUUUUUUCAUUUGUAUUAUUUACGAAUUAUUUUUUAACAGAAACAUGAGAACUCAUCAUCGUAUAAAAUUGCAUGAAAAAAUCUUCAAAUUUAUAAAAGUAAAUUUCAUUGACAGAUUGUGGAUAUGUUAGAAAGAAUAAGGAUAAGAAUGAGUUAAGAAAUAAUAUAUAUAUAUAUAUAUAUAUAUAUAGAUAGAUAGAUAGAGAGAGAGAGAGAGAGAGAGAGAGAGAGAGUGAAAGUAAACAAUGUUUUGGUACAUUUGGUAUUGUUUUCAAAAUAUUUUGAAAAGAAAAAUUUUCAAUUAUCCAUCUAAGAAUUAUCUUAUUAUCCAAAAAGUUAUAAAAAUUUAAAAAUAUUUAAUUUUAUACCCAUUAUUACAAUGUGUAUCAACUGUUUACUAAAAAAAUAAAGUUACUCCUAAAACAUAAUCACCACUACAAUUUUGUGUUCGGUUCUAUUUUGUCACUUUGAACGAAUAACUUUAUAUUUUUAACAGAUGUUUCAUACAAAUUGCAUACAUUGGAUGUAAAAUUAAAUAAAUUUAAAUUUUUAUAAUAAUUUUAAUAAUUGAAUAAACUUUGAGUAAAUGACUGAUAAUUUCUCUUUUAUAAGCUACAAGAAGUUAAAAAGAAAAAAGAAAAAAUAGGAUGAUAAUUUCUCUUUUAUAUGCCUCAGAUGAUUUAUUGUUUCGGGUCUAAGAUUUUAAUUAUUCAACUUAAAAGAUUAAUAUAUUAUAAAUUAAUUAAUUAAAUAAUCAUUAAGCAACUAAAUUGGGUCCCCUGGAUGUCAAUUCCUUUAAUAUUGACGCAACUAUUUUUUUCUGGCAAAUAAUUAUUAAUGCACUGACGGAACUUUUGCAUAUCUACACAGCGAUUUUAAAUAUUACUGGUAACUGCUGAGAAAUGUGCGAGAAAGAAGUUGAUGAGAGUAAUAACAGCGACUUGCAAAAGGAAAAGACAGAAUCAUUCACCCCUUUUUGUAUCACCUAUUUGGUUACUGUUUCCCUGUUGACGCAUGUAUAAAUUUGACUGGUUUUUCUGCACUUUUUUGGCUGUUGCUUAACAAUGUGUGUGUGUAUUUGCUGUUGAAAAAAUUGGAUUCAAAUAAAUUAACUGAAAGAUUAGAGUUUUGACUAUUAACUGAAAGGUUUCAAGGGUAUGAAUGAAAAGCAACAUUCUUUUUUAGAAACUAUUUUAGAGGAGAGAUGCAAAUUAACAAAUGCUAAUAACAAGAACACAGAAGUUAACAAUGAACAGUAACUUAAAUCAAGAAAAUUAAAUGACAAAAUUAAGACAAACAAGAGAUAUUUUUUUCUUGGACAUUAAGAAAUAACUGCGGUCAAGAUCAAGGAGAUUAUGCUAUUAAUAGAAAUUAUCAAAGGAUUUAGAACAAGUUCACCUCUUUAAUUAUCCGGGAUCAGAUAGUUGAUGAGCUUCUCUAUUUAGCCUUGAAUAUUUAAGAAUAAUUUUAAAGAGCAAAAAGAUCACUGGUAACUGCUGAAAAAUAAGUGAGAAAAGAGUUGAUGAGAAUAAUAACAAUGAAUUGAAUAAAAAAAGGACUUAAUCAUGCACCCCCUUUGCAUAUCAUGUAUUUGGUUACUGUUGCCUUGUUGACGCAUGUAUAGAAUAAUUACAUGUAUUAUUAUAAUUUUGGAUUCGAUAUCCUUGUAUUAGUGUCUAAGAUUUUCAUGAAGAAUUAAACUUGGAAUGACCAAAAGAGGAAGCUGCAGUGUAUUGUUGGACCCAAUUAAGUUGAAGAAAGCACUAGUUCACAACCUUACGUUUGGAUAUAUUCUAAAGAAAUAAUUAAACAGCAAAUCAUCACAUGCACUUUAAUGAUUUGAUCUAUUGUUUUCAAAAGAAAUUGCAAUUAACAGUUUUUGUCAAAAGUUCGCACAGCGUGAAACUAGUGUUAGUAUAAUUUAAAAAAUUAAUUUCAGUAUUAUUUUUUAAAAUGUUAAUUAUUAGAUUUAUUUUAAUAAUAUAUUUAUAUUUAUUAUAAAAAAUUUAGUUAAAUAUUUGUGUUAAAUAGAAUUUAUAAUUAAUUUAAUAUAUCUUAGGUAUUAAUAAUAUUAUAAUUAUUCUAUAUGCUAUUGAAAAUAAUUUAAAUUUUUAGACAUUUAUUUUAUAUUAAGUUUCUAUUUAUUACAAAAUUUAGUUUAAUAUAGUAUAAGCUUGUAAAGUAUUAAAAUAUUUUUUUCAUUUUUUUUAAAAUAUUAAAAUUAUUUUAAAAUAUAUAUAUUAACAUUGAAGCUAAUUUUUUGAGUUAAUAGAGCUAGUAGGUGUUAUAGUAAAAAAGAGUAUCUUAGUAUCUCUUAUUGAAAAUAUAUAGAUCUAUAUAAUCAUUUUUUCAAAUAUUGAGAUGUAGAAAAAUAAAUUAAAAAAUUUUAAAUUUUAAUAUGGCCAUCGUAGGGUUAGAAUCCCCGCUCCAACCCGAUUUGGAGAUUUAUGUUUUUAAAAAAAAAAAGAACAAAGAAAAAAUACACACCCGACCAAAUCAAGCACCUCAUCAAAUCAAAAAUAAAAAAGGAAAGAAAUUAAUGGCUUGCAUGCAAUUUUGGAUCUGAAAUUAAAAUUACAUAAAAAUUAAGGCUUACGUACCUUAAUAUUUACAGCUUGUUUGAUGGCCCCAACAAGUUUAAGCAGCAUCAAAAUGUUGUGGCUCCUUAAAUGACAACAUCGACUUGUUUGACAGCUCCAACAAGGCUACGAUGAUCAGAAGAUGAGCCCUCAAUCAACAAGGCUAAGAUUGGCUUCUCUAUCCUCUGCCGACAUGUCCUCUUCUCCCAACAACCAGCGCCUUGCUCUUUGUCAUUUUUCCUCUUGUUAGUUUUCUUCUACAUAUAAUUAUUACACUGGGAAGUAUACACACACUUCUUUUCUUUUUAUAGUACCUUACUAUUAUAUCUUUACAAAACAAUAUCACCCUAAGACAUAUAUGUAUGAAAUAAAUAUAUAAGGAACGGACGAAAUAAAAUUAGAUCUAACACUAGUUUCAUGUGGUGUGUGAACUUUUGACAAUCCUCUCAUACCCCAACAAAAACUUUGUCAUAUUACAAAAGUUAUCACGACCAUAGACUUUUCAAUUGCAUAUUGGAAUUGCAAUGUCAUUUUAUUAUAGUAAUGUCAUUUCCAUUAUUCAUAGUGGCAGACAAUGGACAUCACGGGACACGGCUAGAAGUUAUCACGACCAUAGACUUUUCUAAUUUAUGAAAUAAAUGAAAUUAGAUCUAAUUCUAGUUUCAAGUGGUGUGAACUUUUGACAAUCCUCCCAUAUCCUAACAAAAGCUUUGUCAUAUUGCGAAAAUACCUUUUCAAUGUUUCAAUUGCAAUGUCAUUGCCAUUAUUCAUAGUGGCAGACAAUGGACAUCACGGGACAUGGCUAGAAGUCUAUGUUACGGCUUCUGUAAGUAACAGCAGCCAAUGGGGAACUUCCAUGGGGGCUAUAGGAGAGAGAAAGAGGUCCCAAUACAAGUGUUAGAGUACAAUUUAUACACUAGUUUUGCAUUGUUUACUUCCCUUAAUAUCGAUGUUUUGCAUUUAAUAAUAAUGAUUUACUUGUGUUUUACUUUUGUAAGUGCAAUUCUAUUGAUUUGUGAUAGAAUUGAGGUAUAAGAUGAUGUUUAAAGAUGAUUGUUCUCUUGGAGAAAUUUAGAGCGUCAGAAGAACUUUAUAGAUAAGGCGUGGGCGCGUGCUGUCAACUGCGGACCUGCAGUUUUUAGUUUAAUGUGUUUUGUAUUUUUGGCUAUUUUUGUAAUUACGAAUUUAAUAUUUCAAAUAUUAUUAUUUUAUUUUAAAUAGAACUUUAAAAGAGAAGAGAGAGAGAGUAUUUAAGGGAGGAAUCUAUUGUGAAAAAGGGGGGAUUUUAAUUGGAGAAAAAGAAAGAAACCCUAGAUCUAAUUUUUCUCUUCUCUCUAUGAAAAACUAAACUUAUUUUUUCUAGUUGAAGGUUAAUGAAUUUUUGAUUCAUCACUACUGUGAGAUCUUUCUUAUGCUUUAAUUGUUUUAUUACUUUUUGGGUAUUUGUUUAUUCUCUGAAUUAGUUUCAUGAUUAUGUUUGUUAAUUAGGUAAUUGGCCACUAUUUAAUUAUCAACUUAAUCUAUUGUCAAUUAAAGAAUUCAUCGUAUGACGAGUUUAAUGUUUGUGACAAAUAACAUAGCAGUGAGUUGUGUUAUGGGAAUAAACAAUCUAAUUUAAAUGAAUCAUCAUAUGUGUUGAUUAGGAUUUGGGUCGCUCUGGUUUUUCAGGCUGUCAAUUGAUUAAAUCCUAUGAUCGUAUCUAGGGUUGUCUAUUAAUUAGGGAAAUAUCCAAUGGUCGUACCUUGGUUAUCGACUAGUUAAGGAGAGAUUGGCUAUUAGAGGGUCUCAAUAGCUAUAACCAGUUUAUUCAUAAGUAAUAAUAAUCUAUUUUUGAAUCAAUGAUCAGUAGUCGAAUCAAACUGAGUUAAUUCCUUCAACCAAAGCUUUCUCCAAUUUGAAUUACAACUUUAAUUUGCAUUUUUGUUAUUUUAAUUUGAUUUUUUAUUAUUGUCAACAAUUCUCCCAUUUUACGUUUUACGUUUCAAAAGAAUUUAAAUAAUUACCGAUCUCUGUGGACACAACCCUGCUCAAUCACUAUACACAAUUUAUUUAGAGUAGGAAUUUAUUUUUAUUGGCUUCAACAACCAUCAACAAGGUGAUGGAAAUGGGAAAGUUCGAAGCUGUUACUUUCAGCUUCUGCACCGUAGCCAUGUCCCACGGGACAAGGCUAGAAGUUAUCAUGACCAUAGACUUUUCUAAUUUAUUUUUUCCUUUCAAAAAGGGACAAGGAUAAGUUUGGGAGAAUGAUUAUAUUUUUAAUAAAAGAAUUCUUUUUUAUUAUAAUACUUUUUGUCUUUAUUAAUUUAAAAAUAUUAACUCUUAUAUUUUAAUAAAUAUAAAUAUAAUAUUAUAAUAACAUAUAACAAUAUAUACAAAUAUUUAAAAAAAUUUAAGAUUUUAUUAAAAUAAAUUUUAUAAUAAAUAAAAAUACAUUAUUAAUAUAAUUUUAAUAAUUUGCAUUUUAAAAAGUAAUACUGAUAUUAUUUUUUAAAUAUUAAUUUUUUAAAUUAUAUUACUCUACCAAAAAAAAUUAAACUAUUAAAUUAUAUUGAUAUUUAUUACAAAAUUUGCAAUUAAUUCUUAUUAUAUUUUUAAUUGGAAUUUGUUCCUGUGAUAUAACAACAAUUGCUACAGUUUUUUCCCUAAAUAAAGAUGGAGUUAUAAAUUAUUUGUGUAAGUGUCAUGAAAGUAAUAGUUGAAUAACAAUAAUGGGGCUUUAGGCAAUUUUUUUUAUGAGGUCUUCUUGCAAUUUCAACACUUAAACAGACUUGUCCUUGAUCCCAAUUUAUUUACCCCAUUUGGGCCCACGAUGAGAUAAAUAUAUUCCUGUGAGAUGAAAAACAUCAGGAGAAGAAAAUGUUUUAUUAUAAUAAAAAAACAAGUGGUCCAUAAGUCUAUUUAUUACUUUUUUUAUUCAAUACAAAUGGCCAACUUAAAAAAUGAUAAAAAUCACAUAACGCACAAGCAAAAAUUUAGAUUUACAUUUUUUAGUUCUCUCCGUGUCUCUCUUUCUCUUUUUUAAAAAAAAUAAAUAAAUGUCAGUGUAAAAUUAGAAAAAUUUUAGAUAUAAACUUUGGCGAUGACCAAACAAAAAUUGCAAGGGAAAGAAAAUAGAGGACCCUUGAUAUCAUUAAAAUACUGAUCAUAGACACUACAAUAUAAAUAACUUGUUGUGAUCCACUCAACUUGUAACACUUUAAUCCAUAUUCUAAAAUUUGUAUGUUUGUUAGGAAUUUUAUUAUUGACAUUACUGUACCAAUAAAAUUCUAAUUUAUUCAUAUGGAAAGAAAACAUCAAGAAAGGACCUCUGAUUUUUAUUAUAACAGAAAAAAGUGGUCCAUAAGUCUAUUUAUUAUUUUAUUUAUUCAAUACAAAUUGCCAACUUAAAAAAUGGUAAAAAUCACAAAAUGCACAAGUAAAAUUUUAGAAUUACAUUUUUUUUAAUUCUCUUUGAGUCUCUCUCUCUCUCUCUUUAAAAAAUAAACCUCACUGUAAAAUUAGAAAAAAUUUAGACAUAAAAUUUGACAAUCACCAAACAGAAAAUGUAGGGAAAUGAAAAUGGAGGAGCCCUAUUAUCAUUAGAAUAUUGAUCAUAGAUACUAUAAUGUAAAUGAUUUGUUGUGGUUCAUUCAACCUGUCACACUCUAAGCCAUUUUCUAAAAUUUGUAAGGUUUAUAGGAUUUUUAUUAUUGGCAUCAUUGUAUCAAUAAUAUUAUAAAUUAUAUAUUCUAUUGUAAUGAAAAUUUGUGUAAUCUUAGGUAUUUAUUGUAUUAAAUUGUGUGGAUUAAUUAAGAAUAUUUUUGGAGACAAAAGAGGUGUGUGUACGUAGGAUUAAUAAUAAAAAAUUUCUAAAUAAAGGUGAUUGCUUCAUUGACAAGUACAUAUUUAUAUUCUCUAUUAGUAUUUGGGUUGUAAACUUUGUUUAUAAAGUGAAUAUAUUGUGGUAAGCGAUGUGGGCAAUAUCGGAUGCAAAAUAUUGAGAGAUCAUUAACGCAUAUAUUUAUUGCAUAUAGAGGAAAGAGUGUAGAUCCGGCCGUAACAAUUAUGAAGCUUUCCCCAAGUAUUCUCACGCUUCCUUAACUGUUCCAAAGUAUUUUUCAUAGUGUGCAGAUUUACUUUAUGGUGUCUUAAUUCGUCUAAAAUGAUUACUUUAGUUCUUUUGGGAUGAAAGGUCAUUUAUUGUGUUAGGAUUAAACAAUAGAAAAAAUAAGUAAUGGUAACGAAAGACUAAUUUGUGAUAUUGAAGCAUACAUGCUUAACUCAAUCCAAAACUUAGUAAGUUAGCUCAAGAGUUAAGAGUUGUCCAAAUCUUAUAUGCUGAACCCAAGUUCAAUACUCAAUUGAUGCAGGAUGUUAUUCCUAACACCGCCCGUCAUGCGUAGGAUUGGCAAAAAAACUCGAGUCAAUCCCGCCUAGACCUGCAAGCUUUAUUUAUGGCCAGCAUGAUGAAGUUACAGAUAUUAACCUAAAAAUUUGAAACUUACUAUGAAUGGCCUUGGUUAAAGACUUUUGUAACUUUAAUUUAUAACAAAUAUGUAUACACACACACACAUGUUUAGAUUGCAUUUGGGUGACUUUUUUUAUCAAUGCAAACAAUAUCAAAUUUAUCGGAUUAAUUUGAAUCUGAUCUAUAUCCGAUUUUGCCCGCCAUAAGCCCAAGUGACUCUCUUUUACUAAUUAAUAAGGGAAUUUUUUGACCUCAUGUCCUUGCUGUGGCAUUAGACUGUUGGUCAUUUUGAUUGUUUCCUACCUUCCAUUUACGCCAGCUGUAACAUUGUAUUAUUCACCAUUUUAGCCAUUUAAAUGAAAUUUUAUUUUUGUCAAAAAUAAAAUGACACCCUUAAAAUAAAAAAAAAUAGUUAUGUAGACCUCAAAUUUUUAAUAAAGAAUGUCAAUACCUCUUUUAACUACAAGAUUCGUAGUAGAUGAUAAAAAGAAAAUUAACUUCAAAUUUUUUCAUUAAAUGUAAAUCUGAUUGAAGUAGUUUAAAUUUUUCUAGUAGACUAAUAUAUAUAACUUAAAUAAUUAAUUUCAUUAUUAAUUGUUAAAAUGUUAACCAAUAUAUUUUUAAUUUAUUAUAAAAAUUUUAAAUAAAUCCUUGGAUUAAAUAGAUUUUACAAUUAAUGUAAUACUUCUGAUUUAUUAAUAAUAUUAAAAUUAUUUUAUAUGAUAUUCAAAAUAAUUUAAACUUAUAUAUAUAUUAAUAUUAUGUCUAUUUAUUAUAAUAUGGUUUAAUAUUAUACGGGAUUGUAAAAUAUUAAAAUAUUUUUCAAUAUCCAAUUAUUUUAAUAUGUAUAUAUCAUUACAUUUAUUUUAGUAUCAUAUUUAUAUUUAUUAUAAAAUAUAAAAUUAAUAAAAUUAAAGAGUAUUGCAGUAAAGUAAAAAAGAAAAGUCUUAUUAUCUCUUAUUCACGAUAUGAGAUUCUACAAAAUUAUUUCCCGAAACGGGUGUCCUUUUCUCAUUUUCAAAAGAAAAAAUAAAGUAAGAAUAAGUCCAUGGGUUUCAAAAACUUCUAGUCUUAUCCCGGGACUACAUUGUCUGCCACUAUAACUAAUGGAAAUGACAAUACAAUUGACAUUGCCUUUCGCAACAUGACAAAUUUUUGGUGGGAUAUGGAAGAAUUGUCAAAAGUUCACGCCAUGUGAGAGUUUUUGGUGGGAUGUGGGAGGAUUGUCAAAAGAUCACACCACAUGAUAUAACCACAAUUGCUAUGGUUUUUAUUUUUUAAAUAAUGAUGGGAGUUAUAAAUUAUUUAUAUAAAUUUGCGUAGAAACUAAUGUAACAUAAAAGAAGUAGCUGAAUAACAAUAUUUGGUGCUUUAGGUAAUUUUUAUAUGAGCCUUUCUUUUAUUUAGCGGCUCUAGUGCUUAAACAAACUUGUUCUCGAUCUUAUAACAGAAAAGGCAUCCCAUUUAAGCCUAUGAUGACAUAAUUAAACAUAUUCUUUUGUGACGAAAACAUCAAGAGAAGACAUCUCAUGUUUUAUUAUAACAGAAAAGAAGUGGUCCAAACGUCUAUUCGUUAUUUUAUUUAUUCAAUAUAAAUGGCCAACUUUAAAAAAAUGAUCAAAAUCACACAACACUCAAGUAAAAAUUUAGAAUUACAUUUUUUAAUACUCUCUAAGUCUCUCUCUCCUGCCCCCCCCCCCCCCACCCCGUCCCCUUUUUUGAAAAAAUAAACCUUAGUGUAAAAUUAGAAGAAUUUUAGAUAUAAAAUUAGAAGAAUUUUAGAUAUAAAAUUUGGCAAUCGCUAAACAGAAAAGCAGCGGAUUGAAAAUAAAAAAACUCUAUUACCAUUGGAAUAUUGAUUAUAGACAAUAUAAUAACUUGUUGUGGUUCAUUGUAGCACUCUGAGCCAUAUUCUAAAAUUUAUAGGUUUGUUAAGGCAUUUAUUAUUGACAUUAUUGUGUCAAUACUAUUAUAAUGAUAAUUUGUCUAGUCUUAGGUACUUAUUAUAUUAAAUUAUGUAAAUUAAUUGAGGAUACUUUUAGAGACAAAAGAAACACGUGUAUGUAGGAUUAAUAAUCGAAGAAUUGUAAAUGAAGGUGAUUGCUUCAUUGAGAGGCAUAUUAAAUAAUUAUGGAGAGUUGCACUAUUUCGGAAGCACAUAAUUAUACUUCCCUAUCAGGAUUUGGGGUAAACGAAGUGCUUUAUCUAUUGCAGUAAGCAAUGUGGACAAUAUCAGAGGCGAAAUAUUAAAAGAUCAUAACGCAUAUAUUGGAGCCAUUUAUCUUCCGCAACUGUUCUGAACUAUUCUUCAUUGUGGGCAGAUUUACUUAAAUACCUGCACAAUGAUUCAAUACUUCAAAGGUCAAGGAAAUGUCAAAAUAUGAAAUGAAAAUACUUAAAUACCCUUCUACCUAACAAAACUCGCAGAGAAUCUAUAAAAUUAAAAAAAAAAUAUUCAUCCAUGAAAAGCUUCGUAACAGAAAAACCGUCUUUCAAAAAAUAAAAACAGAAAAACUGACUCAUUUAUCUGCAAAUGAACCAAUCGGGACUCAUUUAAAAAAGAAUACAAAGCAAAAGUAAAUGACACAAAUUGCAUAGAUAUCUAGGAGCCGCAUCAAAAGACAAAGGUGUUAAUUUGUCCAAGAAUAAAUUCUCCUAGGUCAAAAGCAAUUAACGAUGAAAACUUUCUUCAUUAAGGUUCUGGCCUACGUAAAAAAACAGAAAAAAACCACCCCAAGGUCAAAGCACAACGAUAAAUUUAGAAAUGAAGUUUUUAAUUUUUUUUUAAUAAAUCAACGUGUAUCAAAAAUAGAUAAUAAUUUUGGAUAACUUUUUUUGAUAAAUAUAGACAUAAAAUUUUAAAAUCACCAAACAGAAAAACAGGAGAAUUAAAACAAAGUCCCUGUUUAUCCUCUAUUUUGCUUGUUAUUAAAAAGGGAAAUGAAAAGAUUGCAAGCGGAAAUUUUGUUUCUGCGUUGUCUCUUCUCAAUGCUGCAUGCAUUCAAAUUAAACCUUACAUAUGCUAGCAAACUAGCUACGCUGCAUGUAAGUUCUCGAUAAGUCCAAAUAAUAGAAUAAUUGUAAAAUGUUCAAAUUCAGUAAUUAAUUUUAUUUAUUUAUUUAUUCAAAAAUUAUUAUUAUUAUUAAUUAUUGUCAAUAAUAUAUUAAUAUACUAAUUAAUUGUAAAAAAAUUUAUCAUUCAUAACAAUAAUAAUGAUGAUGAUGACGAUAAUAAUAAAAAUUCAAAAUAUAUUAAUUAAUUAUAAUAAUAUAUUAAUUAUUUAAUAAUAAUAUAUUUAAAAUAUAUAUAAAUUGAUUAGAAUAGUUAUAUUAAUAAAUUAUAAACAUAUAUUAAUUAAUCAUAAUAAUUUUUUAAUUGAGGACAAAAUAGAUAUUUUAUAGUUUGUGAGAGGGGGCAAAAUGAUCAAUCUUGGGAAUGGGGGAUUGAUUCCCACCACCUUCCUUAGGAAUCAAUCUUCCAUUCCUCACUCCUAAUUUGGGUGGUCCCCAUAGUUCUGAUUCGGAUCCCAGCCUCCAUUUUAUGAAGUAAACAUCAUUAAUGAUUUCGAUUUCGGAUUUCGAUUCUCCAGUCCAAGAAGUAAAGGCACCAUUAUUGUUAAUUGGUUCAAACACACAAAGAGAAUGUACCAUGUAGCUAGGCGUCAAGGUUGUGUGGCACAAGUAACCUUUUUCUUUUCUUUUUAUUUUUCUUGUUUUCCUUAACGGAUCAGAAGAAAUCGGUGCCUUUGAGAUACUACAAUGUAAAUAAGUAUUUGUGGUUCAUUGAAUCUGUAACACUCGGUACCCUAAGGUUGCUUUUGAAAAAGGGCUUUUCUCACUGAUCACCAAUAUCCAAGUAAGUUUGUUUCAUUUCAGAAGGUGCAAAGUUUCAAACUUUUUGUAUUGGGAUGUAACAAACUUUGGCCUUAUAUGCUUGCUGUGACGUUAGACUGUUCAUUUUGAUUGUUUCCUACCUUCCACUUGCGCCACUGUAGCACUGUAUUAUUCAUCAUUUUAGUUGUUUAAAUGAAAUUUUAUUUUUGUCAAAAAUAAAAUGACACCAUUAAAAUUUAGAAAAAUAAUCAUGUAGAUCCCAAAUUUUUAAUAAAGAAUACCAAUAUUCCCCUUGACUACAAUACCCUUAGCAGGUGGUAAUCAAACAAAUUGACUUAAAAUUUUUUACGAAAUGUAAAUAUGAUUUAAAUAAUUUAAAUUUUCCAGAAGACUAAUAUAUAUAAUUUAAAUAAUUAAUUUCAAUAUUAAUUUUUAAAAUGUAAAUUAAUUUAUUUGUACUUAUAAAAUAUUUGUAAUUAUUUUAAAAUUUUAACUAAAUCCUUAGGUUAAAUAGAUUUUACAAUUAAUAUAAUAUUUCUCAGGUAUUAAUAAUAUUAAAACUAUUUUAUAUGACAUUGAAAAUAACCUAAAUUUUUUAUAUAUUUAUUUGAAUAUUAUGUCUCUAUUUAUUAUAAUUUGGUUUAAUAGAAUACGAGAUUGUAAAAUAUUAAUAUUUUAGAUAUUGAAAUUAUUUUAAUAUCUAUAUAUUAUUAUAUUUAUUUUAAUAUCCUAUUUAUAUUUAUCAUAAAUUAUUAGAGUUAAUUUUUUUAGUUAAUAAAUUUAAAAAUAUUAUAAUUUAAAAAAAGUCUUAUUGGCCGUUAUUCACGAUAUAAGGUUCUAAUAAAUUAUUUCUCUAGACAGGUGCCAUUUUCUUAUUUUCAAAAGGAAAAACAAGUUCAGGGCCUCGGGGGUUUCAAAAAAUUCUGGUCCUAUCUAUCACUAUGACUAAUGGGAAACGGCAUUGCAAUUGACAUUGCUUUUCGCAAUAUGACAUAUUAUGGAGGGAUAUGGGAGAAUUGUCAAACAUUCACACCACGCGAGAGCUUUAGGUGGGAUAGGGGAGGAUUGUCAAGAGUUCACACCACAAGAAACUAAUGAUAGGUCUAAUUUCGUUGUCAGUUCUUUAUUUAUUUAUUUUUUUUAUUUCAUACAUUAUUGUUCUUGUAAAGGUAUAAAAGUAAAGUAAAAUACUAGGGGUGCUGUUAAGUUACAACUGAUGUAACUUGUAAUUUUUUCAAAAAUAAUGUAAAAAAUUUAAUAGGUGGUGGGACUCACAUAUUUUUUAAGAGACUUAAGUUAUAGUAGUUGUAACUUAACAAAAUCUAAAUAUUAUACAAUAAUGCAUAUUAAUAAUGCAUAUAAUUUGGGUUUGAUUUUUAAAAGAUUAUUUGAGUACCACCUAUCCUUAUGAUAUUAAUGUGAUUAUAUCUUAAUAUUAAAUAAUCAAAAUUUGUUUAAUUAUUAUUUGUAUUUCAUACAUUACAUAUUAGAUUUGUUUGAAUUUUAAGUUGUUGCUAAUAAAUAUUUAUGUUGUCAAAGUCAAAUUCAAUAGCUACAAAAGCAGAGAUAAUGGUAUUGUAUAUAGUUUUUAAGAAUGCAAGGAUAAGCUGGAUAAUUGACAUAAAUUCUAAUGAUUAAAAGAGCAACUAUCCCUUAAAUUAUAAUGUUAAUUUCUUUAAUUAGAUUUUUUUUUUCAUGUGAUAUAACCACAAUUGCUACAAUUUUUUUUUAUAAUAAUAAUGGGAGUUAUAAAUUAUUUAUAUAAAAUUUGGGUUGAAACUAAUGUACCAUAAAAGUGGUUGCUGAAUAACAAUAUUUGAAACUUUAGGUAAUUUUCAUGAGUCCUUUUUAUAUUCAGCAACCUGAAUUGGGGAAAAUCCGACUUGAAUUGGCGGUUGAUUUUGGUGAUGUGGCUUUUGGUUUAUGGCGGCUUUACUGUGGCGGAAGACUGGAUUUACGGUUGCCGACUGCUAGGGAUUAUGGUGGUGGUGUAAAUUGACGGAAAAAGAAGGUGUUUUGGUGGCGGCGCGUGUAGGAAGCACUCGUGGGUUGUCGUUUCGUGUGGUGACAGAGGGCGGCGAUCAAGGGCCGAAGUCGGUCAGUUUUUGGUCAACGAAGGCCGGCGAGUUUGUUGGUGGAGGUGGCUGGUGGAGAAAGUGGCUGAAUGGUGGUGGGUUGCUUGGUGGAGCCGCAGGUUUGGGUUGGUGAUUUGCGGCUGUUCAAGCGGCGGUUGAGGCAGCGAUGACUGAGGCUUGGUCGACGGUGGCUAGUGAGGUUUGUGGUGGUGUUGGCUGGCUGAUUGGCGGUGGUGGGCGGCGGUGGGGGUUGGUCUGACGGGUAGGGUUUUCAAAUUUGUAAUUUUUUUUUUUGAUGGAUUUGGUUUGGAUGGGUAUGGUGUAUCUAGGAAAGAUGUGUGAUUCGCACAGAAUUGCUUUGAUACCAAUUGAUGGAGCGAGCGUAGCGGAAGUGGAAUUGAUAAGGUAAGAAAUACUAAAUAUCAUUCUAGUACUGGAUCAAGCCAACACAAUUAACUUACGCUUUAAUCAAAGCGUGAUUAGAUAUUGUUUUAAUCUAAAUGAUUCAAUGAGAUUUUUAAUAACGCGUAAUACGAGAUUAGAUGACACUCUAAUUUAAAUAACUCUAUAAGAGAGAUUUUGAUAAAUAAUACUAGAGGAAAUUAUAAAAAAAAGAGUUUUAUUUAAUAAUUGAAUUUGAAGUCCUGAAAACAAUGACAAGACAUCUUUAUUUUUUUUAUUACAGACAUCUUUAUUUAUAAUAAAAGAAAUCCACUUUCCUAAGUUAACCUAAAAAGAAAAUUUAAAUUAUAAUUAUAAUGGAAAUAAAAGAUUAAGAUACAUACCAUAAUUGACUCAAACAAAAAUAGAAAACCAUAAAAUAAUAAAUAUUUUAGAAUUAUAAAUUAUCUAAAAUAACGUUAAUUAACUUCCUAAAUCACGUCUUUGGUGUAAACCAUUUUGCAUCCAACCUUGCUUUAAAGGUUUGAACCAACGUUACGAACAACAAUGUAUCAAAUUCCAAUCUAACUUAAGAUCCUGAUACAUCUACCGAUGUCCUUGUUUGAUUAGACAAUAAUGAGUCUAUCUCAUCACUUGUUACCUCUUUUUUGAAGCUGCAUCUGUUGAAGUGAUAGCCUCGCUUAGAGUUUAAAGAUCUUCUUCCAUGUUAAAUAAAGUGGGCAUUUGAUUAAAAAACUUUAUCUCUAUCUCCUUCUAUCAAAUAACGAAAACUAUCCAAAGGAAAAAAAAAAAAUUAGAAAAGUCCAUGGGUUGCAAUAAUUUAUGGUCUGUCCUCGGACCCCAUUAUCUGCCAAUAUCAAUGAUGAAAAUGAAAAUAAAUGGCAUCUUCCCAAAAUGGCGAAAGAUUUUUAGGAGAUAUGGGGAAUUGUCAAAAGUUCCCACAACGCGAAAUAAGUGUUACAUCCAAUUUUAUUUCAUCAUAUAAUGAUAAUAUCAAGUAAUGACAGCCAUCUAAAAGUAUAAUGGGUCUUCCAAAAUUUUGAAAAUGUCGUCAACAUUUAAUCUUCAAUGCUAAAGAAGAUGAAAUGCCCAAAAAUGACAUGCAGGACCCACUCACAGACUAAACGGCCCUGACCACAUGCAACAAACUUUGACUUUAUGUCCCUGCUGAGGCGUUAGACUGUUGGUCAUUUUGAUUGCUUUUUACAUUCCAUUUACGCCAUUGUAGCAUUGUACUAUUUACCAUUUUAGCUGUUUAAAUGAAUUUUUUUUUCCAAAAAUAAAAUGACACCCUUAAAAUUUUAGAAAAUAAUCAUGUAGACCCCAAAAUUUUAAUAAAGAACACCAAUACCCUUUUUGACUAUAGUACUCUUAUGGUAGCCACAAAAAAAAAAUGACUUCAAAAUUUUUUACUAAAUGUAUAUAUGAUUUAAAUAGUUUAAAUUUUCUAGUAGACUAGUAUGUAUAAUUUAAAUAAUUAAUUUUUAAAAUGUAAUUUAAUAUAUUUAUUUUAAUAAUAUAUUUAUUAUAAAAAUUUUAAACAAAUCCUUGGGUUAAAUGGAUUUUAUAAUUAAUAUAAUAUUUCUCAUGUUUUAAUAAUAUUAAAAUUAUUUUAUAUGAUAUUGAAAAUAAUUAAAAAUUUUAUAUAUUUAUUUGAAUAUUAUGUCUCUAUUUAUUAUAAUUUGGUUUAAUAGAAUACGAGAUUGUAAAAUAUUAAAAUAUUUUUAGGUAUUGAAAUUAUUUUAAUAUGUACAUAUUAUUAUAUUUAUUUUAAUAUCCUACUUAUAUUUAUUAUAAAAUAUUAAAAUUAAUUUUUUUAGUUAAUAAAUUUAAAAAAUAUUAUAAUUAAAAAAAAGAGUCUUAUUGUCUGUUAUUCACGAUAUAAGGUUCUACAAAAUUAUUUUCAAAAGGAAAAAUAAGUCUAGGGGUUUCAAUAAAUUCUAGUCCUAUUUGCCACUAUGACUAAUGAAAACGACAUUGCAAUUGACAUUACUUUUCGCAAUAUGACAAAUUUUUGGAGGGAUAUGGGAGAAUCGUCAAAUGUUCACACUACGCGGGAGUUUUGGAUGGGAUUGGGGAGGAUUGUCAAGAGUUCACACCACAAGAAACCAAUGAUAGCCAUAAUUUUGCUAUCAGAUCUUUGUUUAUUUAUUUUAUUUAUUUCAUACAUUGUUGUCUUGUUGGCAUUGUUUUGCAAAGAUAUAAAAGUAAAAUAAACUAUUAGGGUGCUGCUAAGUUAAGCUGUUGUAACUUACAAUCCCUUAAAAAAUAAUGUAAAAAAUUUAACACGUGGUGGGAUCGACAUAUGUUUGAAGAGGCUUUAAGUUACAGUAGUUGUGACAUAGCAAAAUCCAAUUAUUAGACAAUAACGCACAUUAACAAUGCAUAUAAUUUGGGUUUGAUUUUUUGAAAAAUUAUUUGAGUAUUAACUAUCCUUAAGAUAUUAAUGUGAAUAUAAUUUAAUAUUAAAUAAUCAAAAUCUGUAUAAUUAUAAUAUAUAGUUCAUACAUUGCAUGUUUAAUCAAAAUCUGAUUGCUUUUUACCUUCCAUUUACGCCCACUGUAGCAUUGUACUAUUCACCAUUUUAGCUGUUUAAAUGAAAUUUUUUUUUUUUCAAAAAUAAAAUGACACCCUUAAAAUUUUAGAAAAUAGUCAUGUAGACCCCAAAAUUUUAAUAAAGAACACCAAUACCCUUUUUGACUAUAGUACUCUUAUGGUAUUCACAAAAAAAAAAAAUGACUUCAAAAUUUUUUACUAAAUGUAAAUAUGAUUUAAAUAGUUUAAAUUUUCUAGUAGACUAGUAUGUAUAAUUUAAAUACUUAAUUUUUAAAAUGUAAUUUAAUAUAUUUAUUUUAAUAAUAUAUUUAUUAUAAAAAUUUUAAACAAAUCCUUGGGUUAAAUAGUUUUUAUAAUUAAUAUAAUAUUUCUCAUGUUUUAAUAAUAUUAAAGUUAUUUUAUAUGAUAUUGAAAAUAAUUUAAAAUUUUAUAUAUUUAUUUUAAUAUUAUGUCUCUAUUUAUUAUAAUUUGGUUUAAUAGAAUACGAGAUUGUAAACUAUUAAAUAUUUUUUGGUAUUGAAAUUAUUUUAAUAUGUAUAUAUUAUUAUAUUUAUUUUAAUAUCCUACUUAUAUUUAUUAUAAAAUAUUAAAAUUAAUUUUUUUAGUUAAUAAUUUUAAAAAAAUAUUAUAGUUAAAAAAAAGAGUCUCAUUGUCCGUUAUUCACGAUAUGAGAUUCUACAAAAUUAUUUUCAAAAGGAAAAAUAAGUCCAAGGGUUUCAACAAAUUCUAGUCCUAUCUGCCACUAUGACUAAUGGAGACGAUAUUGAAUUGACAUUGUUUUUCGCAAUAUGACAAAUUUUUGGAGGGAUAUGGGAGAAUCGUCAAGCGUUCACACCAUGCGAGAGCUUUAGGUGGGAUAUGGGAGAAUUGUCAAGAGUUCACACCAAGAGAAAUUAAUGAUAGGCCUAAUUUCGUUGUCAGUUCUUUAUUUAUUUAUUUUAUUUAUUUCAUACAUUAUUGUCUUGUUGGUAUUGUUUUGUAAAGAUAUAAAAGUACAAGUAAAAUAUUAGGGGAAGUAAAGUAAAAUAUUGGAGGUGCUGCUAAUUUACAGCUGCUGUAACUUACAGUUCCUUCAAAAAUAAUGUAAAAAAUUUAACACGUGGUGGGACCCACAUUAUGUUUGAAGAGGCCGUACAUUAUAGCAGUUGUAAAUUAGUAAAAUCCAAAUAUUAGACAAUAAUACACAUUAACAAUGCAUAUAAUUUGGGUUUGAUUUUUUAAAAAAUUAUGUGAGUAUUACCUAUCCUUAAGAUAUUAAUGAGAAUAUAUUUUAAUAAUAAAUAAUCAAAAUCUGUUUAAUCAUAAUAUGUAAUUGAUACAUUGCAUGUUAGAUUUGUUUGGAUUUUAAGUUGUUGCUAAUAAAUAUUUAUGUUGUGAAAGUCGAAUUCAAUAGCUACAAAAGCAGAGAUAACGGUAUUUUAUGUAGUUUUUAAGAAUACAAGGAUAAGACCAUAACGCAUGAGAUAAUGGUAUUUUAUAUAUAUUAAAAGACCAUAACACAUGUAUUUGAGCCAUUGAUAUUGAAGACACAUAUAGAGGAAAGAGUGCAGAUCCGGCCCUCAGUAUUGUGAAGCUUUCCUCAAGUAUUCUCAUGCACACAGACCUUAUCUGGUCAAGUUUUCUGAUUCAAUAUAAUCAAUUUCCGCGCAGUACUGACGACAGCUUCUCUGUAAAGCUCUUCAACCACAAGCAUUUCUACAAGGCAAAAGACUAGGACGUGUCAGAAUGAAUAUCAAUAAGGGAAUGUCUUAUGAAUUUAGUUUAUAUCCUAAUAUAAGACAAUCAGUAAAUAUUGGACUCAUUAGUUGCCCUUGCCUCAGACGUUUGGAUGCUAAGGGGAAAAAGGAAGUUUGAAUUAGUCAAUCUCAUUUCUAAUGGCAUUCACAGAGAACUUAUAAAACAAAAAAAUUAUAAAAAAAAAUUCAUCCAUAAAAAGCUUAGUAACGGAAAAACCGACUCUUUUAUCUGCCACUGACGAAAAAAAAACUGAAGUAUCAAAUAGAUAAAGAUUUUAAUUUUUUUCUUGGAAAAACUAAUAAUAAAUUAACAAUUGGAUAAUACUAUUAAUUAGAGAUCUUUAAUAUUAAGGUUAUCAAAGAUAGAAUGUGUAUAAAAAUUCUUAAUUAUAAGAUAAUUACUAACUAAAAAGAGGCCUAAAAAAGAAGAUUUGCUAUUAUAAGUAAUACCAAAAAUAAAAAAGGGAGACUUCCUAAUUGUUUAAUUGUUAAAAAAGAGGAUUUGCUAUUAUAGGCCUAAUUUGCCUAUAAGUAAUACCAAAAAUAAAACCGUUCCUGGAUGUAAAAAAUAAAAAUUAUUGUUAAAUUCCUGACUAAUAAGGUCAUUGAAAGUAUUCAAAGGACCUGAACUUAUAGGAAAGCCAGCCAUGAUGAACUAUACCACGUUGCAAGUGAGCUCGUAUCUUCAUCCCUUGAUCUGCCAUCGGCAUUUCUGUUCCACUCACUAUACCAUCCUUUUCAAUCGAUUUUUAUUGAUCAUAAGAGGCCAUGUGGCCCACCUUAUUUUUAUUUUGGAUCCAUAACCCAAAGCUGGCCCAAGUUCUGAUUCCAGAAUCAUUUGUCUACAAAGUGACCUCAUUCCGGCAAUUGGUUUAUGCUAAUAGCACGUGCAAUUUUCAUUUUCUUCUUUUUAUUAAUUAAUUUCAUCAUUAUUAUUUGCUUAUUAUUUUAAAUUAAUUAAUUAAAUUGUAUUAUUGAAAUUAGUCUUUCUUUUUUCUUUUCUCUUUCAAUGCACAAAGCCAAACAACCAUUCUUGCUUCAAAUACCGAAGAGCUCCUGACUACGGCUGUCAAUGCUUCUAUAUUUACGUGCUGUGCUGCAUCACUCUUAGCGAAAGCUUGAAUGAAUGAUUAAAGACAAAAGCUUAUAUAAAAGCAGAUGCCGGAGGCACUCAAAAAGCAUUUGAGAGAGAAGCUACACAGCAAAUCAUCAAACGUACUUCAAUGACUUUGAUUUUGAUUCUUUUUUUUUUCAAAAGAAGUAGAAAAGUCCAUGGAUCACGAUAACUGCUUGUCCUAUGCCGUGACCUCAUUGUCCGCUGCUAGUGUCAAAUAGAUUAAUCUUUCUAGUAGAUUAAUAUAAUUUAUAAUUUUAAUUUCAGUAUUAAUUUUUAAAAUGUUAGUUGUUAUAUUUAUUUUAAUAAUAUAUCUAUUUUUAGUAUAAAACUUUAAAUAUAUAUUUAGAUUAAAUAGAUUUAUAAUUAAUAUAAUAUAUCUCAUGUAUUAAUGAUAUUUAAAUUAUUUUAAAUAAUAUUAAGCCUAACUUAAAAUUUUAUAUAUUUAUUUUAAUAUUAUGUUUCUAUUUAUUAUAAAAUUUAGUUUAAUAUAAUAUAAGAUUGUAAAGUAUUCAAAUAUUUUUUAAAUAUUGAAAUUAUUAUAAAAUGUAUAUAUUGUUACAUUUUUAAUAUUGAAGUCAAUCUUUUUUAAGUUAAUAGAGUGAAAAGAUAUUAUAAUAAAAGGCUACGUAAUCUUUCACUUGCACAUAUUCUGUACUCUCUGGAGCAGGACGGUAGGAAAUAUGAUUACAAAUGUUAAAUUCGCCUUUCUUCACAAGUUUAUCAGCUUCGUUUGCGGCCUCUGCUGCUUGUUUACCAAGCUUGUAACAAGAAAUCAAAUUUGGGCACAACCUUUUGAAGCAGAACAUCUUAGCUCUAUCUUUAUCAUCAAUGAUUGAUUUUGCAACCCCUUCACUGAAUUCAGCAACUCUAUUUAGCCAGUCUCUGACACCCUUAUAAAUCUCAUCUCCUUGUAGAGUAGCCUCUCUAACCAGCAUUUGCACCCUUUCUCUUAUAUAUUCCAGCUCCUUCACUCAAUCUUUUAGCCCAUCUAUGUAGCUCUGGUACUCGGAACACAUAAGAUAUGUGCCACAUAAUCGGUUUGAAUAAUGCUUUUGAACCUUGUGAUACAAUGCUAGAAAAAGUAGGGAGACACCCUUCUGCAGCCAUUGCCUGUUGCUUAACAAUCUAUAUAAAUAAAUACAAGUGUCAAAGAAAGGAAUACAGAUAAAUUAAAAUGAACUAGUGGGAAAGACAGAGAAUGAAAAGACUGCAAACAAUAUUGCGAUAUUGAUCUUGAACUAACUAAUAAUUAAAUAGAGAAUUUCUUUUUCUUUCUUGAGGAUCAGAGAUUUUGCUAUUAACAAAAAGGUACUUCGAGGGUCUGAAUAAAAAACCAACCAUAAAUUAUCAAAAGCUAGUAAAAACACAGACGUAAAUAAUGAACAAUUACUUAAGCAAAACAGACCAUGAUACAAAGCAAAUCUAAUAAAAUGACAAAAAAAGAAAGAAAGAAAGAAAGAAAGAAAAUACAACAAAUAAUAUUGAAGUGUUGAUUAUGAGCCAACUGAUAUUUAAACAGAUUUUUUUAAAAUUUUUAGUCUUUUGCUAAAGGAUUAGAGUUUUUGUUAUUAAUAGAAAGGUUUUAAAGACCUGACAUUACUAGAAAAAUACUAAAUAAUGACAGAAAUUUUAUAACAUAUAUCGUUAUGUCACGAAUGUGUCAUGAAAAUAUGAUAGAUUCGUGAUAUAUAUUCAUGUCCAGAGUAUAUGACAUAUUCAUGACUUAUAACUUAACCAUCGUAAAUAAAUGAUACAUAUAAGUCAUGCUUAAGUUUUGUGAACUUAUAAGAUUGUAAAACAAUGCCGUUUAAAUUAACGACACCGUUUUGUAUAACUUAAAACCCAUUAACACUCGCAGCCAAAUUUUGGCUAAGCGUUGAAUUAAUCCCUCUCUCCACUGUAGAGAUGGCAGAAAAGCCCGCUCAGACCGGAUCCGGACUGGACCCGGUGCAUACGGUCCGGGUAAAACCCGGAUCGGAUGCAUGGAAAAAGCGGAUCCGGGCACGGGUCCGGUCACAGCACCAAGAAUCUGGAACCCGGACCCGUGCCCACUUUUUUAUUAAGUAAAAAAAAAAUAUAUAUAUAUAUAUAUAUAUAGUAGUUUUCCAAUCAGGGAUUAGUUAAAAGACAAAAUAAACACAUACUCCAAUGCAUUGUAUUUUAUCAUGUAGUGUAGUAAAAUUUAAAUUUUUUUGUCUUUUAGCUAAUCCAACUACUAUAUAUAUAUAUAUAACAACAAAAAUGCAUUUUGCUUUACCCAAUUUCCCCCAAACCCAACCGGCCAACCCUAAAUCGCAACAAGUCUCAGAAUCGCCACCUCCCUCCGUUUCUCCACCAACAACCACCACCCAUCUUCACCGAUGCAGUGUUGACGGCGCGGCCUCUUCCCCACUUACAGAAAAAUGCGCAUGCUUUUACCGAGAAAAGAAAGCUUUUAUUUUUUGUAUGACAUCUGGUCCUCCCAUCAAGCUUACCUGAGGCAGCGAGGCUGAAAGUCUCUGUUAUCAACCAUCAGGACACCAGAAAGAGUAAUUGCUCACAUCGUAAGCGCCAUGAACUAAUUUUUCCGAAAAGGAGGAAAUGAAGGUCACAAUGGAGCUCAUUUCCCGCGAUUCGAGAGCCCUACAGAGAGGUAGGACCCCUAACUCACUCCGUUUUAGUCACCUUUCAAUGGCUCCCUUAAUUUCCUAAAUCAAUAAGUGUUCUAAAAGGGCUUGAAAAAUCAAAAUGAUGCCCAACAUUAGUGCCAGGAUUAAGGAACUUUUCACUGCAAAGAAGUGAAUAGCUACGUGGAUGAAGUUAUGGGCCAUGCAGAAAUUCACACUUCACUCUCUCUUGAUUUGUACUCAAAAGUCGCCACCAACCUUCAAUUAUAUGGACUCAUGGAUUCAAUAUUUAGGCUUACAAUUGGACCUUCACAAAGCAAUUGGAGCACUCCAAGCUGCAAAAAAUGUCUCUUCUCUGUGACAUCUGCAGGUGGGCUAGAAGAAGGUUAUGCAUAGAUGGUCUAUGUGCGUGUGCUUACUAAAUGCAUACAAAAUGUAUAAGAACUGAGAUUCCUAUGUUUUUUCCUUUUUAAUUUUAAUAAUUAUGUUAGAUGUUUGCUUGGUAGUUAAGAUGUUUUGGUUUUGGACUGUUACGCUUUGUUAGAACUUAAAAGUAAACAAUUGUUUAGGCUGUAUUUUUUUUUACAGUGUUUUCACCUUUGAAAAUCCGGGUAGAGAAAACCCGGAAAAACCCGUGCCCGGAUAGUGCCGGGCAUGUACCCGGCCUGUAUAAAAAAAAUUCCGGACACGGUGCGGGUUCGGGUAGUUACGUGUGACAUCCGGGUCGGUCCCGGGCAGCCUCAAACCCAGACCCGACCCGGACUUUUGCCAUCUCUACUCCACUGGCCACUGCAACCUAAAAUAGUUUUUCACUUUAAUAACCCAAAAGCUUUCCUCUGUUUCAACUAAGCGAAAAUUUACAUAUUAAAGCCUGGCUCAAAUUCCUUUUUUCAAUCGAAAUUAAACGUAGCCACAAAACCCUAAUUCACCACACCAAUUUAUCUCUGCCCGGUAUUCAUUUAAACCCUACCUCGCGGUUCAAUGUCAUUCAAUACGAUUGCAGAUGCUGUUUCAACUUGUCAUUUAGUUAGCGCCAUCCAGUUCUCUAUGGUAAGCCUUAACCCUAACAACUAAUCGACUGCGGUAGCACGUUGCUUGUUAGGAGUGGGGAUACAUUAUUUGAAUAUAUGAAUUGGGUGAUGUUAGUGAUUCAUUCCCCUAUUUGUCGUGAAUUGAGAUUUGUGCAUAAUGCUAGUAAGAUUGCUAAAAAUUUCAUAUUUUGUAUUGUUCCAGUUGAAUUUCUUGCUUGUGGAAGAUAAAACAAAAGUUCAAUUUCAUGUUGAUUUAAUUCUUCUUUUCCUUCUUUUUAUUUUUCUUCUUUAUAGUCACGCUCUGGCUUUGGUGCUAUGCUUAGUGCAGUUUAUGGUUUCAAGAUUAAGUCAUGUUUAUUUGAUGGCAUCGAUUCCAUCGUUGAGGAUUGGAUUGUUGAUCAAAUGCACAUAGUAAGCUCUUCUUAUUUUAUCUCAAUUUUAAUUUUCUUUUAUUAUCUGCCUCUACCUGAAAAUGGACGUGUUUUACUAGUAAGCAUAGACCUUGUUUAUUUAAUUGAUAUUUUAAUUUUAUGUAUAAGAAUGGAGGUUUAUUUUGGAAAAAAAAAGAAAUAAAAAAAAUACUCUGUUGAAGCUAAUUAGUACUGAAUUUUUUUUGGUGGUGCGACCAGAGGUGGAAACAGGGUAUGAAAAUGUGUUACUGGUGAGGCUGCUGCUUAAGAUGAGAAUGCAUUCUUUUCAAAAAUCCUUGGAAGGUGUGAUCUAAUUAUAUUUGAUGGAAUAUUAAAUGGCUAAAAAUCUGUCAUACGUUCAAACUUUGUUUGUGUUUAGAAGAAUGGUGUUGACUGUAUAUUCGUUUGGAAGAAUGGUGUUGAUUGUAUAUUCAUUUGCUUAGCCUUUUGACAGAUGGAUUUGGAACUGACGAUAAAUGUGAUUCAAUUUACAAGGUUUUCGAGGGGCUCACAGUGGAAGGGAUAUUGAAGAACUGGUCGAAGUUAAAGCCUAUGAUUGUGAAAGAUUGGAGUGAGAAUAUAGAUGCUCAUUUAAAUCUUUUUGGCAAGGUCAGAGAUGAAUGGAUAGAUAAGGAUUUAUUUGACAACUUGGACUGGUGCUAAUAGGUAUUUUAAGCAAGCUUUUUGAGAUAACACUGAGCAAGUUAUACUACUAUUUUGCACAUGAUGAUCAAAACUCUCGAAAAGUAAAUAAAAUAAAGUAUUAACUUUUACUUUCAUCUUUUGCAUAGCAAUCAAUGUGGUGCUUGUUCUGUGACAACUUUGAUAAUCUACUUAAUUACUGGUUAGCAUUUGGACCAAAAAAGUUCUUAUGAUUUACAUGUUUUGUAGAAAUGCAUGAACCUUAAAUGUGCUGAUCAGGGAGUUUAAUUAUUGCACCUUGAAAUUCAUUUACUGUUAACUAAUUGGCUUUCCUUUGCAUAAAGCCGCUUAUAAGGCUUGAGUGGACGUCUUUAUGGGCAUAUUUUUUGUAUUUCUCGAUGCAUGCCUUUAUCAUUUAAUGUGGUGCUCGUAUUUCUUUAUGCAUGCCUUUAUCAUUUAAUGGCCAGCUCCCUUUCCUCUUUUGUAAUUUGAAUAGUAGUAUGGGCCUCCAUUUUACAAAUCUUUAACAUUUUUUGCUGUAAAUUAAUUUUUCUUUCAAAUAUUUUGGAGGUCAUUGGAAUUCCUGUAGGUCUAUUUACCAGAUUUUAGUAUGUUUAAGGUUAUAAUUUUGCUUAGACUUUAAUUUUUCUGAAAGAUUGUAGUAUUGAUCCUUAAAGUAAGAUCAUGCUACUUCAAAUUAUUUUGAAGUGUUGCUAGUUAUAGCCUUACAUAUCAAAUUCCAGUUGUCUGGAAAUUUAUUGAUAGCUGUUACAGCAGCAUAUUUUAUGACUCUACUUCUUAGUUAUGUAAGUUCAUUAUGUUUAGGUCAGAGGCAGUCAGCUGUGGGGAAUCGAUUUAUACACAGAUGACUUUGAUCUUGUUGCUGGUAUGUGGUUCUAUGAAUAAUUGUUCACAAUAAUUGUGUUUGCCUCACUGUUUUUGUUUUAUGAGAUCUAUAAUUGAUCUUGGGAUAUUACUUUUUAGUUCUCAUGCAGGCAAGUUACUACCUUCCCACUGCAUCUCCUCCUUUAUCUGCUACUCAAGAGUUGCGUGCCAUAAUCUGGUAUUACCUCUGCAAGAUUGUGAAUGAAUAUGAUGCCUCUAAAUUUAUUUUAUACAUAAUGCUAAUGCUGAAUAAUAUAUUGUAGCUCCUGUCAUAUUCUACUUUGACUUUUUAUAUUCCGUUUCAAAUAAAAAUCUUAUUCAACUUUAGUUGUUCAUGAGCAAAUGUCACAUGUAUAAGCCCAAAUGAUGUUUAAAGGUAGCGCCGCUACCUUCAGUUUGAGCUUACAAUGGGUGAAAAAGAAAUUGAAACUGAUAUUUUGCGGUUUUUCUUAUUUUUCAAAGUAUUUUAGAUCAUGACUUUUGUUUGGACUUGAUGGUUAUAGAUUGUGUCUAGAUUUGUUAAGUCGUUUCCAACACCUCGUGCCAAAUCAAAGCACAAUCUUUCUGAUUCAGAUGUUUUGUUAAUUGUGCUUCAUUUUUUCGUUAAAGGUUGGAUGGUUGAAUGGAUUGAUGGAGUUGGAGUUCAACCAAUAAUUCUAAUUUUUUGGACUUAAAAUGCCUUUUUCUUCUGUAUAAAAGCUUUAGUAAGUGCUAUUGAGUUGACAGAAGUUGAAUACUUACAGGUUGUUUCACACUUUUUAAUAGUUUUACAUAUAUGAAUUUCUGUUUUUUGAAUUGCAGAAAGGAGGUGGAACUAUUGAUUUGGAGCCUUAUCUUACUCACUCAUCAACAACGGAGCCUACCCUCGCUCCUAUGGCAGUGGAACGGACAAUGACUACUAGGGCUGCAACAUCAGUUGGUUCGGGUCUGUUUUGAUAGCGAAUUUUGAUAUGUCAAUAUAAUGUGUAAUUGUUUUGGGUUGAGCUGGUAAUUAUGCUGGAUUAGAUUGGUUUGGUUUUGGUGCUUCGCUGAUGGAACACUGGUUUUUUAGAAAAUUUGAAUGUAAUAUGAGACUACAUUUAGUUUAAUUGAACACUGCAUCUAGUCUAAUUACUAGAAGUGUGGCAUUUGGUUUGGUUUAUCCGAUAUUCUCCAGAAUUUCACUUGCAUCUGGUUUUGUUGCAUAUGUUUGCUUGCAUUUGAUGGCAGUAGCAGACUGUUUGGUUUUGUGGCAUUUGAUGGCAGUUUGGUCUGUUCUUGGUGCUGAUUUACGAUUGUUCCUGAUGUGUUGAUGUUAAUUGCAGGUGCUUGAAUCAGCUAGGGUUGCUGGUUUUUUCAGAUGGUUGACUCAGGCGUUGUUACUGGUUGAUUCAGGUGGCUGGCUCAAGUUGUUCAUUUAAUGUUAGGAAGCAAAUUAAGAAUUAAUGAAGUAUUCAUUUAACUAUAAUUAUUGUAGUUAUUUUAUUUCAUAACUGAAUUAUAAUCUAUGAUACUUGUGAACAAAUUAGAGAAUUUUUAUAUAUAAAUUAUAUAUAUGUGUGUGUAUGUACAUUUUGCUUUUUAUAUAAUAAUUUAAAGAAUAUAUUUCAAUUCCCACAAAAAAAUGGCCCCAAUUUCAAUAAUUCCUGCCAAAUAAUUAAUUUUUUUUAAUUUACCGCCAAAAUAUAUCUUAAAGAAAUGUUAGUUAUUCUUGCUAGAUUUAACAAAAAUAAUUUAUAGGAUUAACAUUUAAUUAAAAUAAUUAAAUAAUUUUACUAUUUCAAUUAAAUGUCAUGUUUAUAUCACAGACAAUAGUCAUGAAUGGGAAGUAUUAGUUACAUAUUUUUCCUUGUAGUUAUUUUAUUUCAUAACUGAAUUAUAAUCUAUGAUACUUGUGAACAAAUUAGAGAAUUUUUAUAUAUAAAUUAUAUAUAUGUGUGUGUAUGUACAUUUUGCUUUUUAUAUAAUAAUUUAAAGAAUAUAUUUCAAUUCCCACAAAAAAAUGGCCCCAAUUUCAAUAAUUCCCGCCAAAUAAUUAAUUUUUUUUAAUUUACCACCAAAAUAUAUCUUAAAGAAAUGUUAGUUAUUCUUGCUAGAUUUAACAAAAAUAAUUUAUAGGAUUAACAUUUAAUUAAAAUAAUUAAAUAAUUUUUCUAUUUCAAUUAAAUGUCAUGUUUAUAUGACAGACAAUAGUCAUGAAUGGGAAGUAUUAGUUCCAUAUUUUUCCUUGGGAUUUCAGGCAAAUGAAAAAAAGAUUGAGAAUGAUUUCAAGAGGACAGGUGGAUGAUAAGUAUUCAUUUUUGUAUAUUUGGCUAAUGUCCUCAUUAGUGGAUUUUUAUGGUAUUGAUUUUUUUUUUUUUGGUUUAUAAUUUUCAAUUAGUUGUUACCCUAGAGGAAGAGCAGGCUGAUCAAAUUGAUUUGUCUUAUUUUUCCGGCAAUCUGCGACACGAUGACUGUGAUAAUGCUCGUGACUGCUGGAAACUUUCUGGUGGAAAUAACUUUAGAGUUCGUAGCAAGCAUUUUUGUUAUGACAAAACAAAGGUUCCCCCAUAUUUUGGUUGUUUGUUAUGGUAUUUAUAUAUCCUGCAUAUGCUAGGUCGACAGGUUAUGAUGUAGUUUGGUUGGCUCUUGUGCUUUGUGCAAUUUGUAACUGCAGAUACCUGCGGGAAAACAUUUAAUGGAUCUUGUUGCUGUUGAUUGGUUCAAAGACACAAAGAGAAUGGACCAUGUAGCUCGGCGUCAAGGCUGUACUGCACAAGUAACUGAAGAAAAAUGUGAAUUGGUUCCUCUUUUUCUUACUUUCCAGAACAGUAUGUACAGGGAAUAUAUACAGCAAAAUAGGAGAGAAAAUAGGAGACUACAUCUAUCCUUUCCUAAAUAAUAGGAAACAAAAUCUGGAAAGAAUCCUAAUGAAUCUUCCCAUUAUAAUUUAACUUAUUCCUAAAAUAGCCUAGAUUACAAAUAAAUCAUAACUUUGAAUCUUUAUUUUCAACACUCCCCCUCAAGCUAGUGUGUGUAUAUCAUACAAACCCAGCUUGUUACUUAAGUCUUCAAAGUUAGGUCUUGGCAGUGCUUUAGUAAGGAUGUCUGCAAUUUGUUGUCUAGUUGGAAUGUACUUUAGUUCCACACUUCCACUAGUGACCUUCUUUGAGAUGAAGUGCCUAUCAAUCUCGACAUGUUUGGUUCGAUCAUGAUGCACUGGAUUUUUUGCGAUGCUGAUUGCUGCUUGAUUGUCACACCUCAUUAGAAUGGAUGAAGGGUUGCACACACCGAGUUCUUUGAGUACACGCUUUAUCCAAAUUCCUUCACAGAUUCCAUUUGCCAAAGCUCUGAACUCUGCUUCUGCACUACUCCUAGCUACAACUGAUUGUUUCUUACUCCUCCAGGUUACUAGAUUUCCCCAGACAUAGGAACAGUAAGCAGAUGUUGAUAUUCUAUUUGUGAUGUCUCCAGCCCAGUCUGCAUCAGAGUAGAUCUCAAUAUUCCUAUAUUCUGAUUUCUUGAAAAACAAUCCUUUUCCAGGUGUCAUCUUUAGAUACUUCAAAAUUCUAAAGACUGCAUCCAUGUGUUCCUCUGUAGGAUUGUGCAUGAAUUGGCUCACAGCACUAACAACAAAGCCUAUGUCCGGACGGGUAUGUGAGAGAUAAAUUAAACGACCAACCAGUCUUUGAUAUCUCUCUCUAUUGACUGGAACACUAUUCUCAACUGAGCCUAGUUUCUUGUAGGGAUCCAUAGGAGUAUCUACUGGUUUGCACCCAAUCAUACCAGUCUCCUUUAGUAAGUCCAGGGUGUAUUUCCUUUGGGAGACAACAAUUCCCUUCCUAGAUCUUGCCACCUCCAUCCCAAGAAAAUAUUUCAGAUUCCCUAGAUCUUUAACUUCGAAUUCCUGAGCUAGCUGUUUCUUCAACUUCUGCAGUUCUUCCUCAUCAUUUCCUGAGAGAAUGAUGUCAUCAACAUAUACGAUUAGGAGAGAGAUCUUCUUUGCUUGUGAUGUUCGGAGGAAUAGAGUGUGAUCUGCCUGACACUGAGUGUAACCAAGUCUCACAACUGCCUUCGCAAAUCUAUCAAACCAUGCUCGAGGGGAUUGUUUAAGCCCAUACAAAGAUUUCUUGAGCUUGCACACUUUAUUUCUAGUAAGAUUCAGAUCAAGACCCUGGGGAACUUCCAUAAACACUUCUUCUUCAAGAUCGCCAUUGAGAAAUGCAUUUUUUAUAUCUAGUUGGUAUAAGUACCAAUCUAGAUUUACUGCUAAGGAGAGCAAGAUUCUAAUGGUGUUGAGCUUCGCAACCGGAGCAAAGGUUUCAAGAUAAUCAAUCCCAUAUGACUGUGUGAACCCUUUAGCUACAAGACGAGCUUUGAGCCUCUCAACACUUCCAUCUGCCUUGUAUUUAACAGUAAAAAUCCACUUACAUCCAACUGGUCGUUUCCCUGCAGGAAGAUUUGUUAUAACCCAUGUAUCAUUUUUCUCAAGAGCAUUUAUUUCUUCAUGAACAGCUCUCUUCCACUCAGGAUGACCGAGAGCCUCUUGUAUAUUGUUGGGAACAUGUAGAUUAUCUAAAGAAGAAACAAAGGCUCGGUAUGAUGGGGACAAACCAUCAUAUGAGACAUAUUUGGCAAUUGGAUGAGUGGUGCAACUUCGAACCCCCUUUCUUUCUGCAAUUGAUUUAUUAGAAUCAUCCACACUUGGAACCAUGAACUCAACCGAGGCAAGACUAUCCAUACCUGUGUUGUCUUCAUAAGAGCUUGGAUUUGGUUCAGUUUCUUGGACAUGUGGCUGAGUUCUGUGCUCUAUCUGCUCUCCAGUUCUUCUCCUCCUAUAAACAUUAAGAUUAUCAACAGCAAGCUGUGGAAGAGGUGAGAUUAGAGGUUGUAGUUGAUGAGCUGAUGGAUGACGGGGUGACUCGGCUGGUUGUGGUUGGGAGGACUCAGAUGACUCAAAAGGUUGUGAAGAUGUUGGGAGGAUUGCUGAUUGUGGCUGUUGGAUAGAUUGAUCAUGUGUGGUGGUUGAGUUAUGAGGGUUUUCAUGAGGGGUUUCCAGCCAAGAUUGCCAAGAAGAUUCCCAAGGCUGAUGUUCGCUCAUACUCUCUCCCUGAACAACAGUUUUGGAAUAGAAAGGCAGGUUUUCAACAAAUGUUACAUCUCUGGAAAUGUAUAUUUUUCUGGUAUGAGGAGAAUAGCAUUUGUAUCCUUUUUUAUGUGGAGAAUAGCCUAAAAAUAUACACUUGAGAGAUCGGGGAUCAAGUUUAGUCCUGUGUUGAGAGUGAACAUGGACAUAUGCUGUGCAACCGAAUAUUUUUUGUGGUAAAUCUGCUGAAACAAUCCUAGUGUGUGGAAAGAAAUUGAGAAGAACUUUUCUUGGGCAAUGAAACCCCAAGACUCUAGAAGGCAUUCGGUUGAUUAAGUAGGCUGUAGUGAGAACAGCUUCACCCCAGAAAAAAUUAGGAACAUGAGAUGAGAACAAAAGACAGCGAGCCACUUCAAGAAGGUGUCUGUUUUUGCGUUCAGCGACCCCAUUUUGUUGUGGGGUGUCAACACAAGAACUGAUGUGAAGAAUGCCUUGAUGGAGAAGAUAUGAGCUGAGGGAGUCUUUGAAAUAUUCCUUGGCAUUGUCGGUUUUAAGGACUUGGAUUUUGGUAUUGAAUUGGGUUUGAAUCAUGGCGUUAAAGUUUUGGAAGAUUUGACUAACUUCGGAUUUGUUUUUCAUGAGAAACACCCAAGUGAGACGAGUAUGAUCAUCCACAAAUGACAAAAACCAGCGAGCCCCAGAAACAUUUUUAAUUCUUGAGGGACCCCACACAUCAUUGUGAAUUAAAGCAAAUGGACGAGAAGGCUUAUACUUAACGCUUGAAUAAACAUUUCGAGUAUGUUUUGCAAAUUGACAAAUUUCACAAUGAAAUGAUAAAGGGUUUUUAUUGAUGAAUAGAUUGGGAAAAAUUUUUGCGAGAUACAUGAAACUAGGAUGACCUAAUCGAUAGUGUAACAGAACAAUUUCACUAUCGUUAUUGACAUUUGGACUAACAAUAGAAUGAGGAUAACUAGUUGACAGACUAUUGGACUUGGCACAGUUUGCUCUCGAAUCUUGUAUGAAGGAGGAUUGAUCGCUUUUGAGUAGAUAGAGUCCAGAACAUAGCUCAGCACUGCCAAUCGUCUUCGCGAAUCCAAGUCCUGAAAAACACACAUAUUUGGAUAGAAUUUAGUUACACAAUUCUGAUCACGAGUGAAUUUACUGAUUGAAAGUAAAUUGCAAGCCAAAUUAGGCACAUAAAGUACAGAAUUAAGGUGUAACUCCUUAGUGAGUCUGAUGGAACCUGUCCCUGCUAUAUUGUGUGAGAGCCAUCUGCGAUCCGGACUGAAGUGCUGUUGAUGCUAGCUUUAUAAUCCUGCAACAUUGAGGCAUCUCCAGUCAUGUGAUCAGAAGCACCAGUGUCAAUUAUCCAGGGUUUGCUUGCUCCAUUAGUGGCUGCAAAUGCUGAAUGAGUCUCUUUCUAAGCCACUAGACUUGUCCCUGCAUUGGAGUUCAAAGUGGCUUGAUCGAAAAGCUUUUGAAGAAUCUCCAUUUGCUCCUUGCUGAAUGGAUUUGGCUCGGGUAGGGCCUGAUUGUCCGUGGUGGAUGCUGCAUGAGCACGAGAUUCACGGUCACCUUUGGAACGAGGUUUCCAAUCAGCAGGUUUGCCAUAAAUUUUCCAGCAACUCUCCUUAUAGUGGCCUGCCUUACGACAGUGAUCGCACCAUGGUCUUUCUUUCUUUGUACGAUUUUCACUAACCCCUACAGAGUUGGAUGCACGGGCAACAAGUGCAGAGGCGCCCAGUGUUGGUUCUGAUGACCCCAUCAUCACCUUUUUCCUACUUUCUUCAUGCCUAACUUCAGAAAAGGCUUCACGAGGGCGCGGUAGAGGCUUUGUCCCGAGUACACGGCUCCUAACCUGAUCAAGAUCUUUAUUGAGUCCGAGGAGAAAUUUAAACGUUCUCUUCUGUUCCACAAUCUUCUUGUACAAGGUUGUAUCGUCGGUGCACUUCCAAGGGUAUGUUUCAAAUAGAUCAAGGUGUUGCCAAUGCCUAGUCAGAGUAUUAAAGUAUUGAGUGACAGAUUGUUCUCCUUGGCGGAAGUCAUGGAGGAUGGUUUCAAUCUGGAAUAACUCUGAUGUGUUCUCAGAGCUAGAAUAGGUUUCCUUUGCAGCAUCCCAUAUGUCAUUUGCAGUCCCAAACAGAAGAAAAUUCUCACCAAUAUCAUUGUUCAUGGAAUUGAUAAGCCAUGACAUGAUCAUGUUGUUCUCUGACUNNNNNNNNNNNNNNNNNNNNNNNNNNNNNNNNNNNNNNNNNNNNNNNNNNNNNNNNNNNNNNNNNNNNNNNNNNNNNNNNNNNNNNNNNNNNNNNNNNNNNNNNNNNNNNNNNNNNNNNNNNNNNNNNNNNNNNNNNNNNNNNNNNNNNNNNNNNNNNNNNNNNNNNNNNNNNNNNNNNNNNNNNNNNNNNNNNNNNNNNNNCACGUAACAGAGGUUGAUGAGGAAGCCAUCCCGUAUUUUGCCACAGAGAAUACAACUGAUGGGAGAGGAAGGAAGGUAGAUUGUUCAAUUUAUGAGAGAAGAAGGAAAUGGCGGCUGAUAGGAGAACUAGGGUUUAGAGCCAGGCUCUGAUACCAUGAAGAAAAAUGUGAAUUGGUUCCUCUUUUUCUUACUUUCCAGAACAGUAUGUACAGGGAAUAUAUACAGCAAAAUAGGAGAGAAAAUAGGAGACUACAUCUAUCCUUUCCUAAAUAAUAGGAAACAAAAUCUGGAAAGAAUCCUAAUGAAUCUUCCUAUUAUAAUUUAACUUAUUCCGAAAAUAGCCUAGAUUACAAAUAAAUCAUAACUUUGAAUCUUUAUUUUCAACAGUAACUAUUCUUUUCUUUUUAUUUUUCCUUUUCUGAAAGAAACUUAGUUUUGUAUUGUUUGGCAAGCUAGAAAAUGAAAGAAAAUAAAAGAAAGCGCUGUAAAGAAGUUUGUAGAACCUUUAUUACUCUAGCAUUACAACUGAAUGAAUACAGACUGAUAUUUCUAUUAAGCUACAAUUUUCUCAACACACACACAAGUUUGUUACAUCACAUAACCAUUUGCUGCAUAACUAAUUUGACACAUCAGCUCAACCAGCUAACUAACUUUGCCAGGUCAAGCCUAGUGAGUUGAUCUGCUAAAGUCAGCUACACAGCAACAUCAUGCUCUGCUCCAACUUCAUUCAAUUCACUAACAUCCCCCCUCAAGCUGAAAUGUUUAGGAUGAACAUUCAGCUUGCUUCUUAAGUAACUAAACUGUUUGAGAGUAAGCCUUAGUCAACACAUCUGCUGUUUGAUCUUGACUGGGCACAAAACAUACUUCAAUCUCUUUUGCAGUAACUUUAUCUCGAAUAAAAUGUAUAUCCAAUUCGACAUGCUUAGUUUUAGCAUGAUAGACUGGAUUGUAAGCUAAAGCAAUUGCUUCUUGAUUAUCACACCACAUCAUAGGAGUAGAGCUCAAUUUGAUGUUAAGUUCACCAAGUAAAGAUUGUAUCCAGGGAACCUCUGAAGCAGCAUGAGCAAGAGAUCUAUACUCAGCCUCUGUGCUGGACCUGGAAACAACAACUUGUUUCUUUGAUGACCAUGAGACUAGAUUAGGGCCUAGGUAAACAGCAAAGCCAGCCACUGACUUCUUAUCAUCACGAUCACAAGCCCAAUCAGAAUUUGAAAAACAAUGUAGUUGCAAAGUUCCUUUGUUAUUAAAUUGCAGCCCAAGAUGUAUAGUGCCUUUUAAGUACCUCAAUAACCUUUUGCAUGUUUCCCAAUGUUGUGUUCUAGGACUUGAAAUGAAUUGACUUAGGUUGUUUACAGAGAGAGCAAUGUCAGGUCUGGUAAGAGUAACAUAUUGAAGAGCUCCUAUAACACUCCUAUAUUGAGAAACAUUAUCAAUUAGCUCUCCUGAUUCUUUUGUGAGAUAAUAACCAGUAGACAUUGGAGUAGGCACAGGACUGCAAUCUGUCAUGCCAUGUUUAUCCAGAAUGUCAGUAAUAUACUUUGCUUGUGUCAAGGAAACCCCUUGUGAAGACUUGCUGACUUCAAUCCCCAGAAAAUAGCUAAGUUCCCCCAUGUCUUUUAAAGCAAAGGCUUGAUUCAUAAUCUUAAUAACUUGCUGAAUUAGUGUUGGACUGGAACUAGUGAUGAUAAUAUCAUCAACAUAGACCGAAACAAGAGUUAGAUGACCACUGUUCCAGGCAUGAAACAGAGAGUUAUCAGACCUUGAAUGCUAGAAAUGCCGUUUAGAGAUCAUUGCAUCCUUGAAUCUAUCAAACCAGGCUCUAGGUGCCUGUUUUAAGCCAUACAAAGCUUUAUUCAGCUUGCAGAUAUGAUUAGGUUUAGUUGAGUCAACAAAACCUUCAGGUUGAGCCAUGUACACCUCUUCAAUUAAAAUGCCAUUUAGAAAGGCAUUAUUAACAUCUACUUGCCUAAUCACCCAUUGAUUCAAUACUGCUAAGCUAAGAAUAACUCUAACAGUUGAAGCUUUAACUACUGGACUAAAAGUUUCUGUAUGGUCAAUCCCAUGUGUCUGAUGAAACCCCUUUGCAACAAGCCUGACUUUAUAUCUUGAAACUGAACCAUCUGAGUUAUACUUUAUUCGAAACACCCAUUUGCUGCCAACUAUCUUCACUGGAGUAGCAUGUAAAACUAAAUCCCAGGUGUGAUUAGUUUUAAGUGCUAGAUACUUUUCUUGCAUAGCCUUAUACCACAUAGGAUCAGAAAGUGCUUGGGAAACAGAAGUUGGUUCUGAUUUCUGGGCUAAUAAAGCUGACAAAUAAAUUUUUGGCUUGAAAAUACCUGCUUUUGACCUGGUUAUCAUUGGAUGACCAGUUGAUGCAGGUUGUGGCAAUGUAUGUGGAGGUGAAUUAUGUGGUAGUGAAGAAGAAGAAGCUGAGUUGGAAUUAUCAGAAAAAUAAAGUGGAGUAGAAUUUGGUGAGGGAGUAGGAGCAUCUGAAUGAUGAACAUUUUGAUGGUGUUCUGAUGAUGCUGCUAAAGGUGCUUGUAACUGAGUAAUAGAAGGAACAGAGGAAUUGAAAGAAGACUUAUAAUUUUUUGUUGACUAACAACUUGAAGAGAGUGAAGAAAAAUCUGCUCCAGACUCAUAAGGAAAAGAAUUUUCAUCAAAGGUGACAUGAUUUGAAAUGUAAACCCUCUUAGAAGAGUGAAGACACUGAUAUCCCUUGUGUUGUGAAUUGUAGCCAAUGAAUAUACAUCUGGCAGUUCUGAAAUCAAACUUAUGUCUAUUGUAUGGUCUGAGUGUUGGAUAACAAGCACAACCGAAGGUUUUAAGUGUUGAAUAAUCUGGUUGAUGAUGAAAUAACUUUUGGAAAGGAGAAAUGUUGUUUAGAAUUGGAGUUGGAAGUCUGUUUAUCAAAUAGACAGCUGUGUGGAAUGCAUUCCACCAAAAUUUGAGUGGUAAAUGUGCUUGAGCUAAUAAGGUCAGACCUACAUCAACUAUGUGUCUAUGUUUCCUCUCAAUUCUUCCAUUUUGAUGAUGAAUAUGUGGGCAAGGGUGUCUAAAAUGGAUACCAGAAGCAGUGAGUAAUGAGGAAAAUGUUCUGAACUCUUCUCCCCAAUCAGUUUGGACAGUUUUGAUUUGAAGUUGAAGAUGCUUUUCAAUAAAAAUUUUGAAAUUGGUAAACACUUCAAGAGCAUCAGAUUUGGCUGACAAUGGAAAUAUCCAGGUAAAUCUACUAUAAUCAUCUAAGAUUGAUAAGUAGUAAUUAUAUCCUUGGGUAGAACAGACAUGAGAAGGACCCUGAUGGCUGUCGAAGCCAACAAAAAUAAAUUCCUACUCUAAAUAAAUUGUGUAUAGUGAUUGAGCAGGGUCGUGUCCACAGAGAUCGAUAAUUAUUUAAAUCCUUUUGAAACGUAAAACGUAAAAUGGGGGAAUUGUUGACAAUAAUAAAAAUCAAAUUAAAAAUAACAAGAAUGCAAAUUAAAGUUGUAAUUUAAAUUGGAGAAAGCUCUGGUUGAAGGAAUUAACUCAGCUUGAUUCGACUACUGAUCAUUGAUUCAAAUAUAGAUUAUUAUUACUCAUGAAUAGACCGGUUAUAGCUACUGAGACCCUCUAAUAGCCAAUCUCUCCUUAACUAGUCGAUAACCAAGGUACGACCGUUGGUUAUUUCCCUAAUCAAUAGACAACCCUAGAUACGAUCAUAGAAUUUAAUCAAUUGACAGCCUGAAAAACCAGAGAGACCCAAAUCCUAAUCAACACAUAUGAUGAUUCAUUUAAAUUAGAUUGUUUAUUCUCACAACACAACUCUCUGCUAUGUUAUUAGUCACAAGCAUUAAAUUCUUCAUACGAUGAAUCCUUUAAUUGACAAUAGAUUAAGUUGAUAAUUAAAUAGUGGCCAAUUACCUAAUUAACAAACAUAAUCAUGAAAAUAAUUCAGAGAAUAAACAAAUACCCAAAAAGUAAUAAAACAAUUAAAGCACAAGAAAGAUCUCACAGUAGUGAUGAAUCAAAGCUUCAUUAACCUUCAACCAGAAAAAUGGGUUUAGUUUCUCAUAGAGAGAAGAGAAAAAUUAGAUCUAGGGUUUCUUUUUCUCCAAUCCAAAAUUCCCCCCUUUCACAAUAGAUUCCUCCCUUAAAUACUCUCUCUCUCUUCUCCUCUAGAAUUCUAUUUAAAAUAAAAUACUAAUAUCUGAAAUAUUAAAUUCGUAAUUACAAAAAUAACCAAAAAUACAAAACACGUUAAACUAAAAACUGCAGGUCCGCAGUUGACAGCACGCGCCCACGCCUUAUCAAUAAAGUUCUUCUGCCGCUCAUAAUUUCUCCAAGAGAACAAUCAUCCUUAAAAAUCAUCUUGUAGCUCAAUUUUAUCACCAAUCAAUAGAAUUGCACCUACAAAAGUAAAACACAAGUAAAUCAUUAUUAUUAAGUGCAAAACAUCGAUAUUAAGGGAAGUAAACAAUGCAAAACUAGUGCAUAAAUUGCACUCUAACAAAUUCCCCCACACCAAGAUGAUGCUUGUCCUCAAGCAUAUAACUCAAGAUUAAUCCCAAAUCUCCACUCAAUUCUCAUCUCAACUCAUCCAAAAAUAGAAAUUAAGUCGAUCAACAUUCGAGAGACAAGGAUUUUAAAGCAUAGAAUCUCAUAAGAUAGAAUAAGAACAUUCAACCACCAAGAAGAUCCAUUCAAAAUUCAAGUGCAACAAGAUGUAAUAGCCCUCUCAAUAACUUCACUCCAUGCACUCAAAGUGUUUAGGGUGUCAUUUAUCCACUCAAAUCAAAUCAAAGAAUGCUAUUACCAUAAGCUUGCUCAUAUAUCACAUCUCAAUCCACAAAACAUGAAUAAAAUGCAAAAAUCUAAGGGUCUUAAAAGGAUUGUAAUGGGGUUAAAUGGGUUAAAUGAAAAAGAAAGGUUUACGAAAGAAAAAGAGAUCAAAAUGAGAAGAAUGAACUCAUUGAAUGAACUUAUGAUAUCAAAAUGCUUAUUUCUACUCAAGUCACCAAGAAUGUAAACAUUUUUUUUUUCGAUUUUUCUUUUUCUUUUUUUUUCUUUUUCCUUUUCUUUUUCUUUUUUUUUUUCAUUUUUUCAUUUUUUUUUGUUUUUUGUUUUUUGUUUUUUUCGAAUCAAACAAAAGAAACGAACCUUGCACAAUUUAAUUCAAGCAUAAUGCUUGUUGAUCUAAUUGAGAAACUUCAAUACAAGGUAGAAAAAGCAACAAAAUAUAUCCACACAAUGAGUCCAAAAAUCUCCUUAAAUUGAGGCUCAAAAAGAAGAAAAAUGGUUAAGUAGACGGAGAGAAUUAGAUGGGUAAUGGUUAAGGCUCAAACAAAGGUAGCAAAUAAAGGUCUUCGGGUAGAGAAAAAGGAAAAUGCGAGAAUAGAAAAAUGGUAAAUGGUUUGCCCUUAUCAUUUUAAUGCCUAAAAUCCCGUAAUGUGGCUUCAAUAUGCAUAACAAAGCAAAUUCUAGAAUAAACAAACUAGGAUUGAUAUUCACAUAACAAAAAUAAUUAGAGCAAAGUGGUUGCUCAUAGGCUCAAAUCCUCACAAAGUUGGUAAAUUUGCCAUCAAAUCAUGUACACUCUUCAAAUGAAUCAACCAUCAAUAGUGGUGUAGAAUGAGAAGAAGGUAUGAGUGAUAUAUAAAAGAAAAGGUAAAAAUUAUAAGAAGUGAGAAAGAUGUAUGUAGUAAUAUGAAAAGUGAAAGAUAAAAUGUGAGUGAUGAAAGAGUAUGGUAAAAUAAAAAUAGAUAUGAAUAGUUUGAGAUAGAUGGGAAAAAAGUAGUGAGAAAGAAAAGAAAAGAAAAUUAAUAAUAUAUGAAGCAUACUAACUCCAAAAUCAUUUAAGGAUGAGUAGAGUGAAAAUAGAUGAGUAGAGUGAAAAUAAUAAUUCCAGACAUCAAUAAUGCAAAAAUCCCUCCCCCACACCAAGAACUUACAUUGUCCCCAAUGUAAGAUAAUCAAAGCUCACAUAAAAAUUAAAGCGUAAGGAUAAAAGAUUAAGGGCAAAAAAAAAAACUUCCCUGAAUUGUGAGCUUUGAUCCACAUAACGUCUAUGGGCUUGGCGGAAAUGGUGGGGUAAAUCCCACACUCUCGAAGUAUGCGGCCAAAUUCUGCUCCAUCUUGUUCAGCUUGUGCUCCAUUUUCUCUAACUGAAUACUCAAAGGUGGUGCGGAUGUAGAAGGAAUAGUUGGCGGGGCAGCAGUGUCGUCGUCAAACUCGUCAUCAGAGGUAGCACCACUCCUAGCAUAAAGCUUCUUCGGAAGUUGAGUGGGUCCUGGUUCAGUAAACUGAAAUCUCCCCUCCUUGAAUUCAACCACACCUGUUCUUUCAAACACAGACAUAUCCAAAAAUUCCUUUUUGCAAGCAGGAUGCAAAUCAUUAUUGUCGGGAUCAAGAACACAUAGGUUUAUAGCUAACAGAGUAAUGUAUGGACCAAGAAAUAAAGUCCUAUACCGUUUAAGCACAUUUUGAAAUUGAUCCGCUAACCAAAAACCUAAAUUAGGCCUCACAUCAUUUAACAUGCACCAGAUAAAAUAAAAUUCAGUUUUAGAGAAAAUUCCCGAGUGAUCUUUCUUGCCUAAAAAAUUAUAUGCUAAGAAUCGAUGCACACAUUUCAAAACAGGAUCACGUAAGAAAGAACUCUUUGAUUUACUCGGGUCAUAGGCAUUGUGAUCAACAGAUAAAUUACGCCAAAGACCAUAAGGCUCAAAAUUUUCGCUAAAGUCACAAGUUGUUCCUAAAUAUGCAUCACUAGAAGAAUAAUCAUCAUCAAUGAAUCCUAAAGCUAGGUUAAAAUCCGUGAUAGAGUGUGAAAAAUUUCGUCUCAUUAACCUAAACUUAAUGACAUUCGGGGUAUGCAAAGUAAAAUCAUUCGGCAUAGUAAAUUGAAAAGUAGCAUAAAACUCCCUAAUCAACUCAACAUAACCCAAACAAUCAACAUCAACAAAUUUACGCAACCCAAUCUUAUCUAUCAAAGAAUCAAAAUUAUCCUUAACAUUCAAUUUUUCAAGAGUCGGGUAAUGAAUAUACUUAGCUGGAAGUAUUUUGCAAGUGGAAAUAUCUUUGUACCUCUCUUUCUCUUGUUGAGUCGCGAACGCGAGGCACCCUCCGAGAUUGGAUUCCGCAAGUGGCAAAACACUCAUGCCUUUUCCAUGCUUCGAUCUUUGUCUCACGGCUUUGCGUGAAUCUGAAAUUGUGUUCCAUGGAACCGUAGUGGGAGCGGCAAUCUUAGAUUUCUUUACGACGGGUUUCUUUUUCGAUGACUUGGAAGUAGAUGCUUUCCUCUUCGGCAUUGUUACAAUAAUUGCACUCACGGAUUUCGAUUUACCCGGCUGGAAUACAUGACGUAGGCUGGUUGCGUUGCGUUGCUGCUCGACUGGAGCUUGCUGUGCGGGUUGGAGCUGGUUGCGCACUGCUGGGCUGCGAGACACGGGAUGCUGGUGCUGCGCUCGCGGGGGCUUGCGUUGCGAGCUGGUGAUUCGCGUUGCUGGUUCGUGCUGCGUUGCGGGGCUGCUGGUGGGACUGAUGUUGCGCGUUGCGGCUGGGGCUGGAUCUACGCACUGCUGUGUGAUUCGCGAGAGCCGGUUCGUCUGCGUUGCUGUGCUGCACUGAGGUUGAUUCGCGUUGCUGCUGGUUGCGGUGCGCGAUGCUGCGCCCGGCGGCUGGGGCUGGUGGGGCUUGCUGCUGGAAAACGAUAAUCAACAGUAAUUUUUUUGAAUUAGGGAUUUGUGAACAGUGAUUUUCGAAUUUUUUUUUUUUUUUUUUUUAGUGAUGAAUCACUUUGAGACACUAAAAAUUUCAGAAGUACUUUUUUAAUAAGCACGUGGGCACGCCUUAUCAAAAAUUUUCUUCUGGCCAAAAUAAGCAAACACAUUAUUUUAAAAAAAAAUCUGAAUCAAAAUUAAAAGAAGAUAUAACAAAAACCAAAAUAAAUAAAUCAUUUGGGUUGCCUCCCAAAAAGCGCCUUUGUUUUAUGUCUUUGGCUAGACACGUUUAUGCAUCAAUCUCCAUAAUUGGGACUCUCGAGAGCCACAUCCUCCACAAUAUUCACCGAAAAACCUUCAUAAAAAGGUUUUAAGCGAUGACCAUUAACCUUAAAAACUUUGUCAGAGGUCGGACUCCGAAUCUCAACUGCACCAUGAGGAAAAACAUUAGUAACAAUAAAAGGUCCAACCCAGCAAGAACGUAAUUUACCCGGAAAAAGUUUAAGCUUAGAAUGAAAAAGAAGAACUUUUUGACCAACAGAGAACUCCUUUCUCAAAAUCAUUCUAUCAUGAAAUGUCUUCGUCUUUUCCUUGUAAAAAAUUUCCUGCGCUAUAGGGUUAAUAACAUCCACAGAAAAUACCGAAUGUUCCUCACUAGGAUAUUUCAUGGUAUCAUUCAUAUUGAAUCCUAUAACCUCUCCAUCAAACUCCAUAGUGAGAGUCCCUUUAUGUACAUCCAUUUUAGUCAUAGCAGUCUUAAGAAAAGGUCUUCCUAGCAAAAUUGGGACAGAAUUAGAGGAGUUAUCAUCUUCCAUAUCAAGUACAUAAAAAUCAGCAGGAAAAACCAACUCAUUAACUUGUACUAAGACAUCUUCUAAUACCCCAUCAGGAUAUGCAUUAGACCUAUCAGCUAGUUGAAUUAUCACGCCAGUUUCUUUUAAUGGACCAACAUUCAAAGAUGAAUAAAUGGAACGAGGCAUGACAUUAAUAGAAGCUCCUAGAUCUAACAUAGCCUUUUCAACUCUAACACUACCAAUUUUACAAGGGAUAGUAAACAUACCUGGAUCCUUGCACUUAGGAGGUAGUUUCUUUUGGAAAAUUGCUGAAACAUUCUCCCCCAUGUGAACUUUUUCAUCUCCUCUUAAUUUUCUUUUGGAGGUGCACAGUUCCUUAAGGACUUUAGCAUAUCGAGGUAUUUGUUUUAUAGCAUCUAAUAAAGGAAUAUUUACCUCAACCUUGCGAAAUGUCUCAAGGAUGUCUUUCUCUUGUUCUUCCUUCUUGGAUUUUGCAAACCGGCUUGGAAAAGGAGGAGGUAUCACAAUAGGUAGGGGUUUCGCUCCGGUGGGUUGUGCAUCUUGAGAUUGAGGCAUCAAUUCAUUCUUCUCAAGCUCAUCUUCUACAUGCUCUGUCACUUUCUUACUAGGCUCUUGCAACUCCUUCCCACUUCUAAGGAUGAUAGCACUAACGUUUUGCUUUGGAUUCACCUCAGAUUAUGAAGGCAAUCUUCCUAAUACUCGAGACUCCAGAUGGCUUACUGUAGUCGCCAAUUGACUCAUUUGGUUCUCCAAGUUCUGAAUGCUUGCUGUAGUUGCCUGCUGAAAUUGUUGAGUGUUAGUCGCAAGUGAUUUAACAAUUUCUUCAAGAGAUAUACCUGACUUGGAGUUUGACUGUGGAGGUGCUGGUUGUCUUGGUGGAUACUGUUGUGGGAAUCCUGACGGUUUAACUCCAUAGCUGAAGUUGGGAUGAUCCUUCCAUCCCAGAUUGUAUGUUUGUGCAUAAGGAUCAUACCUCCUCUGAGGCAUGCCUGGAAAUCCUCCAACUGCAUUGGCUUGUUCAACGAGUUCUUCUUGGAGUGUAGGACACAUAUAAGUUGAAUGACCCAUAUUGUAACAAAUGCCACAAGUCUUCACCUGUUGCACAUUACCUACAACAAACUUUUCCACAAGAGAAGUAAGUUUAUCUAAACGUUGUUCAACAAAAGAAAUAUUUACCUCAUUCACCUUCCUUGAAGUGGGAUCUUGCCUGCUACUAAAUUGUUGUGCAUUGGCAGCCAUAUUUGAGAUCAACUCCCUUGCUUGAGUAGGGGUUUUGUUCACCAACACACCUCCACUAGCAGCAUCUAUCAUACUUCUAUCCAUUAAUGAUAGUCCUUCGUAAAAAUAUUAAAUAAGAAGUUGAUCAGAAAUCUGAUGCUAAGGACAGCUGGCACACAAUUGUUUGAAUCGCUCCCAAUACUCAUACAAAGUCUCCCCAGGAAGUUGUCUGAUCCCACAAAUAUCUUUUCUGAUGUUGGCAGCUCUUGAAGUAGGAAAGUACUUCUCAAGGAACUGCUUUUUCAAACCAUUCCACGUUGUAAUUGAUCCAGGAGGCAAGUAGUACAACCAAUCUUUAGCUAGCCCAUCUACAGAGAAUGGAAAAGCACGCAACUUAAUCUGCUCUUCAGUCACGCCUUGUGGCCUCAUACUUGAGCACACAACAUGAAACUCCUUGAGAUGUUUAUGAGGAUCUUCACCUGCAAAACCAUGAAACUUGGGUAAUAAAUGAAUAAGCCCAGACUUUAAUUCAAAAUUUACCUCCAAGUCUACAUAUUGAAUGCAGAGUGGUUGUUGAUUCAAGUCUGGUUCAGCUAACUCUCUAAGAGUUCUUUCUACAGGUGCAGGUCUAUCCAUCACUUGUUCUUCUGAAUCGCUAGAUGAUUCAACUAAAUCAGGCACUGUAUCUGUUUCAGAAAGCAAAGGCGACGAGGAUCGUUGCUUAGCUCGCUUUGUCUGCUGUCUCAGUUGGCGAGCUGUCUUCUCAAUUUUAGGAUCAAACGAAAGUGUACCUGUACGAGAAGAACGAACCAUACACCAAGUAAAACGUAAAAAAGAUUAAAUAAAUGACACCAAUCCCCGGCAAUGGCGCCAAAAUUUGAUGGGUGUCGAAGCCAACAAAAAUAAAUUCCUACUCUAAAUAAAUUGUGUAUAGUGAUUGAGCAGGGUCGUGUCCACAGAGAUCAGUAAUUAUUUAAAUCCUUUUGAAACGUAAAACGUAAAAUGGGGGAAUAGUUGACAAUAAUAAAAAUCAAAUUAAAAAUAACAAGAAUGCAAAUUAAAGUUGUAAUUUAAAUUGGAGAAAGCUCUGGUUGAAGGAAUUAACUCAGCUUGAUUCGACUACUGAUCAUUGAUUCAAAUAUAGAUUAUUAUUACUCAUGAAUAGACCGGUUAUAGCUACUGAGACCCUCUAAUAGCCAAUCUCUCCUUAACUAGUCGAUAACCAAGGUACGACCGUUAGUUAUUUCCCUAAUCAAUAGACAACCCUAGAUACGAUCAUAGAAUUUAAUCAAUUGACAGCCUGAAAAACCAGAGAGACCCAAAUCCUAAUCAACACAUAUGAUGAUUCAUUUAAAUUAGAUUGUUUAUUCUCACAACACAACUCUCUGCUAUGUUAUUAGUCACAAGCAUUAAAUUCUUCAUACGAUGAAUCCUUUAAUUGACAAUAGAUUAAGUUGAUAAUUAAAUAGUGGCCAAUUACCUAAUUAACAAACAUAAUCAUGAAAAUAAUUCAGAGAAUAAACAAAUACCCAAAAAGUAAUAAAACAAUUAAAGCACAAGAAAGAUCUCACAGUAGUGAUGAAUCAAAGCUUCAUUAACCUUCAACCAGAAAAAUGGGUUUAGUUCCUAAUAGAGAGAAGAGAAAAAUUAGAUCUAGGGUUUCUUUUUCUCCAAUCCAAAAUUCCCCCCUUUCACAAUAGAUUCCUCCCUUAAAUACUCUCUCUCUUCUCCUCUAGAAUUCUAUUUAAAAUAAAAUACUAAUAUCUGAAAUAUUAAAUUCGUAAUUACAAAAAUAACCAAAAAUACAAAACACGUUAAACUAAAAACUGCAGGUCCGCAGUUGACAGCACACACCCACGCCUUAUCAAUAAAGUUCUUCUGCCACUCAUAAUUUCUCCAAGAGAACAAUCAUCCUUAAAAAUCAUCUUGUAGCUCAAUUUUAUCACCAAUCAAUAGAAUUGCACUUACAAAAGUAAAUCAUUAUUAUUAAGUGCAAAACAUCGAUAUUAAGGGAAGUAAACAAUGCAAAACUAGUGCAUAAAUUGCACUCUAACAGACCCCAAAGAUCUGCAUAUAUCACUUGUAAGGGUGCUGAAGUUUUUGUUUCAACUGAAUCAAAAUGCAGCAUAUGAUUUUUCCCAUAUUGACAUGCUGAACAAAAUUUCAAGCUUUCAAUUUUAUUAUAAGCAGUAGAGUUGUUACAAGUUUUGAGUAUAGUUUUGAGAGUAUAAGAUGCUGGGUGUCCUAAUCUUCUAUGAAGAAGAUUUACAUCAAUAGAACUCUUUGUAACAACUGACAGACAUGGCUUUUUAUUCAAUUCAUAAGAACUAACAGCAGUGAGCUGAUCAGAAUUGAAAACAGGAGAACAAGCAAAGAGAGUGAAUUUUAUUUUGACCAACUGAAUUGAGAAAGACUGAAUGAGCAGCAACAUGUGAAGAGACUCUAUACAAGUCACCUUUAGCAACACCUUCAAGUAAAAUUUUCCUUGUGUUCCUAGCCUUUAUAAAAAACAAAUCACCAAGAAAUUCCAACAGUAACUGGAUUGUCAGCCAAUAAUUUUGAAAUGCUAAGCAAAUUCUUAGUAAUAAAAGGGACAUGAAGAACAUGGUUUUUAAAGGUUUAGAAGUUGAAGUAUUUAGCACAACUGAUCCUACAUGUGUAAUAGCUAAUGCAUUUCCAUCUCCAACAAACAAUUUUUCAGUACUAGUAUAAAUUUGUGAAUCCAGAAGUUUACCUAGAUCAUUUGUAAUGUGAUUUGUUGCUCCACUAUCAAUAUACCAUGAAGGAUCUUCAAUGUGUUCUGGUGGAAGUGAAGAAGGCAUAGCUGAGGAAGAUGAAGCACUUGACUGUCCAGGAUUAUUAUUUCCUUGACCAGAAACAAAAGUAGAUGGUCUAGGGGUGAAUGAGUAAUAAGCAGAAGGAUUACUAUCUGGAUACACCAUAUUUCCUUGAUAGCCAAAACCAGCAUUUAAACCAAAACCUCCAAAACCUCUGCCACCAUUACCAUUAAAAGCUCUUCCUCUACCAUAUUGCCCUUGAUUAAAACCUCUGCCACCAUUCAUAUUACCUCUGCCAUAGUUUCUCUGUGGAACAAAAGAUGAAUUGUACCUAUUUUUGCAUCUAUUGGCUGCAUGACCAGGUAUGAAGCAGAUUUGACAAACAGUUUCAGAGGAAUUACCACCAUUAUUAAACUGACCAUAUCCAUAUCCAUUAAAACCUCCAUACCUAGAAUUAUUUCCAUAAUUUUUUUGAAAAUUGCCAUUAUUCUUUCCAGCAUAUGAGUUCUUCUGAGCAAUAUUUGCUGUCAUAUUGUGCAUCACAUCACCAGCAAUUUUUCCUUUCUUUUGUUCAACUCUAUUUUCAUGAUUCAAUAGCAAAGGAUAUAGUUCAUCUAAUGUUAUCUUCUCACCUCGAGCUAAAACACCUGUGACUAAAGAUUCAUAAUCUGAUGAAUCAAGACCAGUUAAUACAUGAAUCACAAGAUCACUUAACUCAACAGGUUUUCCAGCUAGAGCUAAAGUAUCAGCUAUACGUUUUACUUUUGCAAAGUAAUCAGACAUAUGCAUUGCACCUUUCUUAAUAGUUUGAAUCUGCAUUCUAAGUGUUUGAAUUCUAGCUUGUGAUUAAGAAAUAAACAUACUAGUAAGAGUCUUCCAAAGCUGUUUUGAAGUUGUGGAGUCAAUCACAGUAGCAAGUAGAUUUUGCUGUAUCGACGACAUCAUCUAACUCAACAGAAGUUGAUCAGUCUUCAUCCAAGCUAUGAACUCUGGAUUAAUAGAUUUGGAUUCAGAUUCAGUAAAAAUUUCAGCUCCAUUGUUGUUUCCAAAAGAAAGAAACUACUCAGGACAUUCUUGAUCACCAUUGAUAAACCCUUCCAGACCGUUUCCUUUGAUCGAUGCUAAAAUUUGUGCCCGCCAUAAAAUGAAGUUGUUUUGGUCUAGCUUUGCAGGCGUAACAAAACUAAAAGAGUUGUUAUUUUGAACUGUAUUCGCCAUUUAUGGCUCUAAUACCAUGAAAGAAACUUAGUUUUGCAUUGUUUGGCAAGCUAGAAAAUGAAGAAAAUAAAAGAAAGCUCUGUAAAGAAGUUUGUAGAACCUUUAUUACUUUAGCAUUACAACUGAAUGAAUACAGACUGAUAUUUAUAUUAAGCUACAAUUUGCUCAACACACACACGAGUUUGUUACAUCACAUAACCAUUUGCUGCAUAACUAAUUUGACACAUCAGCUCAACCAGCUAAUUAACUUUGCCAGGUCAGCUUAGUGAGUUGAUCUGCUAAAUUCAGCUACACAGCAACAUCAUGCUCUGCUCUAGCUUCAUUCAAUUCACUAGCAUUUUCCCUUGAUACAUUAGGAGAAAAGACUGCCUGUGAGAUACAACAAUGUAAAUAACUUCUCAUGGUUCAUUGAAUCUAUAACGCACUGAGCCCUAUUCUAAAAUAUGUAGGUUGCUUCUGAAAAAGGGCUUUUCUCACUGAUCUUUAAUCUUCAAGAAAGUUUGUUUCAUUUCAGAAGGUAUAAGUUUCAAACUUAUUGUAUUGGGAGGUUGUAUAGUUGUAACCUAAGCAUCUGCAGGUUCCUGGUUCAACACAUUAUAGUAUGGUAUUUUAUUUUGUCACAAGGCAAUUGGUUACGGGAUCACUUUUGCAACGGUUUGUUGAUGGCGAUGAUGAAUUUCGCAAUAGUAGGUUGAAACUUAUUCCAUCUGUUCCUAAGGUAUCCAUCUUGGCCUUCAUGUAGUAGGACUAUAUUAACGUAUACUUACCCUUUACUGCAUGGUACACUUCAAUUUGUACAAAGAAGGCAUGCAUUUAGGUGUGAAUGUAUUGAUGGGUUGUACCUUCAAACUUUAUCUCCUUUUUACCCUCUUGAAUUUGUUUUGCACUUGUUCUUGAUUUUCAGCACUGAAUCAUGCAGGGGUCAUGGAUAGUGCGCCAGAGUGUUGGAAGCACCCCUUGUUUAUUGGGGAAGGCAGUUGAUUGUAACUAUAUUCGCGGUCCCAAGUACUUAGAAGUAAAUGCUCUUGGAAUUUCUAUAGUACAUGAGAUGUUCCCCUUUCAAAUAGCGUCCAAUACCUUUAACAUGGUUUAACAUUGUUCAUCUUUCUGUAGAUUGAUGUUGACAUCGAUUCUUCUACUGUUGCUAAUGGAGUUUUGGGCCUUGUAAUUGGUGUAAUUACGACAUUGGUGGUUGAGAUGGCUUUCCUUGUACAGGUAUGUAUGAUUGUUUUUUUCCCCCACUGCUAAAUGGACACAAGGGAAAAGACAUGAUUUUGAGAUAUUGCACUGCAACUUGCAUUUUUGCAUACUUGAAUGUUCUCAGAAUGAUAUAAUGCUUCUGUGUGUGUCUUCUUUAUCUUGCUCUUCUGUAUGCAGGCAAAUACUACAGAUGAAUUACCGGAGCGGCUGAUUGGUGCUGUACGUGUUUCUCAUAGAGAACUCAAGUCUGCUGUUGUCCCAAAGCUGGAACCAGAGAUAUCAUGACUCUGGUUUCAUUUCAGCUCAACUGUGUUUUUUUUUUAAUUAAAAAAAUCAUUUGUUUUAGGUAUACAUACAUGUAUUUUGAUUCUAUUUUCAUUGUAAUUUCUCAUUUACUUUGAAUGAAAGUCAUUGGUGUUUUCGAAUGGGAAUUUUGCAUUAAAAAAUGAAGAAUAAUGAAUAGGAAAUUUCCUGAUUCUUUAGUUACUAUUUUUGGUAUGAGUGUAAUUAGUAGUAAAGUAGGUUUCUACUCGCAAACAAGUGAACUACUCGAUUCCCGAGUGGUAUCAACCAGUUUCCAACUUUUUAAUAUACACUAAUUGUUAUUGUUUAAUAGCUACUACUAUUAAAACUCAACAGCUAGCAAAAAUACUUAAAAAAAAUGAUUUUUCUUAUGAUGCUGUGAAAAAAAUUACGGGUGUACUUCUUUCCAUGAGAUCUAUAACAUGGUCUCGACUUCACGAAAUUCUUUUAAUUUAAAGCGUGCUGGUGUGAGGUCAGUUUAACUGAUUAAUUCUUUUUAACAGUGGUCGAGAUAAUUUUACUAUACUAAAAAAUAUUCUUAUUCUGAUAAUGCCACAAAUGUUAUGCUGUUUUCUUCAGAUAAUGAUCUUCCAUUAGGAGAGGUUAGAAAUCAAAUGCUUAAAAGACCAAUUGAACGAAUAAUACAGAAAUUUAGGCAGAAUCUAAUAGAAUAUUGCAUGAAACAUGAAACAUCAAUUCAAGUCCUUUCUUAAACGGAGAAUGCAUCAAACAAAAUCCAAAGUGUCUUGCAAGUCUGUAGCGUGAGCAAAAAAUUGUAAAUAUGUAGAACCAAAUUAUUCAAGUACAGAAGAACGAGCAAGCUAAAUCAUGUAUAAGAGAUUGGCCUGGUUCGGGAUAGCUUCUUCACUGUAUCUGAAGGGUUGGCUCAAUCUCUUCUUUAGAAUUCUGCAGAUUUUGUAAUUACUCGUGUAAGCAAGUAUACAUUGCCACCAUAAGAAUAAUGAAGCUAGAGUAAUGAUAUGACCACCACCUCUUGUGCACAAACAAUAUUGUAUAAACUAAUGCGACAUAAUAUGAUUGGUUAAACAAAAACAUUACAUGGCCCUCAUAAUUUAUUUAUUUAUUUAUUAUUAUUAUUAUAUAUUUUCAGUCAACCAAUCAUAUUAUAUCACAUUAGUUUCUAUAAAAUAAUUUGCUAAAUAGCACCAAAACUUAAUUGAUACUCACCAUUUCAUUGAACAAUUUUUUUAUGGUGUCAUUGAGGUUGCCUUCCCAACAUCGUUCAUCAUCAUCUUUUUCUUCUUUGGUGACGUUCACUUUGUUUAGCAUUGGUGUGUCUAAGAGUCCUUGAGAGAAGAUCUUCAUUUUUGGACACUGUCUCACAACUACUUGUUUCAAGGACGGGAAUUCAAGAGCGUAAUUACCUAAACAAAAGCUUGUUAGGCUUGGCAAACAAUCAAGUCUCAAGUACUCCAAUUCCUUGAAAACAUUGCAAUCUUUCGCUUCUUCUCCAACCUGCAAUUGUAUGAUUUGUUCUAUCAUUUUGCAAUCAACUAUCAUCAUUCUUUUGAGAUUCACUAGAUUUUUAGAUGCUGAGAGCGUCAACACAUUUAUCAAUCCGUGACACUUCGAUACUGCCAAAGCCUCAAGAUUUUCCAAAUGCCACGAAGGUGGUACUAAUUUUUGCAACUUACUACAUUCCGAUAUUUUUAGACUUUUCAAGUUUGCAAACACUUUGUUGGAUUCGGCAUUUUCCUUCCAGAGAUGGUGCACUUUGUGUAAUCCAGACAGCUCUAACCAUCUCAAUCGAGGGAAUGAAACCUGAAAAUCAACAAAAUUAAGUUGUAAAUGAAAAUAUGUAUCCAAUCUCUGCAGUCUUCCCCUGCAUAUUUUAUGGACAAGAUUAAUCACGACAUUUUAUAUUUUUUUUCCAAAUUAGAAUGCUUUGCAGUAGGAUCCCAAAUAUAAGUAUCAAAUCGAUUACCCUUUGAAACACAUAAAUGAAAUCUGAUACUAAAUCCAAUAUGAAUUAGCUAGGAAAACAGAGAUGUUACACACAUAAUUAAUAGAGUUCAUCACCUCGUGUUACCAGGCAUCCAAUUAAUUUAAGACAUUUUAAUAAUUCAUAUUAUAAAGUUAGUUGAUAGCGGAGGUUAUAUUGUUAAAUCAUAUAUAAAUUAAGACGACGUGCAAAAAGAGGAGUCAUUAAAUUCGAUUUGAUUCUAACGAAAUUACAUCUAUGCGAAUGAAAGUGAAGGGAAAUAAUAAUAAUAAUAAUAAUAAUCACCUUUUCAUCGAAGAGAGGUUGUACUUGAUGAGCCAGCAAGAAGUUCUCUUCUGAUGUUAAUUUUUGAGGUUCCUUAUUAUCCGCUGUCAUGUGCAGUACAGAGUUGGAUAUGAAUGUUUCUAUAUCUCGGCAAUUCUCAAUAGUUAGAUUUCUCAACAUAGGCAUUUCAAUUAUAUUCCCAGUGAAGUUGCAGAAUCUUUUGAGUUUUGGAAGAUCAGUGAGCCUCAGCCUGUAAAGCUUAGGAAACAGGGGGCUUAUAUGUUCUUUGUCAGCAUUUAGCUCCUCCAAAUGAAGCACCUCUUCUAUUGAAUCACAAUUCCUCUCUUCCAGCCAUACCAAAUUGUUCAAGCACCGUAGCAGAUUGGCAGGAAUAGCACUCGACAUAUUCGUGCAGUCAUCCACAGCCAGUUGUCGUAAAUUGUUGAAGAAGCUGACAGGCAGUGCUUGGCCAUGCCAUAUUUCUUUCAAACGUGGAAAAUGUGAGAGUUGCAAAUCCCAUAUGUCACGGAAUCCAAUCUGCACAAACAAAAACAAUUGCACUGGAUAUAUAUAAAUUUUUUUUUUGAAUCAACUUACAUGUUUUGUGUUUUAACUUCUAAAACUAUAUAUACAAGGCAGGUGUAUAUGUUCAAAUGUCCAAGUGCAAGGGAGAUGCAUAAGUAAUUUCGACGAAUCGAUUUAACACAUACCAUUUCUUCGUAACACUUUUGUAUAGUGGAAUUAAGGUUGCCUUCCCAAUGGCGCAAUUCACCCUCUCCCUGUUAAGAAUAGAAUUAGUUAGUUAAUGAGUAUGCUGACAUGGCAGCUGAGUCAGCUAAAGGUUGUUAUAGAGGUUGUUAGUAGUAAACUGUGCGUGUGUGCAAUGUGUGUAGAAUCUUCUAUGCACAUAUAAAAAGGCUUGUAAUUUCCAGAUUCAUUAGAUCAAUAAUAACAGAAUUCUCAGCUUACAGAAGUUUUCUUUCUUCCUAUUUUCUUAGUAACCAAACAACAUCACAGUUUCAUAUAAAACUUAAUACUUCCUUUUUACUCACAUGCACUUCGUGCAGCUUUGGUGUGGAUACGAUUCCCUGAGAAAAAGUCUUCAUGUUCGGGUAACAUGUCAUAGAAACUCGUUCCAAUGAUGGGAAUUCAAGAGUGUAAUCCUCCAAACAAAAGCUGGUAAGCCUUGGUAAAUGAUUUCAGGUAAUUUUUAAAUAUUCUAAAUUCAUUUAGAAUAUUUAAAUGAAUUUAGAAUAUUCACUAUUUAGUAUUAGGAAUGGAGAAAGAAUUUCAGGUAAUUUUUAAAUAUUCUAAAUUCAUUUUUCAUCUUGAUUCUAGUUUUUUAAAAAAAUUUAAUUUUCAAACAUGCGUAUUUUUAAAAUAACUAAACUAAAACGCUGUAUUUCCCUUUUUUUCCCGAUAUUCAUGCUUUUAAAAAUGGAAAACAUUUCUGGAAAACACUUCCCAACGCCAUCAACAUGGGACUGUUAUAGAUGAAUUAAGGAAAAGAGAAAUAUAUAGAUGAAUUUGUGAACCUAUAAGAUGAGUGACUAUCCUUUAAUUUUUGAAAAUUGUACUUAUUAAGAUAUGAGCAGAAACAAUUAAAUUGAAUUAUAUUAUGCUGUUGAAUCGUGAUUAAAAAAAUUAUAUUGUUGAUUCUAAUGCUGGCGAACCUAAAAACUGGACUUAAAAUGUAGAUUUGAGAGUGGUGGUUCGAAGUACAAUACUUGAAAUAAAUAAUCAGUGGCUGAAUAUCAUUUGUAAACAAAAAAUGGUUAAAAUAUUGUUGGAUGUAAUUUGAAAAAAAAAAAAAGAUUCGAAAUGAAUACAGCAACCUUACCAAUGGAGGAAAAAUAUUCUUUAGGUUAUCACACUCAAAUAUCUCUAAAUUCUUCAAUUUGCUGAAAGACUCCGAAGCAAGUUGGUGGUGCCAUAUUAUUCUCAAAUUAUUCAUCCAGCUAAUAUGUAAUACCUCCAACCUAGGAAGUCGUACCUGGCAGUUAAAGAUUAAAUAACUAAUUAAUCAAUUAAUUGCAUAAUCAAUUGAUAACUAAAUUAGAGGCAGAUAUUAACUAAACUUGAAGACUCAAAGAAAAGACAAAUUAAAUAUUGUGACUAAAAUUAAUUUUUUUUAUUAAAAAAAAAACCUUUUCGUCAAAGAGAGGAGGAGGUUGCAUUUCAGAAUGAUUGGUGUCUUCUGGUGAGCUCGUAGAGAUGAAUCUUAACAUAUUCCAGCAACUCUGAAUCUCGAGGUUUAGCAAAGAAGGGAAUUCAACAACUAAAUCUGAAUUAAUAUGUCCCGUAUUGGCAAAGCUUGUUAGUUUAUAAAGCCAAUAGAGCUCCAGGGAGUGUAGUUUAGGAAAAACCUUUAAUUCAAUCAACUUUCCUUCUUCUCUUUCUGACCACCCCGUGGUGUCGACUACCCCUUCCAUUGACUCACAAGAUCUUAUCUCAAGAUGCUGGAGUUGCAAAAGACUAUUAACCAUAGAAUAGGAAAACAGAUACUUCAUACGAUGACAACUGCUCACGUACAGCUUUGUUAAAUUUCGACAACAGUACAUUCCUUGAUUAUGAUCGGCCCAUAAUUUUUUCAUGUUUCUUAAUGACCUGAGAUCCAAUUCCUCUAAGCUCGGAAGAAUAACCUGCAAAGAAUACCCGUACAUUUUUGUUCCUUCAAGUACAACCGUCUAGUAUAAUAUUCUUUUGAUGAUCGAAGAUUAAUCGUGAUAAUAAAUUAAUCAAUUAAUUAUUGAACAGAAAAUUAUCACCUUUGGAGCAGGAUCAUCAUCAGCAGUGAUUUCGUUGAAUCCCAAAGAAGUUGUUGGUUUCUCCCUGUCGGGUCCUAUAAACAAACAAAAACAAUAUACAUAAUUAAUCUUUGUUUUUUUUUUCAAAAUAAUUGAGGCGAAGUCAAUUAUCCCACCGGUACUUAAUUUCAACACUUACCAACAAUCAUUUCCUGAUCAUCGCAAAAAGCCACUUCUACCUUUUGAAGCCGCAGUAGGUUUUUGGCUAUGGAGAAUGAGAAAAGAUGCUUCAAUUUGUGACAGAAUUUUACUUCUAUAAUCCUUAAGUUGCUGAAAGAUUGAUCUUCUGUGAGUUGGCUGUCACAUAUUGUCUCCAAAUUGAUCAAACGACGAAGAGACAAUGACUCCAGCAAGGGGAAGACUUUGCGACGAACCCGUCCAACUGAACAGACAAUAUGCAAAAUCUCAGAACAACUUUCUGCAGAAAGAUGCUUCAAUCGUGGAUAACCUUCCCCAUCAUCUAAUUCAUGAACAACAUUCUGAACACCCUUCAGUUCUUCUAGAUAGAGAUAUUCAGUUCUCGUCAACAACAGUUUCAUCCUGUAAUUCUGCAAAAGAACGCCAAACUUUUCCAGCCCCUGGAGCUUCAUCAAUCUUGAUAAUCCAGAUUUAACGGACCAGCUGCUCCACCACUUAUUUCCUAUACAUAUCCUAUAGCUUUGUAAUUCCACAGAGACGAAAUCCUGCGGUAAAAUUUCGGCAUCCCGAACAUGUAUCUCCAAAGUAGUUAGCUUUGACAGCCCAUUCAAUUCAGCAAGACUGGCGUUACUUCCUCCUUCAACCUUCUCCCACUGUGAAAAGCUGUUACCAAUAUAUAGUUCUUCUAAUCGAGAUAAUUUUGAUAUGACAUUUGGAGCUAUCACCACAAGACUGCUACAAUUUCUCAAAUCUAGCAACUGUAAUCUCGUCAAUUGUCCAAUUACAACUGGCAACUCCUUAACAUCAGAAUCUCGGAAGCUGAGAAUCUCUAAUUUCCUUAGCUGUCCAAUUAUAGUUAUUUCGUUCAGUCGGCAACCGUCUAAACACAAUGUUCGAAGGUUAAUGAGGCGACCAAGUGAUGAAGGUAAUGAAGAGAAAAAUAUGCCAGUAAAAUCUAAAACUUUGAGUUCUUCUGUCCCUUCAAAAAAGAGGUCUGAAAUUUGCAAAGAGCUAUCACGCUUUGAAAACAACAAAAGUAACUCGAGACGGGGACAUCCCAACCUUUCGGGAAGCUCUUGAAUAUCUCUAUAAGGUAAAGAAAUAGCAAUUGGACCUUCCCGUAUUGUCUCUUCCAUCUUUUUCUCCACGUAGGCAACAUUUGGAAUAUUAAACAUGAGCUCCUUUUCUGCAAUUGAUACAGCAACAGCAUGAAUGAUGUCAUGCAUUUUAACUUCAUCUUCAGCAUCACCGUCCAACAAUAAGCAUGAAGAUUUGAGUUUGUCGAUCAAUGCAUCCACUCUAUUCCUUGCAUUUUCCAAUGUGCGAACAUAUUUAAACAAACCCAAACCCAUACCCAUACCAUAUCUCAACAAGGAAGCAACUUGUAUAGGAGUACCUUCACCAAAUAGAGAACAAAGAAGGAACAAAGAUUUUGCUUCAUCACUUUCCAAGAAGUCGUAACUCAAUUUUAUGGAAGAAUACACAUCUGCAUCCAUACCAUGAAUUUCUCUUAGAUUGGAACUUCUUAGCUGAUUCAACGCAUCCUUCCAAAUGGCAAGACUCUUAUUUUUCAGAGCACUUGCAACUGUUCUCAGUGCAACAGGCAAUCGUCCGCAUUUUCCAACAAUCUCAUCCGCUAAAGGUUGAAAAGCAGAUGCUUUUGCGGAAUUGCCCACGAUCUUUUCAAAAAAUUGCAAUGCUUCUUCCUUUGAUAAAACUUCAAUUGGGAAAAUCUUCUGAGAAUUCAUAUCAUUGAUCAAUAAAUCUUGACUUCUAGACGUCAAUAUUAUCGUGCGUCUCCUUAGAUCUUGCUUUCUAUCUUUCUCAUCAACAUCCCCAGAAGGAAUUCCAAUUUCUUCCAACCUAAGUUUUUUCCAAAUAUUAUCUAAUAUAAUGAGGACUCGCUUCUCUUUCGUCAAUCUUUGACAAAGUUGUUUUGCUCUGUGGGGUUUGCUAUCAUUCAAGUCAAAGUUCAUGUCUAAAUCGGAAGCGAGCUUGUCUUGAAUUUUCUGAACAUCUGGGUUCUCUGUUACCUCAGCCAUAACGACCUUAUCGAACAACUUAUCUUCCAUAACUUGCUUUGCAAUUUGCUUGACUAGCGUGGUUUUACCCACGCCGCCCAUACCGUGGACCCCAAUUAUGUUGAGCUUAUCAUCCCUCAAUGCCUCCACAACAUCUUGAAAUAAUUUCAUUCUUGAAUCAAAGGCCUCGAAAUCUUUCGCUUGCAUAUGUUCUGUACUCUCUGGAGCAGGACGGUGGGAAACACUAGAGAAGUUGCCUUUUCUCACGAGACUAGCGGCAGCUUCUGCGGCCUUUACUGCUUGUUUACUAAGUUUAUAACGAGAAAUCAAGUUGGGGCACAAUCCUUUGAAGCAGGACUUCUUAGCUCUAUCUUCAUCAUCAAUGAUGGAUUUUGCAACCCCUUCACUGAUGCAUUCAUCAACGCCAUUAAGCCAGUCUGCAACAUCCUUGUAAAUCUCAUCUCUUUGUUGAGUAGCCUGACGAACGGGUAUUCCCACCCUUUCUCUUUUAUAUUCCAGCUGCUUCACUUGAUCUUUUAGCUCAGCUAUGUAGCUCUGGUACUUGAACACAUAAGAUAUCUGCCGCAUAAUCCGUUCGAGCAAUGCCUUUGCACCUUCUGAUACAAUGCUUGAAAAAGCUUCGAGACCCACUUCUGAAGCCAUUGCCUAGCCUGUUGCAUAUAUAUAUACAUUAGCCGAUGGAAAAAUUGGAUUCAAAUAAAUUAAAGUGAUCCAGAGGGAAGGACAAAGAAAGAAAUGACAACGAAUGACUUUUUAAACAAAGGUUUCAAGAGCCUGAAUCGAAAACCAACAAUUUGAAAAAAAAAAAAAGAAUUGGAAGAUGGAUGCAAAUUAACCAUUGCUAAUACUACAUAAGAACACAUAAGUUAACAAUGAACAGUUACUUAAGAAAAUUAAAUGACAAGAUUAAAACAAACAAGCGCUAUUUUUUCUUGGACAAAUGUACCUGUUUAAUUAUUAAAGACUUAAUGAGCUUCACUAUUGGCCUUGAGUAUAUAAGAAUGAGCAAGAGAUCAAUGUCAACUGCAGAGGAAUGUCAGUAAAGGUUUCAUGAGAGUGAGUAAUACAAAUGAAUUGUAAAAGAACAAGACUUAAGCGUGCACCCCCUGUUUUGUUUUAUUCGUUAUGAAAAUGAUAUUGUACCCAAUUUUAAGAGAGCAUAAUAAUAACCAUUUAAUGCAUAAAUUUAGAAUUAGCUUUUUUUUUUGUAAUUCUUUAUUUAAAUAUACACGUCAAUGGAAAAUUUUGAAAAUUUGGAUACAAAAUUUUAAAUCACCAGAAAAAAAAAAGCACGGGAACGGAAAUAGAGGAAUCUUGUUUUACCUUUUUUUUUCCCCCCUUUAACUCUCGUUCUUAUAUAAAUAAUCUUGUUUUGAUGAUUGUGACUCGUGACUGCGGGAAAAAUUCUAAUGGAAACAACUCAAUUUCGGAAGAUAAGCUUAAUUCUGCAAGUGAUGAAUUUGUUCAAUAGACUCUGUACCUGAACUCGUUGGAUUGGUUGAUUGAUGAUUGACUAAAUUUGAAUUAAGUUUAAUAGCUUAGCUAUCAUGUACUCCUUAAAAGCAAACGUAAAUCUUUUUUAGAUUUGACUGAAUUUGGGAACCUGUUGGAUUGAUUGUUUUUAGAUCAUUAAUAUCAGAUACUACAAACGUAAAUAUUUUCUUGUGGUUGAGUCCUAUUCAAAUCACACAAAAUUGCACGACCAAAUAUUAAGAGAACGUAAUAAUAAUCACUCAGUGCGUAAGGGUAAAUUUAGAAUUACGUAUUCUUUUUUAUUUAAUAAAAUCCCAGCGAGAAAAUCAUAAAAUUUAGAUAUAAAAUUUUCAAUCACCAAACAAAAAACAGGGGGAAUGAAAACACAGGAAACUUGUUUUACCUUUUUUUCAUCUAACUCUUGUUCUUAUAUAAUAUUUUCCCUAGUGUUUCAGGCAAGCAAAAAAAAAAAAAAAAUCAAUAAAGAGCAAGUUGCUCAAAUUGAUUUAUCUUGUUUUUCAGGCAAUCUUGUGAUAUGAUGAUAAUGCUUAUGAAUGCUAGAAAAACUUCUAAUGCAAACAACUCUAUUUGGGAUGAUAAGCUUAAUUUUACAAGUGAUAAAUAUAAAUAACUUUUUGUGGUUAAUUCAAUUUGUAAUUACCCUUAGCCCUAUUCUAAAAUUUGUUGGCUGCUUCAGAAAAAAAAAAAAAAAAAUUUCACUCAUCUUUAAUCUUCAAGUAAAAAACAAAUCUAAUAAAAUGACAAACAAACAAACAAAUAAAAGACAGCAAACAAACAACAUUUAGCCAACUGAUAUUUAAACAGGGAUUAGAGUUUUUGUUAUUAACUGAAAGGUUUCAAGGGUCUGAAUAAAAUCCCAGACUUUUUUUUAAAACUUUUUUUUUAAUUAACCAAAGCCAUAUAAUAAGAUCACAGACUUUAACAAUGAACAAUAAUUUGAAACUCAAGCAAAACCAAUCACAAGAUUAAAACAAACCAGAGAAUUUUUUUCUUGGAAAGUAGAUGAAAAGCAAGUAAGAACUGCUAUUAAAGGAUAUUAUUAAAGGAUUUAGAACAUGUAUACCUCUUUAUUUAUAUGGGAUCAGAGAGUCGAUGACCUUCUCUAUUCGCUUCGGAUAUUUAGUAAGAACUGCUAUCAAAAGAAUGAAUUGAUGAGUAAUAACAAUGAAUUGCAAAAGAGGAAGACUUAAUCACGUACCCCUAUUGUACCCGAUUUUUAAGAUUUAAUUUUGAAGUCCAGAAUCAAGACAAAAGACGAAGCCUUAACAAAUAUGCAGUGAGAAUAGUUAAGUUGAAGAAAGCACUAGUUUAUGGCUCUGUGUUUCAUAUGCCGUAUUGAAAUAAUUAAGUUGAAGUUUUCAACGAAUAAAUACCUGGUGUGCUGGAAUAAUUUUAGAAGAAUAUUGGCUUAUAGAGAUUAGAGCAUAUUAGGAGGGAUCAGAUUUGUAAGAUGCCUGAUAAAAGAUAAAGCGAAUGUUAUUAUGGACAUACCAAUUUCCGACUUUUCGGAGUGCAUCCGUCUAUCCAUGACUUGAAAAGAGACCCAAUGUGUGGACAGACUUGAUUACAUNNNNNNNNNNNNNNNNNNNNNNNNNNNNNNNNNNNNNNNNNNNNNNNNNNNNNNNNNNNNNNNNNNNNNNNNNNNNNNNNNNNNNNNNNNNNNNNNNNNNNNNNNNNNNNNNNNNNNNNNNNNNNNNNNNNNNNNNNNNNNNNNNNNNNNNNNNNNNNNNNNNNNNNNNNNNNNNNNNNNNNNNNNNNNNNNNNNNNNNNNNNNNNNNNNNNNNNNNNNNNNNNNNNNNNNNNNNNNNNNNNNNNNNNNNNNNNNNNNNNNNNNNNNNNNNNNNNNNNNNNNNNNNNNNNNNNNNNNNNNNNNNNNNNNNNNNNNNNNNNNNNNNNNNNNNNNNNNNNNNNNNNNNNNNNNNNNNNNNNNNNNNNNNNNNNNNNNNNNNNNNNNNNNNNNNNNNNNNNNNNNNNNNNNNNNNNNNNNNNNNNNNNNNNNNNNNNNNNNNNNNNNNNNNNNNAUUUAAUAAUUAUAGAAGAAUAUUGGCUUAUAGAGCAUUUUAGUAGGGAUAAGAUUUGUGGACAGAAUAAAUGAAAUAAUAAAAAGCAUAACUGAUCAAGUCAUUAUUGAUCUUACUUUGAUUAUUACAUUGCACAUUAGUUUCUUUCUAAAAAUGCCAUUCUUCAUUCAAGCUUUCGCUUUAUCUUUUAUCAGGCAUCCUACAAAUCUUAUCCCUACUAAUAUGCCCUAUAAGCCAAUAUUCUUCUAAAGUUAUUAAAUGCCAUUCUUCAUUCAAGCUUUCAUGGACAUUAUCUACAAACUGAAUCUUCAAUGUAAUAAAAUAAUGAUCAGCCUCACAGGAUACAUAAAAAGCUCAUUUAUCACAAUCAUUUCCUAGUGCAUCAUAAACUUAGAUUAUUUAAUUUUACUAUUAGGAAACCUACUUAUAAAAGGCGCACACUACAAAUUCUAAAUUAAAUUUCUAACUAAGAAUAAAAGGUAAACCCUAGCAAUUUUCCACCAGGUGCCGUGUAGCCUGCAUCAUAAAUUUUGAUUUAAAUCUUUGUAAUCACCGAACAGAAAAACCGGGGAAUGAAAACAGAGGAGCCCUAUUUUUCCAUUUUUUUAACCCUUAACUCUUGUUCUUCUAAUUAUAUUUUUGCUUGGAAUUUCAGGCAAACGAAAAAAAAUAGUGACAACUAUUUAGAGAGAACAGGUGGAUGAUAGCAAAAAUAUUUUUAAUUAAUAUGCAUGAUUAACUCUUGUUCUUCUAAUGUAGUGGCUUGAUUAAUUAAUAUUUUUAAUCAAGCCAUUACAUUAUUGGUAGUCUCUGUGGGCUCAUUUCGUCUCCAGACCUGAUAUUGUAUAUCUCUUUUUGAAUAUGUUUAAUUAAUAUGCAUGCUGCUGAAUAAAGACGAUGAUUUCCAAAUUUUUGUUGCUUUUUUUUUUUCUUUUUGCUGCUUUGGUACAUGAAGAAUGUGGAAAUAGAAAUAGCUUUCGAAGUUUAAUGGCUUGCUUCAUUAGUAAAGAAAGACUAGGAUAUCCGUCCUUUUUGUUACUGAAUUAUUGAUCAAUUGACGGUUGAAGUUAGUUAUAUUAAUUUGUUGUACAAGAAUUGAAGCUUAUAUCUUUACCGUUUCGUGAAAGUGUCAAAUAUGUUCUUUCCUUGCAAUUGUUCAAAAUAUGUUACACUUUUGAAGUCACUAUUACAUAAAGGGUGUUGUAAAAUAGGGAAAGGCGGGUUUAUGAUUAGAUUUUAAUAUGUUUAAUUCAAGGAUUAACCGAAGCUAUUAACCAACGGCUACUAACCGAAAACCGAAUUUAACAAUAAACACUAACUCAGAAUUCAAGAAAAUUAAAUGACAAGAUUAAGACAAAUGAGAGAUAUUUUUCUUGGACAUUAAGAAAGAACUACUAUCAAGAUCAAGGAUUAGAGAUUAUAUAUGCUAUUAUUAAUAGAAAUUAUUAAAGGAUUUAGAACAAGUUCACCUCGUUGAUUAUCUGGGAUGAUGAGUUUCUAUAUUCACCUUGAAUAUAUAAUAACAAUUUUAGUGAGCAAAAGAUCACUGGUAACUGCAGAGGAAUGUGUGAGUUUAAGAGCUUAUUAGAGUAAGCAAUACAAAUGAAUUUUCAAAUUAUGUACUUGGUCAUUGUUGUCCUACUGACGCACGUUUUUUUUCAUGAAUAAUUGCCAGAUCAGAAAAGAAUAAGUUCGGUGGAUUGAAAGAUUGCUGAAGCAAGUAAAACAAUCUUCAUAUCGAACAUGAUUCCAAUUAAAUUAAUCUUUUUAUAAGAUGACUAAUAAAAGACAAAAGUAGAAGCUUUGAUGAAUGAACGAUGACCAAAACUUUUGUAAAAGCGGAUGCCGAUAAAAUAAACAAAAGGCACUUUAAAAAGAAACUAAAGUGCGAUCAUCAAAGUAAGAUCAAUAAUGACUCGAUUUAUUUCACCUAUUCUGUCCACAAAUGAUGCUUCGCUAUUACAAGGUCCGAAUGGACAUUAUUUACAAAUUGUUCUUAUGUUUCACAGAAAAAUGAAAAACCGUUCAUCAUCAUAUAAUUAUGAAAUAAAUAAAUUUUAUUAAUGGAUUAUGGGGAUAUGUUAAUGUUAGGGAUAUGUUCAAAUCAUCAUAUAAGUUACUAAACGCUUCAACAAGAACAAGAAUUAAUGAGUUAAAAGUAAAAAAAAAAAAUUUUAAAAAAAGUUAAAUAAAUAAAACUUAGAAGUAAAGAAUGUUAUUUGCAAUCACCAAAAUGAAAACAGUGGAACCCUGUUUUUCCUCUCAUUUCUCUUUCUCUCUUUUUCAUUUGUUGGGAAGUGUCGCCUAAAACACUUCCUCUGCUAGGUGGAAUUAUUGGCUUGAAGAGAUGAGUUCUUGUCACAAGCACAAAUUUUAUCUGUACAUUAUUUCAUUUUAAAUGAUGAGUUCUUGUCACAUGAUCAUUACUUUUUUUGUUUUGAUUUGGUUAGUUCAUGAUAACAAACAAAUUAUUUUGCAUCACAUUAUGGUAAAAAGUUGCCCUCUUUGUUACUUCCACAGCUAUAUAGUUUAAUAUUUUGUAAUAAGAUCACAAAGUGCAUGGGAACCACUGUUCGAGUACUUCAGCCUAAUAUGAAGAUCUAUUGAAAAUUUUCCUGAUGUCAUGAUAUUAAACAAAAAAAGGUACCUCUUUUACUAAUUAAUAAGAGAAGUUUUGACCGAUUUCAUGUGACUCUCUUUUACUAAUUAAUAAGAGAAUUUUUGGCCUUAUAUCCUUGCUGUGGCGUUAGACUGUUGGUCAUUUUGAUUGUUUCCUACUUUCCGUUUACGCCAGCUGUAACAUUGUAUUAUCACCAUUUUAGCCAUUUAAAUGAAAUUUAUUUUUGUCAAAAAUAAAAUGACACCCUUAAAAUUAAAAAAAAAAUAGUUAUGUAGACCUCAAAUUUUUAAUAAAGAAUGCCAAUACCCCUUUUAACUACAAGAUUCUUAGUAGAUGAUAACUAAAAAAAUUAACUUCAAAAAUUUUCACUAAAUAUAAAUCUAAUUGAAAUAGUUUAAAUUUUCUAGUAGACUAAUAUAUAUAACUUAAAUAAUUAAUUUCAUUAUUAAUUUUUAAAAUGUUAAAUAAUAUAUUUUAAUUUAUUAUAAAAAAUUUAAAUAAAUUCUUGGAUUAGAUAGAUUUUACAAUUAAUGUAAUACUGCUGAUUUAUUAAUAAUAUUAAAAUUAUUUUAUAUGAUAUUCAAAAUAAUUUAAACUUUUAUAUAUUUAUUUUAAUAUUAUGUCUAUUUAUUAUAAAUUUAUAAUUUGGUUUAAUAUAAUACGGGAUUGUAAAAUAUUAAAAUAUUUUUCAAUAUCAAAUUAUUUUAAUAUGUAUAUAUCAUUACAUUUAUUUUAAUAUUGCAUUUAUAUUUAUUAAAGAGUAUUGCAGUAAAGUAAAAAAAAAAAAAGUCUUAUUAUCCCUUAUUCACGAUAUGAGGUUCUACAGAAUUAUUUCCCCAAACGGGUGUCCUUUUCUCAUUUUCAAAAGAAAAAAUAAAGUAAGAAUAAGACCAUGGAUUUCAAAAAACUUAUAGUCCUAUCCCGGGACCAAACGUCUAUUCAUUAUUUUAUUUAUUCAAUAUAAAUGGCCAACUUAAAAAAAUGAUAAAAAUCACACAAAGCUCAAGUGAAAAUUUAGAAUUACAUUUUUUAAUACUCUCGGAGUCUUCUCUCCUGCCCCCUUUUUUUCUUAAAAAAAAAAACCUUAGUGUAAAAUUAGAAGAAUUUUAGAUAUAAAAUUUGACAAUCGCUAAACAGAAAAGCAGCGGAUUAAAAAUAGAGGAGCUCUGUUAUCAUUGCAAUAUUGAUUAUAGAUAAUAUAAUAACUUGUUGUGGUUCAUUGUAGCACUCUGAGCCAUACUUUAAAAUUUACUGGUUUGUUAAUGCUUUUAUUAUUGACAUUAUUGUGUCAAUAUUAUUAUAAUUUAUUCAUUUUAUUGUAAUGAUAAUUUGUCUAGUCUUAGGUACUUAUUAUAUUAAAUUAUGUAAAUUAAUUGAGAAUACUUUUACAGACAAAAGAAACACGUGUAUGUAGGAUUAAUAAGCGAAGAGUUGUAAAUGAAGCUGAUUGCUUCAUUGAGAUGCAUAUUAAAUAAUUAUGGAGAGUUGCUCUAUUUCAGAAGCAUAUAUUUAUACUUCCCUAUCAGGAUUUGGGGUAAGCGAAGUGCUUUAUGUAUUGCAGUAAGCAAAUGUGGGCAACAUCAGAGCCGAAAUAUUAAAAGAUCAUAACGCAUAUAAACGAUUAGUAUAUUCAAGGCACAUAUAGCGGAAAGAGUGCAGAUCUGGCCGUAACUAUUAUGAGGAUUUCCUCAAGUAAAUAUUAAAAGAACAACUAUUCUGAACUAUAUAUUCUUCAUUGUGGGCAGAUUUACUUAAAUACCAACACAAUGAUUCAAUACUUCAAAAGUCAAGGAAAUGUCAAAAUAUGAAAUGAAAAUACUUAAAUACCCUUCUCCCUAACAAAACUUAGUACUUCUAACUGCCAUCGCAGAGAAUAUAUAAAAUUUAAAAAAAAAAUCAUCCAUGAAAAGUUUCGUAACAGAAAAACCGUCUUUCAAAAAAUAAAAAAUAAAAAAUAAAAACAGAAAAAUUGACUCAUUUAUCUGCCAAUGAACCAGUCGGGACUCAUUUAAAAAAGAUUACAAAGCAAAAGUAAAUGACACAAAUUGCAUAGAUAUCUAAGAGCCGCAUCAAAGGACAAAGGUGUUAAUUUGUCCAAGUAAUAAAUUCUCCUAGGUCAAAAGCAAUUAACGAUGAAAACUUUCUUCAUUAAGGUUCUGGCCUACGUAAAAAAACAGAAAAAACCACCCCAAGGUCAAAGCACAACGAUAAGUUUAGAAUUGCAGUUUUUAAUUUUUCUUUUUAAUAAAUCAACGUGUAUUAAAAAUAGAUAAAAAUUUUGAAUAAUGUUUUUUUGAUAAAUAUAGACAUAAAAUUUAAAAAUCACCAAACAGAAAAACAGGGCAAUUAAAAGAGAGCCCUUGUUUCUCCUCUGUUUUGUUUGUUAUUAAACGGGGAAAUGAAAAGAUCGCAAGCAUAAAUUUUGUUUCUGCGUUGUCUCUUCUCAAUGUUGCAUGCAUUCAAAUUAAACCUUAUAUAUGAUAGCAAACUAGCUACUCUGCAUGUACGAUAAGUCUAAAUAAUAGAAUAAUUGUAAAAUGUUCAAAUUCAGUAAUUAAUUAUACAUAUUUAUUUAUUCAAAAAUUAUUAUUAUUAUUAAUUAUUGUCAAUAAUAUAUUAAUAUACUAAUUAAUUAUAAAAAUUUUUAUCAUUCAUAACAAUAACAAUGAUGAUGAUGAUGAUAAUAAUAAAAAUUCAAAAUAUAUUAAUUAAUUAUAAUAAUAUAUUAAUUAUUUAAUACUAAUAAUAAUAAAAAUGUAAAAUGUAUAAAUUGAUUAGAAUAGUUAUAUUAAUAAAUUAUAAACAUAUAUUAAUUAAUCAUAAUAAUUUUUUAAUUGAGGACAAAAUAGACAUUUUAUAGUUUGUGAGAGGGGGCAAAAUGGUCAAUUUUGGGAAUGGGAGAUUGAUUCCCACCACCUUCCUUGGGAAUCAAUUUUCCAUUCCUCAUUCCUAAAUUUGGGUGGCCCCAUAAUUCUGAUUUGGAUCCCUGCCUCCAUCAUUAAUGAUUUCGAUUUCGGAUUCCGAUUCCCCAAUCCAAGAAGUAAAGGCACCAUUAUUGUUAAUUGGUUCAAACACACAAAGAGAAUGUACCGUGUAGCUAGGCGUCAAGGUUGUGUUGCACAAGUAACCUUUUUCUUUUCUUUUUAUUUUUCUUGUUUUCCUUAACGGAUCAGAAGAAAUUGGUGCCUUUGAGAUACCACAAUGUAAAUAAUUAUUUGUGGUUCAUUGAAUCUGUAACACUCGGUACCCUAGGGUUGCUUUGGAAAAAGGGCUUUUCUCACCGAUCGCCAAUAUCCAAGUAAGUUUGUUUCAUUUCAGAAGGUGCAAAGUUUCAAACUUGUUGUAUUGGGAUGUAACAAACUUUGGCCUUAUAUGCCUGCUGUGACGUGAGACUGUUCAUUUUGAUUGUUUCCUACCUUCCACUUACGCACUGUAGCACUGUAUUAUUCACCAUUUUAGCUGUUUAAAUGAAAUUUUAUUUUUGUCAAAAAUAAAAUGACACCAUUAAAAUUUAGAAAAAUAAUCAUGUAGAUCCCAAAUUUUUAAUAAAGAAUACCAAUAUUCCCCUUGACUACAAUACCCUUAGUAGGUGGUAAUAAAAAAAAAUUGGCUUAAAAUUUUUACGAAAUGUAAAUAUGAUUUAAAUAAUUUAAAUUUUCCAGUAGACUACUAUAUAUAAUUUAAAUAAUUAAUUUAAAUAUUAAUUUUUAAAAUGUAAAUUAAUUUAUUUGUAUUUAUAAAAUAUUUGUAAUUAUUUUAAAAUUUAACUAAAUCCUUAGGUUAAAUAGAUUUUACAAUUAAUAUAAUAUUUCUCAUGUAUUAAUAAUAUUAAAAUUAUUUUAUAUGAUAUUGAAAAUAACCUAAAUUUUUAUAUAUUUAUUUGAAUAUUAUGCUCUAUUUAUUAUAAUUUGGUUUAAUAGAAUACGAGAUUGUAAAAAAUUAAAAUUUUUAGAUAUUGAAAUUAUUUUAAUAUGUAUAUAUUAUUAUAUUUAUUUUAAUAUCCUAUUUAUAUUUAUCAUAAAUUAUUAGAGUUAAUUUUUUUAGUUAAUAAAUUUAAAAAAUAUUAUAAUUUAAAAAAAAGUCUUGUUGUCCGUUAUUCACGAUAUGAGGUUCUACAAAAUUAUUUCUCCAAACGGGUGUCCUUUUCUUUUUUUCAAAAGGAAAAACAAGUUCAGGGCCUCAGGGGUUUCAAAAAAUUCUGGUCCUAUAUACCACUAUGACUAAUGGGAAACGACAUUGCAAUUGACAUUGCUUUCCACAAUAUGAUAGAUUAUUGGAGGGAUAUGAGAGAAUUGUCAAACGUUCACACACGCGAGAGCUUUAGGUGGGAUAGGGGAGGAUUGUCAAGAGUUCACACCACGAUAAACUAAUGAUAGGCCUAAUUUUGUUGUCAGUUCUUUAUUUAUUUAUUUUAUGUAUAUCAUACAUUAUUGUAUUUUGUCAAGGUAUAAUAGUACAAGUAAAAUACUAGGGGUGCUGUUAAGUUACAACUUAUGUAACUUGCAAUUUUUUCAAAAAUUAUGUAAAAAAUUUAAUAGGUGGUGGAACCCACAUAUUUUUUAAGAGACUUAAGUUACAGCAGUUGUAACUUAACAAAAUCUAAAUAUUAGACAAUAAUGCAUAUAAUUUGGGUUUGAUUUUUAAAAGAUUAUUUGAGUACCACCUAUCCUUAUGAUAUUAAUGUGAUUAUAUCUUAAUAUUAAAUAAUCAAAAUUUGUUUAAUUAUUAUUUGUAUUUCAUACAUUACAUAUUAGAUUUGUUUGAAUUUUAAGUUGUUGCUAAUAAAUAUUUAUGUUGUCAAAGUCAAAGUCAAUAGCUACAAAAGUAGAGAUAAUGGUAUUGUAUAUAGUUUUUAAGAAUGCAAGGAUAAGCUGGAUAAUUGACAUAAAUUCUAAUGAUUAAAAGAGCAACUAUCCCUUAAGUUAUAAUGUCAAUUUCUUUAAUUAGAAUUUUUUUUUCAUGUGAUAUAACCUUAAUUGCUACAAUUUUUUUUAUAAUAAUAAUGGGAGUUAUAAAUUAUUUAUAUAAAAUUUGGGUUGAAACUAAUGUAACCUAAAAGUGGUUGCUGAAUAACAAUAUUUGAAACUUUAGGUAAUUUUCAUGAGUCCUUUUUAUAUUCAACAACUUGAAUUGGGGGAAAUCCGACUUGAAUUGGCGGUUGAUUUUGGUGAUGUGGCUUUCGGUUUACGCCGGCUUUACAGUGGCGGAAGACUGGAUUUACGGUUGCCGACUGCUAGGGAUUAUGGUGGUAGUGUAAAUUGACGGAAAAAGAAGGUGUUUUGGUGGCGGCGCGUCUAGGAAGCACUCGUGGGUUGUUGUUUCGUGUGGUGACAGCGGGCGGCGAUCAAGGGCUGAAGUUGGUCGGUUUUUGGUCAGCAGAGGCCGGCGAGUUUGUUGGUGGAGGUGGCUGGUGGAGAAAGUGGCUGAAUGGUGGUGGGUUGCUUGGUGGAGCCGCGGGUUUGGGUUGGUGAUUUGCGGCUGUUCAAGCGGUGGUUGAGGCAGCGAUGACUAAGGCUUGGUCGACGGUGGCUAGGGAGGUUUGUGGUGGUGUUGGCUGGCUGAUCGGCGGUGGUGGACGGCGGUGGAGGUUGAUGUGACAGGUAGGGUUUUCAAAUUUGUAAAUUUUUUUUUUGAUGGAUUUGGUUUGGAUAGGUAUGGUGUAUCUAGGAAAGAUGUGCGAUUCGCACAUAAUCAUUUUGAUACCAAUUGAUGGAGCGAGGCGUAGCGGAAGCAGAAUUGAUAGGGUAAGAAACAUUAGAUAUCGUUCUAGUACUAGACCAAGCCAACACGAUUAGUUUACGCUCUAAUUGAAGCGUGAUUAGAUAUCGUUAUAAUCCAAAUGACUCAGUGAGAUUUUUAAUAACGCGUAAUACGAGAUUAGAUGACACUCUAAUCCAAAUGACUCUACAAAAGAGAUUUUGAUAACUAAUCCUAGAGGAAAUUAUAAAAGAGGGGGUUUAUUUAAUAAUUGAACUUGAAGUUAUGAAAAUAAUGACAAGACAUCUUUAUUUUUUUUAUUACAGGCAUCUUUAUUUAUAAUAGAAGAAACCCGCUUUCCUAAGUUAACCUAAAAAGAAAAUUUAAAUCAUAAUUAUAAUGGAAAUAAAAGAUUAAGAUACAUACCAUAAUUAACUCAAACUAAAAUAGAAAAUCAUAAAAUAAUAAAUAUUCUAGAAUUAUAAAUUAUCUAAAAUAACGUUAAUUAACUUCCUAAAUCACUUCUUUGGUGUAAACCAUUUUGCAUCCAUCCUCGCUUUAAAGGUUUGAACCAACGUUACCAACAAUAAUGUAUCAAAGUCCAAUCUAACUUAAGAUCUUGAUACAUCUACCGAUGUCCUUGUUUGAUUAGACAAUAAUGAGUCUAUCUCAUCACUUGUUACCUCUUUCUUGAAGGCUGCAUCUGUUGAAGUGAUAGUCUCGCUUAGAGUUUAAAGAUCUUCUUCCAUGUUAAAUAAAAUGGGCAUUUGAUUAAAAAACUUUAUCUCUAUCUCCUUCUAUCAAAUAACGACAACUAUCCGAAGGAAAAAAAAAAUAGAAAAGUCCAUGGGUCACAAUAAUUUAUGGUCUGUCCCCGGACCCCAUUAUCUGCCACUAUCAAUGAUGAAAAUGAAAAUAAAUGGCAUCUUCCCAAAAUGGCGAAAGAUUUUUGGGGGAUAUGGGGGAAUUGUCAAAAGUUCACACAACGCGAAACAAGUGUUACAUCCAAUUUUAUUUCGUCAUAUAAUGAUAAUAUCAAAUAAUGACAACCAUCCAAAAGUAUGAUGGGUCUUCCAAAAUUUUGAAAAUGUCGUCAACAUUUAAUCUUCAAUGCUAAAGAAGAUGAAAUGACCAAAAAUGACACGCAUGACUCACUCACAGACUAAAUGGCUCUGACCACAUGUAACAAACUUUGAUCUUAUGUCCUUACUGAGGCGUUAGACUGUUGGUCAUUUUGAUUGCUUUUUACCUUCCAUUUAUGCCAUUGUAGCAUUAUACUAUUCACCAUUUUAGCUGUUUAAAUGAAAUUGUUAUUUUUUUUCCAAAAAUAAAAUGGCACCCUUAAAAUUUUAGAAAAUAGCCAUGUAGACCCCAAAAUUUUAAUAAAGAACACUAAUAUCCUUUUUUACUAUAGUACUCUUAGUAGAUGGUAACAAAAAAAAAAAUGACUGUAAAAGUUUUUACUAAAUGUAAAUAUGAUUUAAAUAUUUUAAUUUUUCUAGUAGACUAGUAUGUAUAAUUUAAAUAAUUAAUUUUUAAAAUGUAAUUUAAUAUAUUUAUUUUAAUAAUAUAUUUAUUAUAAAAAUUUUAAACAAAUCCUUGGGUUAAAUAGAUUUUAUAAUUAAUAUAAUAUUUCUCAUGUUUUAAUAAUAUUAAAAUUAUUUGAUAUGAUAUUGAAAAUAAUUAAAACUUUUAUAUAUUUAUUUGAAUAUUAUGUCUCUAUUUAUUAUAAUUUGGUUUAAUAGAAUCAAAUGAAAGUGUACAUGUACAAGAAGAAAGAACCAUACACCAAGUAAAACGUAAAAAGGAUUAAAUAAAUGACACCAAUCCCCGGCAACGGCGCCAAAAUUUGAUGGUUGUCGAAGCCAACAAAAAUAAAUUCCUACUCUAAAUAAAUUGUGUAUAGUGAUUGAGCAGGGUCGUGUCCACAGAGAUCGGUAAUUAUUUAAAUCCUUUUAAAACGUAAAACAUAAAAUGGGGGUUUUGUUGACAAUAAUAAAAAUCAAAUUAAAAUAACAAGAAUGCAAAUUAAAGUUGUAAUUCAAAUUAGAGAAAGCUCUGGUUGAAGGAAUUAACUCAGCUUGAUUCGACUACUGAUCAUUGAUUCAAAUAUAGAUUAUUAUUACUUAUUAAUAGACCGGUUAUAGCUAUUGAGACCCUCUAAUAGCCAAUUUGUCCUUAACUAGUCGAUAACCAAGGUACGACCGUCAGAUAUUUCCCUAAUCAACAGACAACCCUAGAUACGAUCAUAGGAUUUAAUCAAUUGACAGCCUGAAAAACCAGAGAGACCCAAAUCCUAAUCAACACAUAUGAUGAUUCAUUUAAAUUAGAUUGUUUAUUCUCAUAACACAACUCACUGCUAUGUUAUUUGUCACAAACAUUAAAAUCUUCAUACGAUGAAUCCUUUAAUUGACAAUAGAUUAAGUUGAUAAUUAAAUAGUGGCCAAUUACCUAAUUAACAAACAUAAUCAUGAAACUAAUUCAGAGAAUAAACAAAUACCCAAAAAGUAAUAAAACAAUUAAAGCAUAAGAAAGAUCUCACAGUAGUGAUGAAUCAAAGCUUCAUUAACCUUCAACCAGAAAAAUAAGUUUAGUUCUUCAUAGAGAGAAGAGAAAAAUUAGAUCUAGGGUUUUUUUCUUUUUCUCUCAUCCCCCUUUUUCACUAUAGAUUCCUCCCUUAAAUACUCUCUCUCUCUUCUCUUUUAGAGUUCUAAUUAAAAUAAAAUACUAAUAUCUGAAAUAUUAAAUUCGUAAUUACAAAAAUAACCAAAAAUACAAAACAUGUUAAACUAAAAACUACAGGUCCGCAGUUGACAGCACGCGCCCACGCCUUAUCAAGAAAGUUCUUCUGACUCUCUAAAUUUCUCCAAGAGAACAAUCAUCUUUAAACAUCAUCUUAUAACUCAAUUUUAUCACAAAUCAAUAGAAUUGCACCUACAAAAGUACAACACAAGUAAAUCAUUAUUAUUAAGUGCAAAACAUCGAUAUUAAGGGAAGUAGACAAUGCAAAACUAGUGCAUAAAUUGCACUCUAACAAGUUCACACCACGAGAAAUUAAUGAUAGGCCUAAUUUCGUUGUCAGUUCUUUAUUUGUUUAUUUUAUUGAUUUCAUACAUUAUUGUCUUGUUGGUACUAUUUUGUAAAGAUAUAAAAGUACAAGUAAAAUAUUAGGGGAAGUAAAAUAAAAUAUUGGAGGUGCUGCUAAGUUACAGCUGCUGUAACUUACAGUUCCUUCAAAAAUAAUGUAAAAAAUUUAACAUGUGGUGGGACCCACAUUAUGUUUGAAGAGGCCGUAAGUUAUAGCAGUUGUAAAUUAGUAAAAUCCAAAUAUUAGAUAACAAUACACAUUAACAAUGCAUAUAAUUUGGGUUUGAUUUUUAAAAAAAUUAUGUGAGUAUUACCUAUCCUUAAGAUAUUAAUGAGAAUAUAUUUUAAUAUUAAAUAAUCAAAAUCUGUUUAAUCAUAAUAUGUAAUUCAUACAUUGCAUGUUAGAUUUGUUUGGAUUUUAAGUUGUUGCUAAUAAAUAUUUAUGUUGUGAAAGUCGAAUUCAAUAGCUACAAAAGCAGAGAUAAUGGUAUUUUAUGUAGUUUUUAAGAAUACAAGGAUAAGACCAUAACGCAUGAGAUAAUGGUAUUUUAUAUUAAAAGACCAUAACACAUGUAUUUGAGCCAUUUAUAUUGAGGACACAUAUAGAGCGAAGAGUGCAGAUCCGGCCGUAACUAUUGUGAAGCUUUCCUCAAGUAUUCUCAUGCACGCAGACCUUAGCUGGUCAAGUUUUCUGAUUCAAUAUAAUCAAUUUCCGCGCAGUACUAACGACAGCUUCUUUGUAAAGCUCUUCAACCACAAGCAUUUCUACAAGGCAAAAGACUAGGACGUGUCAGAAUGAAUAUCAAUAAGGGAAUGUCUUAUGAAUUUAGUUUAUAUCCUAAUAUAAGACAAUCAAUAAAUAUUAGAUGCAAUCUAAGGGAAUGUCUUAUGAAUCCUGAUUGAUGGCCUCUCACAGUCAGUUAUAUGACAAAGUAGCCACCACAACAAACUUGAACUUGGCUGGAGGUCUCAUUAGCAGUAUACCUCAGAAAUUAAGACAAAGACUUUAAAAUGCAAACUUAUGGAGCAAUUUAAGCACUGAAACUAAUAACAGUACUGUAUUAGCAAUUGACCUCUGCUUUUUUCUUGGACAAAGGUUCUCAUCACAAGGGACUCAUUAGUUGCCCUUGCCUCAAACGUUUGGAUGCUAAGGGGAAAAAGGAAGUUUGAAUUAGUCAAUCUCAUUUCUAAUGGCAUUCACAGAGAACCUAUAAAACAAAAAAAUUAUAAAAAAAAAAAUCAUCCAUAAUUCGCCAAACCGAAAAGAAAAACAGGGGAAUGAAAAGAGAGCCCACGGGAAUGAAGAGAUCAGCUCUUGUCGCGAAAAUGCAGUCGACUGUAACUAUAUCCGGGUCCCUAGUACUUAGAAGUAAAUGCUCUUGGAAUUUCUAUUAUAGAUUGAUGUUUCCCGUUCAAAUAGCUCUUCCGAUACCAUUAACAUGUUCAUCUCUCUAUAGAUUGAUGUUGACAUAGAUGUUAUUCUACUUUUGCUAGUGGAGUUUUCCUUGUACAGGUAUGUAUGAUUGUUUUUUUUGCACUUCUAAAUGGACACUGUUGAAAAGCUUAAAAUUGAACUGAUAAUUUUGUUUGGAAGCUCAGAAAAUUCAUGAGAAAGUGAAAUAGAAUAUUCUGGAUUUCUUUUCUUUCCAUAAUAUACAAAUGACAAACGUAGCAGUAUUUAUACUCGUUGCUUACAUCAUAAAAACAGAAUUAAAACAAGGUACACAACUAUAACAGAAUCAAAAGCGUGCUUAACUAAUUGGCAGAGCUGGCAUAUACUUCUUUAACUAACAAUGCUGCUGACUGGACUUUAGCUCACACAUGCUUAUCGUGCAGCUACUCUUAGUUCACACGUGCUCAGUCUGCUGUUGGCCCAAAGUUGGAACCAGAGAUAUCAUGACUCUGGUUUCAUUUCACCUCAACUGUGUUUUUUUUUUUAAAUUAAAAAAAUCAUUUGUUUUAGGUAUACAUACAUGUAUUUUGAUUCUAUUUUCAUUGUAAUUUCUCAUUUACUUUGAAUGAAAGUCAUUGGUGUUUUCGAAUGGGAAUUUUGCAUUAAAAAAUGAAGAAUAGUGAUUUUUGGAGUGUAAUUAGUAGUAAAGUUGGUUUUUACUCGCAAACAAGUGAACUGCUCGAUUCCCGAGUGGUAUCAACCAGUUUCCAACUUUUUAAUAUACACUAAUUGUUAUUGUUUAAUAGCUACUACUAUUAAAACUCGACAUCUAACAAAAAUACUUAAAAAAAAUGAUUUUUCUUAUGAUGCUGUAAAAAAAAAUUACGGGUUUACUUCUUUCCAUGAGAUCUAUAACAUGGUCUUGACUUCACGAAAUUCUUUUAAUUUAAAGCUUGCUGGUGUGAGAAGGUCAGUUUGACUGAUUAAUUCUUUUUAACAGUGGUCGAGAUAAUUUUACUAUCUAAUCGAAUGUUAUGCUGUUUUCUUUUUCUAAUCUGGUGUGAGAUAAUUAAUUCUUUUUCACAAAUGCUAUGCUGUUUUCUUAGGCUAAGGAUCUUCUAUCAGGAGAGGUUAGAAAUUCAAUGCUUAAAAGAGAAUAAUACAGAAAUUUAGGCAGAAUCUAAUCGAAUAUUGCAUGAAACAUGAAAAAUCAAUUCAAGUCCUUUCUUUAAACGGAGAAUGCAUCAAACAAAAUCCAAAGUGUCUUGCACGUCUGUAGCAUGAGCAAAAAAUUGUAAAUAUGUAGAACCAAAUUAUUCAAGUACAGAAGAACGAGCAAGCUAAAUCAUGUAUAAGAGAUUGGCCUGGUUCGGGAUAGCUUCUUCACUGUACCUGAAGGAUUGGCUCAAUCUCUUCUUUAGAAUUCUGCAGAUUUUGUAAUUACUCGUGUAAGCAAGCAUACAUUGCCACCAUAAGAAUAAUAAAGCUAGAGUAAUGAUAUGACCACCACCUCUUGUGCACAAACAAUAUUGUAUAAACUAAUGCGACAUAAUAUGAUUGGUUAAACAAAAACAUUACAUGGCCCUCAUAAUUUAUUUAUUUAUUUAUUUAUUUAUUAUUAUAUUUUUUCAGUAAACCAAUCAUAUUAUAUCACAUUAGUUUCUAUAAAAUAAUUUGCUAAAUAGCACCAAAACUUAAUUGAUACUCACCAUUUCAUUGAACAAUUUUUUUAUGGUGUCAUUGAGAUUGCCUUCCCAACAUCCUUCAUCAUCAUCAUCUUCAUCAUCAUCAUCAUCUUCUUCAUCAUCAUCUUCUUCAUCAUCAUCUUUUUCUUCUUCUGUGACGUUCACUUUGUUUAGCAUUGGUGUGUCUAAGACUCCUUGAGAGAAGAUCUUCAUUUUUGGACACUGUCUCACAACUACUGGUUUCAAGGACGGGAAUUCAAGAGCGUAAUUACCCGAACAAAAGCUUGUUAGGCUUGGCAAACAAUCAAGUCCCAAGUACUCCAAUUCCUCGAAGACAACGCAACCUUUCGCUUCUUCUCCAACCUGCAAUUGUAUGAUUUGUUCUAUCAUUUUGCAAUCAGCUAUCUUCAUUCUUUGAAGAGUCACUAGACUUUCAGAUGUUGAGAGCGUCAAUAAAUUUAUCAACCCAUGACACUUCGAUACUUCCAGAGUCGCAAGAUUUUCCAAAUGCCACGAAGCUGGUACUAAUUUCUGCAACUUACUACAUUCAAAUAUUUCUGGACUUUUCAAGUUUGCAAACACUUUGUUGGAUUUGGCAUUUUCCUUCCAGAGAUGCUGCACUUUGUGUAAUCCAGAUAGCUUUAACUUCAUCAAUUGAGGGAAUGCAACCUGAAAAUCAACAAAAUUAAGUUGUAAAUGAAAAUAUGUAUCCAAUCUCUGCAGUCUUCCCCUGCAUAUUUUAUGAACAAGAUUAAUCACGACAUUUUAUAUUUUAUUUCCAAAUUAGUAUGCUUUGCAGUAGGAUCCCAAAUAUAAGUAUCAAAUCGAUUACCCUUUGAAACACAUAAAUGAAAUCUGAUGCUAAAUCCAAUAUGAAUUAGCUAGGAAAACAGAGAUGUAACACGCAUAAUCGAUAUAGUUCAUCGCCUUAUGUCACCAGGCAUCUAAUUAAUUUAAGACAUUUUUAUAAUUCAUACUAUAAAGUUAGUUAAUAACAGAGGUUAUAUUGUUAAAUCAGAUAUAAAUUAAGACGACCUGCAAAAAGAUGAGUCAUUAAGUUUGAUUUGAUUCUAAUGAAAUUACAUCUGUGCGAACGAAAGUGAAGGCAAUAAUAAUAAUAAUAAUAAUAAUCACCUUUUCAUCGAAGAGGGGUUGUACUUGAUGAGCCAGCAAGAAGUUCUCUUCUGAUGUUAAUUUUUGAGGUUUCUUGUUAUCUGUUGUCACGUGCACUAAAGAGUUGGAUAUGAAUGUUUCCAUAUCAGGGCAAUUCUCAAUAGUUAGAUUCUCCAACUCAAGCAUUUCAAUUAUAUUCCCAGUGAAGUUGCAGAAUCUUUUGAGUUUUGGAAGGUCAAUGAGCCUUAGCUCGAAAAGCUUAGGAAACAGGGGACCUAUAUGUUCUUUGUCAGCAUUUAGCACUUCCAAAUGAAGCACCUCUUCCAGUGAAUCACAAUUCCUCACUUCCAACCAUUCCAAAUUGUUCAAGCACCGUAGCAGAUUGGCAGGAAUAGCACUCGACAUAUUCGUGCAGUCAUCCACCACCAGGUGUCUUAAAUUGUUGAAGAAGCUGACAGGCAGUGCUUGGCCAUGCGAUAUUUCUUUCAAACGUGGAAAAUGUGAGAAUUGCAAAAACUCCAUGUCACGAAAUCCAAUCUGCUCAAACCAAAACAAUUGCACUGGAUAUAUACAAUUUUUUUUUUGAAAGGCAUUAGAUAUAUAUAUAUACAUUAAACUUACAUGUUUUGUGUUUUAACUUCUAAAAAUAUAUUUAAAUGUGCAAGUGCAGGGGAGAUGCAUGAACAAUUUGGAUGAAUCGAUUAACACAUACCAUUUCUUCGUAACACUUUUGUAUAGUGGAAUUAAGCUUAUUGCCUUCCCAAUGGUGCAGUUCACCCCCUUCCUUUUCAGUCACUUGCACUUUGCAUGGCUUUGGAAUGGAUAAGAUUCCCUGAGAAAAAGUCUUCAUGUUUGGACAACGUAUCAUAGAAACUCGUUCCAAUGAUGGGAAUUCAAGAGUGUAAUUCUCCAAACAAAAGCUGGUAAGCCUUCGUAAAUCAUCAAGUAUCAAAACUUUUAAUUCGCUGAAAGCAAUACGAUUCUCCUUCGCUUCUUCUCCAACAUGUCCUACGAUUUCUUCUAAUUCUUUGCAAUCCGAUACUUUAAGAUUCACCAGACUACUAGGAAUUCCAACCUGAAAAUAAGCAAAAGUGUGCGCAUGUGUGGUGUAUUAAAAAAGUAUGUUAAUCAUACAAUUAUGCAUUUUAUAAACAUAACAAACCAUGAAAUGUCUACUAGAUAAUUUUUUGUUAAACAAAAACGGAACAAGAUAAAUAAAUAAAUAAAAUCCAGAUAAACAAAGAUAAUAAAAAUACAUUUACACUAUUUAGUAUUAGAAACGUAGAAAUAAUUUAAGGCAAUUUCUAAAUAUUUUAGACUUAUUUUGCAUCUUGAUAUCAGUUUUUAAGCAUAAAUUUGCAAAUUUCAACUAUUCCUUCUUUUUUUUUUAAAAAAAAAGGGACCAUUUUCCUUGGUCCCUUUUUUUUAUGUAUAUUUAAAAAUGGAAAAAAAAAUUUGGAAAAGACUUCCCAAUACUGUCAACGAGGGACUGCUGUAAAGUGGAUCUUUAUUAAGUACUUCCAGACUAGAGGAAAUUUCUUUACAAUCAAGGGUCAGUUGUAAAUAAUCAUGAAUUUGUGGUUAAUUAAUGGCAUAAUCAAUUCGUAACUAAACUAGAGAUAUUAAUUAAAUUUGAAGACUUUUAUUUUCUUUUUUUCUUUUUCCAAUCGAAAUGUGAAGAAUUAAGGAAAAGAGAAAUAUAUAGAUGAAUUCGUGAACCUAUAAGAUGAGUGACGAUCCUUUAAUUUUUGAAAAUCGUACUUAUUAAGAUAUGAGCAAAAACUAUUUAAUUGAAUUAUAUUAUGCUGUUGAAUCGUGUUUAAAAAAUUUAUAUUGUUGAUUCUAAUGCUGACGAACCUAAGAUACUUGAAAUAAAUAAUCAGUUUGCUGGCUGAAUAUCAUUUGUAAACAAAAAAUGGUUAAAAUAUUGUUGGAUGUAAUUUGAAAAAAAAAAGAUUCGAAAUGAAUACAGCAACCUUACCAAUGGAGGAAAAAUAUUCAUUAGGUUAUCACACCCAAUUAUCUCCAAAUUCUUCAAUUUGCUGAAAGACUCCGAAGCAAGCUGGUGGUGCCAUAUUUUUCUCAAAUUAUCCAUCAACCUAAUACGUAAUACCUCCAACCUAGUAAGUCGUACCUGGCAGUUAAAGAUUAAAUAACUAAUUAAUCAAUUAAUGGCAUAAUCAAUUGAUAACUAAAUUAGAGGCGGAUAUUAACUAAAUUUGAAGACUCAAGGAAAAGACAAAUUAAAUAUUGUGACUAAAAUUAAAUUUUUUUAUUAAAAAAAAAACCUUUUUGUCAAAGAGAGGAGGAGGUUGCAUUUCAGAAUGAAUGGUGUCUUCUGGUGAGCUCGUAGAGAUGAAUCUCGACAUACUGUUGCACCAACUAAUCUCGAGGUUUAGCAAAGAAGGGAAUUCAACAACUAAAUCUGAAUGAAUAUGUCCCGUAUUGGCAAAGCUUGUUAGUUCUGGAAGAAAAUGGAGCUUGAGGGAGUGUAGUUUAGGAAAAACCUUUAAUUCAAUCAACUUUCCUUCUUCUCUUUCUGACCACCCCGUGGUGUCGACCACCCCUUCCAUUGACUCACAAGACCGUAUUUCAAGAUGUUGGAGUUGCAAAAGACUAUUAACCAUAGAAUACGAAAACAGAUACUUCAUACGAUGACAACUGCUCACGUACAGCUUUGUUAAAUUUUGACAACAGUACAUUCCUUGAUUAUGAUCGGCCCAUAAUUUUUUCAUGUUUCUUAAGUCCCUGAGAUUCAAUUCCUCUAACCUCGGAAGAAUAACCUGCAAAGAAAACCCGUACAUUUUUGUUCCUUCAAGUACAACCGUCUAGUAUAAUAUUCUUUUGAUGAUCGAAGAUUAAUCGUGAUAAUAAAUUAAUCAAUUAAUUAUUGAACAGAAAAUUAUCACCUUUGGAGCAGUAUCAUCAUCAGCAAUGAUUUCGUUGAAUCCCAAAGAAGUUGUUGGUUUCUCCCUGUCGGGUCCUAUAAACAAACAAAAACAAUAUAUACAUAAUUAAUCUUUGUUGUUUUUUUUUUUCCAAAAUAAUUGAGGAGAAGUCCAUAAUCCCACCAAUACUUAACUUCAACACUCACCAAAAAUCAUUUCCAGAUCACCGCAAAGAGCCACUUCUACCUUUUGAAGCCGCAGUAGGUUUUUGGCCAUGGAGAAUGAGAAAAGAUGCUUCAAUUUGUGACAGGCUUCUACUUCUAUAAUCCUUAAGUUGCUGAAAGAUUGAUCUUCUGUGAGUUGGCUGUCACAUAUUGUCUCCAAAUUGUUCAAAUAGCUAAGAGACAAUGACUCCAGCAAGGGAAAGACUGUACAAUGAACCCGUCCAACUGAACCGACAAUAUGCAAAAUCUCAGAACAACUUUCUACCCAAAGAUGCUUCAAUCGUGGAAAACCUUCCCCAUCAUCUAAUUCAUGAACAACAUUCUGAACACCCUUCAGUUCGUUUAGAUGGAUCUCUUCAGCUUCCUUCAGCAACAUUUUCGUCCCAUAAUUCUCCAAAAGAGUGCUAACAUUUUCUAGCCCAUCGAGCUCCACCAUUCUUGAUGUUUUAGAAUUAACGCCUCACAUGCGCCACGCUUCUCCUAUACAUAUCUUAUAUCUUUGCAAUUCCACAGAGACCAAAUCCUGCGGUAGAAUUUCGGCAUCCCGAACGUGUAUCUCCAAGGUAGUUAGCUUUGACAACCCCUUCAAUUCAGCAAGACUGGCGUUACUUCCUCCUUCAACCUUAUCCCACUGCGAAAAGCUGUCACCCAUAUAUAGUUCUUCCAAUCGUGAAAAUUUUGAUAUGACAUUUGGUGCUAUCACUACAAGGCUCCUACAAUUGCUCAAAUCUAGCAAUUGUAACCGCGUCAAUUGACCGAUUUCAAGUGGUAACUGCUUAAUGUCGGAAUAUCGAAAGCUAAGAAUCUCUAAUUUCUUUAGCUGUCCAAUUGCCGCUACAUCUUCUUGUUGGCACCAGUCUAAACACAAUGUUUGAAGGUUAAUGAGGCGACCUAGUGACGAAAGUAAUGAAGAGAAAUGAAUUCCAGUAAAAUCUAAAACUUUGAGUUCUUCUGUCCCUUCAAAAAAGAGGUCUGAAACUUGCAUAGGGCCAUUACCCUCCGUAUACAACAAAAAUAACUGGAGAUUGGGACAUCCCAACCUUUCGGGAAGCUCUUGAAUAUCUCUAUAAGGUAAAGAAAUAGCAAUUGGACCUUUCUGUAUUGUCUCUUCCAUCUUUUUCUCCACGUCAGCAACAUUUGGAAUAUUAAACAUGCGCUUCUCUGCUGCAAUUGAUACAGCAACAACAUGAAUGACGUCAUGCAUUUUAACUUCAUCUUUGGCAUCACCGUCCAACAAUAAGCAUGAAGAUUUGAGAUUGUCGAUCAACCGAUGCACUCUACUCCUUGCUUCUUCCAAUGUGUAAACAUUUUCAAACAAACCCCAACCCACACCAUGUCUCAAUAAGUCAGAAACGGGUAUGACAUUACCUUCACUGUAUAGACCACAAAGACGGAACAGAGAUUUUGCCUCCUCACUUUCCAAGAAUUCAUAACUCAAUUUUAUGGAGGUGUACACAUUUGCUUGCAUGCCAUGAAUUUCUCUUGCAUCCGAUCUUCUUAGCUGAUUCAAUGCAUCUUGCCAAAAGUAACGCUCCUUAGUUUUCAGAGCAUUUGCAACUGUACUCAGUGCAACAGGCAAACCUCCGCAUCUUUCAACGAUCUCAUUUGCUAUACUUUGAAAAGCAGAUAUUUUAGUUGAAUCACCCACUAUCUUCUCAAAUAACUGCAAUGCUUCUUUUCGUGGCAAAGCAUCGAUCGGGAAAUUUUUCUGAGAAUUCAUAUCAAUGCUCAAUAAAUCUUGCUUUCUAGACGUCAAUAUUAUUGUGCAUCUUCUCUGAUCAUCCUUUCUAUCUUUCUCAGCAACAUCUCCAGAAGGGAUUCCAACCGCAUCCAACUCAAGUCUUGUCCAAAUAUUAUCCAAUAUAAUGAGGACCCGCUUCUCUUUCUUCAAUACUCGACGUAGUCGAUUUGCUCUGUCGAAUAUAUUCUCAUUCAACUCAAACUUUAUGCCUAAAUCUGAAGCGAGUUUGUUUUGAAUUUGCUGAUUAUCUGAUUCAUGUGUUAGCUCAGCCAUAACGACCUUAUCGAACAACUUAUCUUCCAUCACUUGCUUUCUAACUUGCCUGACUAGCGUGGUUUUACCCACGCCGCCCAUGCCGUAGACCCCAAUUAUGUUGAGCUUAUCAUCCUUCAACGCCUCCAUAACAUCCUGUAAUACUUUCUUUCUUGAAUCAAAGGCCUCGUUAUCUUUCCCGCCCCUAGGUGAUUCGCUCUCUGGAGGAGGAUCGUAGGAAACAUCACUCUUCAGUUUGUCGCCUUUUUCCAUGAGAUUAGCAGCAUCUUUUGCGGCCUUUGCUGCUCGUUUACUGAGUUUGUAACGAGACAACAAAUUUGGACACAAUCCUUUGAAGCAGGACUUCUUGGCUCCAUCUUCUUCGUCAAUGAUAGAUUUUGCAACCCCCUCCGUAGAUUCAACCCUACUUCGCCAGUCUUUGACACGCUGAUAAAUCUCUUCCCCUUGUCGGGUAGCAUGAUAAACAUGUUGUUGCACCAUUUCGUUUAUACCUCCCAACUCCUUCACUUGAUCUUUCAGCUCUUCUAUGUAGCUCUGGUACUUGAACACAUAAGAGAUCUGCCGCAUAAUCGGUUCGAACAAUGCCUUUGUGCCUUCUGAUAUAAUGCUUGAAAAAACACCUUGACAGAAUUCUACAGCCAUUGCCUGCUGCUUAACGAUAUAUAUGUAGUUUUUGGCUGUUAAAAAAAAAAAAAUUGGAUUCAAAUAAAUUAAAUGAACUAGAGGGGAAGAAAAAGAAAGAAACGACAACAAACAACUUUUUAGAGAAAGGUUUGACAGGCCUAAAUGGAAAACCAACAACUUUUUGAAGAAAGAAAACUUUGGAAGAUAGAUGCAAAUUAACCGUUGAUAAUAAUACUACAUUAAGAACACAGAAGUUAACAAUAAACAGUAACUUAAAACUCAAGAAAAUUAAAUGACGAGAUUAAGACAAACAAGGGAUAGUUUUUGUUGGACAUUAAGAAACAACUGCUAUCAAGAUCAAGGAUUAGAAAUUAUGCUAUUAAAAGAAGUUAUUAAAGGAUAGUGCUCGUGACUGCAGGAAAAUUUCUAAUGGAAACAACUCAAUUUCAGAAGAAUUUAUCCAAUUGACUCUGUACUUGAACUCGUUGGAUUGGUUGAUUUAUGAUUGACUGAAUUUCAAUUCGGCCCAAAAGAUCUUUAACCAAAGUUUAAUAGCUAUCAUCUACUCCUUAAAAGCAAAUGUGUAUCUUUUUUAGAUUUGACUGAAUUUGAUCUUGUUGGAUUGGUUUUUUUUUAGACAAAGUUGUUUUCCUACUGAUUUUUAUUCUUCAAGUAAACUUAGAUACAAAGUAAAUCUAAAAAAAUGACAAACAAACAAUGAAAUAAACGACAACAAACUGGCAAUUUUGAUACAAAGCCAACAAAUAUUAAAAUUUAGAACAUUUUGUUUUCUUGCUUUCUUUUGUUGGAGGAUUAGAGAUUUUGGUAUUACCCGAAAGGUUUCAAGGGUCUGAGUAGAAACCUAUAAUCUUUUUAAAAACUUUUUUUUAAAAAAUUUUUUUUGGGGAAAAGGAUGCAAAUUAACCAAAGGAAAUAAUAAGAGCACAGGCUUUAUCAAUGAACAAAAACUUAAAACUCAUGCAAAAUAAUUCAAUAUUAAAACAAAUCACUGAGGAAUAUUUAAGAACAACUUGAAAGAGCAAAAAGAUCACUGAGGAAUGUGUGAGAAAAGAGUUGACGAGAGAAAUAACAAUGACUUGCAGAAGAAAAACCAUUAAUAAUUAUGUGCAUUUUUAUUUUAUUUUUAUCCGCAUGCACUUUAAUGAUUAGUGCUCCUUUCAUAAAGCAGCUACCGGAAACACACAAAUAUCAUUUGAGAGAGAAACUAAACAGCAAAUCAUCAAAGUAAGAUCAAUAAUAUAUUAUUUGGUUAAUGCAUAUUCAAGAACAAAAACAAAAAUAAAUAAAUAAAUAAAGAAGGUUUGAUUUUGUAUUGCCAACGCUGCUUUUUUGUUAUUUCAUUUGUUCUUUCCACAAAUGAUGCUUGGUUAUAAUUAAGUUUCACAUGGCCAUUACUUACAAACUGUGUUUGUGUUAACAGAAACAUGAAAUUCACAUCACACAAAAUUGCACUAUCAAUUCUUAAUAGAACAUAAUAAUAAUUACUCAACGCAUAAGGGUAAAUUUAGAAUUACAUUUUCUCAAUGCAGAAGGGUAAAUUUAGAAUUACAUUUUCUGAUUCUUUUUUAUUUAAUAAAACCCCAAUGGAAAAUCAUAAAAAUUUAGAUAUAUAAAUUUUCUCCACCAAACAAGAAAAAAAAAGGGGGAAUGAAAACACAGGAUUUAUUUUACCUCUCUUUCAUCUUAACUCUUUUUCAGGCAAACCAAAACAAAAAAAUUUCAAUAAAGAGCUAGUUGUUGAAAUUGAUUUAUCUUGUUUUUCAGGCUAUCUUGUGACGUGACGAUAGAUAAUGCUCGUGAAUGCUAGAAAAUUUCUAAUGCAAACAACUCAAUUUGGGAUGAUAAGCUUAAUUUUGCAAAUGACGAAUGUAAAUAACUUGUUUUGAUUAAUUGAAUUUGUAAUACUCUUACCCUAUUCUAAAAUUUGGAGGUUGCUUGAGAAAAAAGGGUAUUUCUCACUCAUCUUCAAUCCUCAAGUAAAAUUAGGUAAAAAUCAAAUCUAAAAAAUCACAAACAAAUUAACAAAAAAAAAAAAAAAAACAACAACAUUGAUCUUGAGACAAGUGAUAUUUAAACAGAGAAUUCUUUAUUCUUUUUUACUUCCCCCUCCCCCCCCGGGGGGCUCGAGGAUUAAAGUCUUGCUAUUAACAGAGAGGUUUUAAGAGUCUGGAUAAAACCCGUGCUUUUUUAAAAAACCACUUUUUUUUUUCUUUUCUCUUUUUUUUGGGAAGAUAGAUUCAAAUUAACCAAAGCUAGUAAUAAGAGCACAUACCUUACAAAUGAACAAUAACUUACAACUCAAGCAACAUAAAUGAUAAGAUUAAAACAAACCGGAGAAAUUUUUCUUGGAAAAUAGACGGAAAUUAAAUAAGAACUGCUGUUAAAAGAAAUUAUUAGAGGAUUUAGGAGCAUGUGUACCUCUUUAAUUAUUUGGGAUCAGAGAGUUGAUGAGCUCUCUAUUCGCCUUUAAUAUUGAGUAAGAACUGGUAUUAAAAGAAAUUAUUAAGAACAAUAUUUCAGUGAGCAAAAGAUCACUGUUAACUGCAGAGGAAUUUGCGAGUAAAAAUUAAGCUGAAAAGAGCAGUAACAAUGAAUUGCAAAAGAAGGAGACUUAAUCAAGCACCCCUUUUAUACCCGAUUUUUAAGAUUUAAUUUUGAAGUUCCCAAUCAAGAACAAAGACGAAGCUUUAAUGAAGCAUGCAGUGAGAUACAAGAAAUGGAUCGGGCAAAAUACCUUACGAAGCGUUUCAUAUUUUCUAAUGAAAUAAUUAAGUUGAAGUUUUCGACGAAUAAAUACUUGUUGUGCUUGAAUAAUUUUGGCAUAUACAUUACUUGUAUCCGGCGAAAUUGAAAAGCACAUUCAUUUACAGAGCUUGUUAGUAGGGAAAAGCUUCGUAAGAUGCCUGAUAAAAGAUAAAGCAAAAGCUUGAAUGAAGAAUGACAUUUUAGAAAGAAACUAAAGUGCAAUCAUCAAAGUAGGAUCAAUAGUGACUUGAUCAGUUAUGCUUUUUGUUAUUUCAAUUGUUCUGUCCACAAAUGAUGCUUCGUUAUUACUAAUUCCACAUGGACAUUAUUUAGAAACUGAUCUUAUGUUUAACAGAAAAAUAAAAACUCGUCAUCAUAAGCAUUCUUGGUUGUCCUAAACCAGAAGUAGGUGUUUUGCCUGAAAGUACCACUUUGCUAGCAAAUCUAGUGGGUAUACUGAAUAAAUUUUUACAUUAUUCUAUUUGAUCUCUCUGUCUUUAUCCUAAGCAUUCUUGGUUGGGAUCGCUGCAUUGUCCUGUAAUCUGUGUGACUUAGUGAAAAGAGGAAUGGGUAACUGUGGUUAUGGGUACGUGAGAGGUAACGAUGAGGGUAGAUUGUUAAUUUUGAGGAGCGAUUUGCUUGCAUAAUUCAAUGCAUGGACAGAAAUGUCCCUGACCAAAAAAAGGGACCAUCCAUAUCUGAAUCUGAGCAUCAGAGCUUGACUUAUUUGAUAAAUAGAUAUACUUGAACUGUUUUUGCAUAAUAACUAAAAUAUUUAUUUUUAUAUAUUCGAUAAACGAGCUCACUAUUGAUAGAACUUAUUAGAUACUACAACUCAAAUAACUUCUUGUGCUUGAUUGAGGUUUUUAUAUAUUCGUAUGUUUGAGUUUUUUUUUUUUUUUUACUUUCUAAGAAUUAACUUCUACCUUGAUUCUAAAAAAAAAUAUAUAAUUUUACAAAUAAUUUAGUUCGGCAUUUGGUAAAUGAUAACUAUUUGAGAAUAAGUUUUAAAAUGGUUUACUGUACAAAUCUGGUAAAUGAAAAUUAAAAGUGUAAAAUGUUCACAUAAUGAAAAUUAAAAGUGUAAAAUGUUCACUUGCAAUGACAACAAAUACUUAUUUACUUAUUUGUAAUUUAUUUUGAAUAUUAUUGUUUAAAUCAUUUUUUUUACUUACCAGAUUUUUUAAGAGCAUUCUAUUUUCUUUAUUACAUAGUUAAAUAAUUUUUUAUUAGCUAUUUUAUUUUGCAAUAAAAUUAACUUCAAUAUUUUUUUAACUAAAAAUUUUGUUAUGUAGUUCGUGAUAUAACAAAUACUAACAUAUCAUUAAAUUGAUUAAUAAAUUAAGUGCAAAAAAGAAAAUGCAGAAAUUUAAUCUUUAUAUAAACUUUUAUGUACAUAAAAUCAUUGUAAUCAAACUAGUUCAUAGAAAUAUAAUAUUAUAUACAUGUGUGUAAAAAAAACAUAUGACCAUAAUAUUAUCCACUCAUUAAACUUGCUGCACUAUUAUUUCUCAAUCUCUCCAUCUCUCGACCUUCAAGAACAUUACUACCAUAAUCUUCUUCUUGAAUUCAACCUCCAUUUCCUCAUCAUCAACAAUGCGACCAAUUUGCCUUGAUAGCCUUUCAACUCCUCCCACUUUCCUCCCUUUUUGCAGACACUCUUUUUCUUUUUCUUUUUCUUCUUUAAUAGCUUCAAUGGGAACAACCUCAUCUAACGACAAGUCCAUUCUUCAACUAGAAUAGAGUUGGUAGUAGAUAUUUUAGUACUCUCAAACUAUGCCCAAACAGGGUCACCAAUGAUUGUCGUAUUAAAAGACAUUCUAUUUAAUUUUCCUCUAACUCUGGGUCGAUACCUUUUAUGCAAAAUCUAUUUACUUCAGGAAUUUUCUACACAUGUCGAUAGCAUAUUAAAGUGAAUUCAGAUCCUAUAUUAUUGACAUUAAAAUUUAGCCGAAUAGUAAAAAAUUUCCCUUUUUGUUUGUCACACAGCCAUAUAGUCCCAUUUUUGGUUAUAAGCUCACAAUAUGCAAGGGAAAUGAAGAUCUAUUAAAACUUCCCCAUAAUGUUCAUUUUGUUGCUCGGAGGAAUAUAACUACCUAUUAAUUAAUUAGCAAGAAUUGCGUUGCGAGUCCAUGUUUUUGUCGUUUGGAUGGAGGAUGUGCUAUCUUUUUGUUGUAGAUGCUUUGUAAGGCUUUUGAUUUAAUGAUUUAAUGCAGUCAAUUAACAAAAGCUUACAUAUAGUAUUAUGUAGUUGCUGAGAUGUCUGUUCUUGAUAAAGUCGAUUUAUUUACACCCAAGCCAACGGAAUCAAAGCCUUUUCGUUAAUAAUAUACACGGUAAUUGUUUUUGUUAAAUUGAUUUCUAGCUAACAAGAUCUUUGAAAGCAUUUAGGUAGCGUUUACAUUUUAUGUUGGAGUGAGAAUCAUGAGGAGUGAGAAUCCUGGGAUUAGAAGUGUGGAGUGGGAGUCGAAGUAUGUUGUUUACUUACACUGGAAUGGAAGUAUGGAAUUGAAAUCAGAAUCCAAUUUAUUUGUUUACAUUGUCUUGGAUUGGGAGUAAAUGAUUUUAAAUUACAACUUUACUCUUAAAAAAUUAUAGUUAUUACUUACAAAAUUAAUAAAAAUUAUAUUUAAAAAAUAAAAUAUUUAUUUUAUUAUAUUUUUAAAAUAAUAAUAAUAAUUAAUAUUCUUAACUAUGUAAAUCAAAAUUAUUUUAUUAAUUUAAAUUUAAAUUAUAUAAAUAAAAAAUUAUUAAUAACAACAACACAAAUGAAACAUUAUUAUUGUACAAAAUUGAUUUUUAGAAUAAAAUAUUUAUUAUUAUUAAUCACUAAUAUUAAAUAAAUAUAAUAGUAUUAUUUUUAAAUAAGUAUAAUAAUAUUAUAUUUUCAAAUAAAAAUAGAAUAUAGUAAUAUUAUUAAUUCUUUAUGAAUAUAAUAAUAUAAUUUUUAAGUAAUUUUAAAUUAGAAUCAAUAUAAAUUAUUAUUUUUAACCAAAAAAUUAAUAUUAUUUUCAAUAUGUUUAAUAUUAUUAUUUUUAAUAAAUGUAAUUUAUAAAAUAAUAUAAUAAUUUAAUUUAAAUAAAUAUGAUAUUAUUUAUUUUAUUUUAUUAAAUAUAAAGGUAAAAAAUGAAGAGAGGCGAGUGAAUUCCCACUCCCACCUUGCCCCAUGAGAGUGGGAAUCCCAUUCAGUCACUCCAAAGUUAGGUGGGAUCCACAGAGUGGAAUUCUCACUCUCCCUUUGAAAAUUGUAAGUAAACACUAGAGUAAAAGAAAUCCACACUCCUCACUCUCACUCCAAAAAGUACACACUACAUUGAAGAAGCCAUUGACUCAUAAGAAAGCCAUGAUUAAAUACAAGGCGAAGCAUGUGAGCUCGUUUUUCAAUCUCUUUGAUCACUCAUAAGUUUUUCUAUACCACUCACUAUAUCAUCCUUUUAAGUCAAUUUUGACUGAUCAUCAGAGAUCAUGCACCCCACCUUGAGAUGAUUGAUCACCAAUUUGGCAUUGUAACAUUGAUCACCUCUAAUUGGCCAAGCUAAAAUUGGGACCCCAAAACCAAUUGCUUCUACAGUUGAAUUUUAUCCACAGUGAGAUAAAAAUCCACCUGUUAAUUGAUAACUCAGUAUCAAUAAUUGUGGUGCCAUUCCAUCUAUUAUCAAACCCUUUUUACUGGCUCUACUAUCUAAACCACUACGAAAAUAAGCUGGUUAAAUGACGUAGAGGAUCCAAUCUAUUUACAUAAGUUUGAAUUACCUAAAUAAUCGGUGGAUUUGAUGCUUAUAAAUCAGAGGGAAUUGCAGCAGAUACACCUUCAUACUUUAAAAAUUACCUCAAUACCUUAAAAUUUGAUUUUUCCAAAAUUUUCAUCAAUAUCCUUUAAAAGCUGAUAGGAAAUGACUAAGUUAUCCUCGUUUUAAAACACUUCAACUCAACUGGCAGCACCUCUCCCUCCCUCUACUCAAACAAACAAACACUCAUAUAUGCUACAAUUCCCUCCACUACCUUUACUCAAACAAACAAACAUUCAUUCUCCAUACAUGCUAAAUCGAACUUCAACACGAGCAAAUUGAGCUGAGAAAGGGAAGCUGCUACAACUGAGAAAGAGAAGCCUAGUUCGUCGCUACAUAAUCGCCAGCGAGAGUUGAUCCUUUAUUGCAAAAUGGUCAGAAUGUAACUAGUUGAGGUAAGUAAUUCCCUAUAAUUUGUUUUCUUGUUGAUAUUCAAGGGAAAAAACAAAAAGUUAGGGUUUUAUAUUGAAAAAAUAAUUAAUUAGUUGCGGGUCUCUCAUAACAUGUUCGAAAACACAUUUCUAGUUGUUUUGUUGCAUGCAAAUUGUGAAAAAUUAAUGGAUUGUGCCGAUUAUAAUUUUUUCAUGUAACACACGAUUUGGUCAUGUAAGGUUAUGUAAGAUUCAAGGUUGUGUAUUACACGACCUUCAUGUAUUGCACGAUUACAUGACCUUCAUAUAUUGCACGAUUACACGAGCUUUAUGUAUUACACAAUUACAUGACCUUCAAUUCCAGAUUGAGGAGUAAAAAGUUUAUCAUCUCUCCAGGUGUGUUCUGUAAUUUAAUUUUUUGUUUCUUGUCGAUAGAAUAUACACAUUACAUUUAGUUUAAUUAGGCUCACAAUUGGGGACAAUAAAUUGGAAUGGUACAUAUGCCUUUACCUUGUGGAAUGUCAUUACUUAGAGAGAUCCUUAAUUUGCAAUUAUAAGCCAUGGUAAGUCAUGGUAUGUCUAGUUAUGAGUGGAAACACUUUGAUCAUUGCGAAUGGUGUUCUUAUGUGUAUAACAUUACAUUAAUUUCCUAUAGUUAAUUUUUUUUCCUAAUUGAUUUCAUGGAUUAAUUAUAUGCAGGCAUUCCUCAUGUAUGCAUGUAUGUUUGGGCAGAGGAAGAAAGCACUUUGAAGAUUAAAAAAGCUUUUUAAAUGGUUGUACUAUGUUUAAUAGCGAUGUUCAUUAGUGUAUCAUAUCCAAAUAUUGAAAAAUUUGUACACUGAUAACUUUGUUUAUUUAUACUAAUUAAUCUAAUCAUUUCUCAAACUGUCGGAUGUUCAAAUUUAGUUUUUUUUUUCUGCAAUUUAUGAACACACGAUUUGGUCGUUUAAGGUCAUGUAACAUAGGAUUCAAGGUCGUGUAAUAUACUCAUGUAUACAUGACCCUCAGUCGUCUAUGACAUGACUUUGUAUAUUAUUACGCGAUCUUGAAUCAUGUGUUACGAGUCUUUCAUGACCUUCAGUUAUAUAUUACACGACUUUCAUGUACUACACGACUUUAUGUAUUACAUGACUUUAUAUAUUGCGCGAUUAUACAGCCUCCAUGUAUUACACGACCUUAAAAUUACACGAAAUUUUCCAUUAAUCAUUAGAUUAAUUUAGUUCAUUAAAGACUUAAUUUGUGCUAAGAAUUUAUAUUUGCUGCUAUGCAGAAAAUGUCAACGAAAAUUAUUAAAAAAAAGAAGUGAAAUUAAAUUGGAAUCUAAAAAAAUUCCACAUCAUCAUUGGUUUGAAUUGUAAGUGGUGGCAUAGGAUCAGAUGUCUUAAGCUUGAACUUCAUUGUGAUUUCGAAUUCCGAAGUAUCUAUAUCAAUAAAUUGAGCUAAUCUUCACCAAUCCGGCAUAUGUUGUCGAUCGUGGUAUCAUUAUCCCUUUAGCCUUGGAACCUUUGAACUUAUACUCAUCAUUUUGGUCAAUCCAUUCACCAUUGAAGAGAAUAGGUACACGUACCAAAACCAUAUCUGAUGAUACAAUAAAAACAAUAAUAUCAAAUUUCAUAUACAAGUAACUACACGACCUACAUGACUACAUUACUUACAUGACUUACACGACCUACAUGACUAUAUUACUUACAUGACCCACAUGACUUACACGACUAUAUUACUUACACGACCUACAUGACUAACUACAUGACGUGCACGGUAUCAAAAGGAAUGCACGACGCAAAACAUUUUCACCAUAAAUAAAUUAUAUUGCUGAAAAAAAUAAUUAAACAACCUACAUUGCAUAUAAUUCUACAUAUAAGAAAAAAUGGUGAAAAUACAACAUUAUAGAGUGAGGAAAUUUUCUAAAUUUUCCUAAAAAUUAAAAAAAAAUUAAAACCCAACAACAUUAACAUAUCUUAUUGGGUUGUUUAAUGAGCAAUGCACCUAAUUUCAGUUAAAGAAAGAGUGGGUGUUAAAGAAAUGAAUAUAUAAUUGUAUUUGUGUAAGAAGUUAUGAGAGAUUUUGAGAGAUUCUAGGAGAUUUUGAGAAAAUUUCGGCAGCAAGAAAAGAUUUGGGUGAAAGAAAUAUGAAGACAAUGAAGUUGAGUGAAUUUGAUGCAUUCAUUAAGGACAUUUCAAACUUUACUUACAUUUAUUAGGGUAUCCAUGAAAACAAAAAAGGGAGGGGAUAUUUAAAUAAUUUUGAAACUAUUAAAGGGUAUUUAAUUAAAAAACCCUCUAAAUCAUUGGCUAAUGUUGAAUAAUUAUUUAAGGUAGGACCCAACAUGUAUAACACAGAUCCAUAUGAUUUCAAAUCUAAUCAUUUAAUGAUCUCAUCUUCGGUCAUGUUAGAACUCCGCCGGUUGGUUCUCAUCUCACAAUCACGAAGCACUGAACCGGCCGAUUUGUAAAAUUGUUUAGGUAACAAUGGGCCCACUCCCCACACUGGCAUCAACACCAUCGAUCCCUCCACUUGCUUCAUCCAGUGUGGUUGAUCACUCGGUUCUGAUGGACCUAUUUUCUCUGAACCGGGUGCACCUCACAAAGGUUGUGGACCACCAGGAAGGGACCCGUGAGGCCUGCGUUUAAGAUCCGAUUCGAAUAAAGCAAUAUCCUUGGGUAACCCAAGAAGUAAACGGGCCUCUCCCGGUUUGACAUCCUGGAUGCGAGCCUGCCACAUGGCACACUCUACAGCUGCUGAGCAAGCAUCAGAAGUGAAGAACCCAACAAUGGGAACUUCAAAAUUCUUGAAAACAUCAGCCGUCCAGCCCAUCAUAACGCCGAUGACUACGCAAACAGGUCGGCUUUCGGGUUCCCGGGUUGAAAGGAGGUUUCGAAGGCCUUGAAGCAUAUGGCUGUGCAUGACAACAUGGUGGUGAGAAGGAGGUGAUGGUAGUGGUUGAGAUGGGAGGGUAUUUCGGUAAUUUCACAUAGAGGGUAUUGGUGAAGAGAGGAAGGGGUGAUGCUGGUGGUGGAAACGUGAGAGGGAAUAAUGAGGGUAGAUUUGUAAUUACGAGAAGCAAUUUGCUUGCAUAAUUCAAUGCAUGGAAACAGAUGUCCCUGACCGAAGAACGGGACAAUCCAAAUCUCAGCCUCAGCAGCAUUCGCAACAGAGCUUGACAUCUUUUAUGAAUUAUUUGAGACUUAAUUGUUAUUGACUGCUUUUGCCAUCUUUCAUAAAACAUUCUUUGUUAUAUAUUCAAGUAAAUAAAUUUAUCGUUUAAAAUUAAUUUUUCAUGUGGUAAAAGCAAUACUAAAUAUGGGGUGGAGAGAAUAAUUUGUAGGGCAUACCCCCACCAUUUAUUUAAUUUCAUUAAAAAAGAAAGAAAAGAAAUAAAGGCUUGUUCAACAUUCAAUUAAAAUUAACAAUUCCAUGAUAAAAUUACUUGAGAAUAAAAAUUUUUAAAAAAAAAGUAACUCAAAAACGAGGAAUUUUUGAGUAACUGAAGAACCAUAGAUGUUUUUUGGUCAUGAGCAAUUUUUGAGUUGAGACAGAACUUGUAUAAAAAAAUAGUUUUGAAAACUUCUUUUCUUUUUUCGUAAAUAUAGAUAUAAAAUUUUAAAAUCACCAAACACAAAACCAGGAAAAUGGAAGGAGAGCCCCUGUUUCUCCUCUGUUGCAAGAACAAAUUCGGUUUCUACAGUUGUACCUUCUAAAUGCACCAUUUGUAUUGCUUUGUCUCCACUUGAGCUAACGGAAUUUGAUGAAAACAAAAUAGAUAUGAGUGGUGCUAUUCACAGCCCUCAAUAAUUCUCUCAAAACCCCUUUUCUAAUUAUACCCCGUUGAAUAAGUUCAAGACCAACUUUUCCUCUUAUAACACCACCUUCAAUUCCGUUAAUACCCUUGUUCGCUAUGAAAAUGAGGAAAAUGCCUACAUAAAAAGCUGGCUCUGAUAAUCUACCUGAAUUUACAUUAGAAAAGAGUGGACUUUGAGAAAUAAGAAGACAAUAUAGGGAAUUUUACCAAAAUAAUCCAUUUUUAUAUACAGGGAAUGGUAUUUUCUGAUAUAGGGAGGAGUGGAGAAAUUAAAUUCAGCAAAAUAAAGAACCUCCAUCGAGAAGUAAAAAUGAUGAUAUCUUUGUCGUGAAGAGAUUUCUGCCUCAUACAAAUUUUUUAUUCUAGAAUGCUUGAAACCGAAAAGUUCUGUAGUUGUUUCAAUUCAAUUGCAUACAUUGACGAAACAUUAAAUACGGAAAAAAACAAAAAAGAAAUAAUAGGACAGGGGGAUUUCGAGAAGUUCUAAAGAGAGAAAUCUAUUUAUAAGCAUUGAAAAUUAGCUCAUUAAAUUUGACAGAAUAAUAUACAAUCUCACUGUUGGCCAGAAAAUAAUAGUAAGAACUUGUGAACAUAUAUAAUCAAUUGUUUAUUACUUAAGCUCUUUUUCUUCGUUAUUUUGAAUGGGUGCAAAGAAGAGAAGUUUUGUACCCAAAUUCCAACUCGAAUUGUGUAGGCUGCUUGCAAGAGCUUCAUUAGAUUUUUAUUUGUCUUUUAAUAGUGCUUCUCGACAAAUACAGCUAGCUAUCUGUCCUUUUUGUUACUGGACUAUAGAUCAAUUGACAGUUGAAGUUAUAUUAAUUUGUUGUGCUGGAAUUGAAGCUUGUAUCUUAGCCAUUUGGUGAAGUGUCAAAUAUAUUUUUAAUUUCCUUAAAAUUGUUCAAAAUAUGUUUACACUUUUAAAGUCACUAUUAUACAUGAGUGCCCUAAAAUUGGAGAAGGCGAUUUGCCUGACAUUACCUGUAUUCGCUUGUAUAGAGAGGACGAUUUAGAUAAGUCGGAACGGAACAACCUUCAUCACAUGCUUCCUCACGUGGUUACUUAAACUGAUAUGUAAAACGUGCUCCAUCCAUGUCGUUUCCACUAAAUCGUUUUCUGUUAAGAAUCAGCUGAGCAGCACGUGAGCUAAUGAAGCUUUUACGGCUUCAAAACGCAGCCGUUUCUGGGAACCAAACUUGAUUCAUCACCUCACAACUACAGAUGAAUUAUCGAAGUGGCUGAUUGGUGCUAUACGUGUUUUUCGUAUUGAACUCAACUCUGCUAUUUUCCCAAAAGCUGGAAAACAGAAACAUCAUCCCUGUGGUUUUAUUUCACCUCAACCUUUUUCUGAUCCCAUUUUCAUUGUAAUUUCUCAUUUACUUUGAGUGAAAGUCAUUGUUGCUUUCGAACGAGGUUUUGCAACUAAAAAGGAAAAGGGGGCGGCUAUAAUACAUGCGUGCAUCUGAUACAUGCACAAAAACUGACCAUUGGAUUAAAUGGAGUGGAUCUAAUGGCUGAGAUUUGUUUUAUUAUUAAGCAAUAAAAAAAUUUGAAACAACCAGAAACCUGUAAAACCGGUCAUUUGGUUUAAGUUAAAAAUAUAUAAAUGAAAAUAACAAAAAAACCCACCACUCCCCCGCCUCACACGCGCCUCACCGCUCCCCGCUCCCUCGCCUCACCUCUCUUCUUGUUCCACGGCCAUCAACGGCGGCACGAGUCGGCGACGAUCGACUGCGGCUGUAAAUUGACCACGAUCAUCUCUCUCUCUCGGCUUGCUCAAAUUUGGCCGAUCUGUGCGCUUGCUUAAGCUUGGCCGAUCUAUGCUUGCUCGAUUACUCUUCCUAUCUUCAGUCAGAGUCAACUGUUUGACAAGAGUCGAAGUCCAAGGUUCUUUUUUACAGGAUUUGAGCUAUUCCUUUUAUUCUUCUUGCAUGUUCACUGAUAUGAAGCUUUGAUGUGGUGUUCUGAUAGCGGGUGGAAUUUGAGAUUCUCCUUUCUUCUCUAUAUGAAGGUGCUUGUCAUGUGUCAAGAAAAAUAAAAUUAUUUACCAAAGAUUAUUUUAAGGAGAUUUAUUAUUAUUCGUGGAUCGGGAAGUUUAUUUUGUUUUUUGGUCUCUUAUUUAUUUAUUGUUUUCACGAGGAAAUUGCUGUGCUUUUGGAAAUUAAUAUGCUGUGUUGUCAAUGUUGUGUGAAAUCCUUUUAUUGGUGUCUAUGUAAAGUGUUUCAGAUUUCAGACCUGAGAGUUAAUCUUCGCGUACCAGUUGGCUUUUGGGUUUAGUAUUGCUACUUUUAACAUAAUUGACCUAUGGCCCAAAUCAUUUCUAUAGGGCGAAGCAUAUGAAUGAUACAUAUUAUCUUUUUUUGGCCUUAUGUAUUGUUAUUUGCAGUGUGAUUUGGUCUAGCUUAAGAGCUUAAGCUUGCAGGUUGGAUUUGUCUGACAGGGAACAAUUUAAUUUGCUCAUCGUGAUGUUUAUAUCCAUUUUGUACUACUAUCAAUUUCAAUCAUGCCUAAUUUUUAUAUGUAUUUCUCGUGGACUCUCAGGUUCAGUGCACAAGAGGAUGAAGACGAUGGACACCCAAAUUUGAUGUGGAGAACAACUAUUGCAAAUGGUCCUUGAUUUACUUCUCCAAUUGACUUGAAUUGGUUUGACGCAAUUUAUAGUGUAUUUUUGUCAUCUUUGUACGACUAGCAGGUCGUCCUGAUUUGGUACAUGACUGGACACAGGAAUUGGACUCAUAUUUUUCAAACCAGAAUGCCAACAAUCAAGCAUUUUCUUUUGAAAGCACUGGCGUCUUCUUCAAUGCCAAAAAGGUUAGAGAUUUUCUGUAUCUUGUUUUGUAUUUAAUCAGUUUAGCAUGUGGGUGGCAAUCAAGAAAAGUUAUUAUAACAUUUUUGUGUUCCCGAAAAACUGCUGAUGAUGUGUAGUGCAGGAAAUGAAUUGUUUUUGACUUCUUUUUAUUUGUAUUCUUUCUUUUUUCUUUUCUCCCCAACAGGAUUAUGCAUUUCUGAAGAGCUUCUUGAAGUUGAUUACCAUGUAUGCCACUUUCUUUACUCUAUGCUCAGGAUGUGAUUUUGCCAAGCAUUAAAAUGGUUUAGGUCAGAACCAUCAUCUAAAGUUUACUUAAUGCAGCCGAGAAGCUGUAGUAGAGCAAGGAAGGCUGUUGGUGUUAUGAAGGCCAGCUGUGAAGAAAUAUUUGAACUUGUAAUGAGCAUGGAUGGGACACGAUACGAGUAUGCUUCUUUUCUAUUUUUUAUUUUUAGUUACUUUAACAUAAUCAAGACUAUAUUGGCUGUCUCUGUAAGCUGAGUAUUAUAUUUCCUCUUGCAUGCUGUGAAAUUCACAUUGUCUCCAGUCCCGAUUCUGUAUGUGCCUUUUUGAAUAUAUUUAAUUAAUCUGCAUGGUGCUUUCUAAAGAUUAUUACAAACUUUUGUUGCUUAAGUAUAUGAAGAAUGUAGAAAUGAAAACAGCUUUUGAAGUUUGAUGGAUUGCUUCAUUAAUAAAGAAAGACUAGGACUCAUUUUUAUAACUUUUCUCCACUUAGCUAAUGGUAUUUGAUGAAGACAAAAUAGAUGUAGCUAUCUAUAUUUUUUGUUGCUGAACUAUAGAUCAAUUGACGGUUGAAGUUAGUUAUAUUAAUUUGUUGUACUAGAAUUAAAGCUUGUAUCUUAGCCAUUUCAUGAAGUGUCAAAUACGUUCUUUCCUUUUUUUUUUUUUUUUUCAAAACAUGUUACACUUUUGAAGUCACUAUUACAUAAAAGAGUGUUCUAAAACAGGAGAAGGCGUGCUGCCUGAAAUUACCUGUUUCCUAGCAAAUCUAGCUGGUUUGCGAAUUAGAUUUUAACAAGUCUCUUGGCAAGGUUUGCUAGUAAUGUGUUCAAAUUAUUCUAUUUAAUUUUACUGUCUGUACCCUAAUAAUUCUUGGUUUGCACCAUUGCAUUGUUCCAUAAUCUCUGUGCGUUGGCUUAUAAAGGCCAGCAAGGCUGAUCAUUUGUCGAAUAGUUAUUUCCAUGAAAUUCCUAUCAAUUUGACUCAGUAUUUAGAGGUCUUGAAGAGGGCAGUGUACUAGACAUGGAUUUCUACCUCUUUUGGUUGUACAAUUGUUGUAUUUCUUGGCCAUCAGAUCUUUUUAAUGUACCUUUCUCAAAGUUCAUGCCGCACGUACACCGUUUUUCAUGUUUUGUGCAUGUGGGAUUGUAGUCUUCUGUAUCGCAGCUUAGUUGAAGAGGUAGAUGGUCAUACGGCUAUUCUCUAUCAUAGGCUUCAGCUGGACUGGUUUCCAAUGUAAUAGUCUCUUGAUUCAAUCAUCUCAUUUAUGCUUUGGUCAGAAUAGAACAUUUAUUGUUUCCUUCUUUCCCCUUUCCUCUCUUCUGAUGUAAUAUGUGAGGAAAUUACCUAAAAUUUCUGUAUCCCAAUGUAAUUGUUGGAAUUCAGAAAUAAAAUAAAUACACCGUCUUGUUUUUCCCUCGGUUCAGUCCCAAGUUCUCUUUGGGCCUUCUGCAAGUUUUUAAACAUACUGUGACAGUAAAAAAUCUAGUGAUUGAGAUCAUUUUGAUGAAUUUAAUUUUAAUUCUUAGCUGAUACUUUUUCUGGAAUUUUUUUCUUAUGUUUCCUCAAUAUGACUUAAAUAUAGGGCUUAGUUUGGUUUAGAAGUUCAUCUAAAACCUUCUCCUUGAUUCCAAAAAAAUUCUCUAGAAAGGUCUCAGAUGGAUUUUAGGGGAGUUUUGUGGCAAAUUUGAAAAGUUCAGGGGAAGGGUCUAAUGAAUUUUAAAACCACAUGGGUUAUCUGUUUUAUUCAGAGGAUAGUGGAAUUCCCUGAAAUUUAUCAUUUUUAUUUAAAUAAUCUUCCUACUUUCCUCUGCAGAAUUUAUUUAUAUAUAUGAAUUCAUUUGGUUGCAGGUUUGUUUGGCCCCGCGGCCUUUGUUAAGUGCGUUAUUGGCGUUGAAAUGACGCUGCGAGUUAUGGUAAGGUUCUUGCUUCCCCACUUCUUGAAAUUAAAUCUAUCUUUUCUGGCACUAGAAGUUUCCAUAAGCUGUGUUUUGUUAUCGCGCAGUUGUGUUAUUUCAUUCUAGGGAGCAUAUGAACUGUGGUCCACAACCCGGAUAUGUACGAGCUCACAUGGAGAGUUAGUUUUCUGUCCUUUACUUUGGUUGAUGUAGAGAAUUAACAAGUGACUAAGUCAUGCCAAGUUGCACCACUUGCUUCCUGUAUUCUGAUUUCUCAGGUGGUGGAUUCAACAUUUCCCCACUAAAACCUCAAAAUGGUAGGCCCAGAACACAAGUACAGCAUCUUAUGCAGAUUGAUCUAAAAGGGUGGGGUGUUGGUUAUGUGUCAAUGUUUAGCAACACUGUCUUCUGCAGAUGUUAAAUAGCAUUGCUGGUAAGUUUCUUGCUUUCACAUUUUAUUUUGCGCUGUUAUGGGUUAAUAUGUUUCUGUUGGGUGGCCAUUUUAAGUCAUAUUUUUACGUGUUACUGUAUUUUCUUCAGUCCUUUUAUAGGGAACACACACAUACACGUAUGUAGAGUCACCUUUUAAUGAGGGAUCUACCAUUUUAAUGAAAUGAGGAAUGAGCUAAAAGAUAAAAAAUUCACGAACUCCAAUGCAAUAUGUGUGUGUGCGCGUGUACACCUUUUCUAACUCUUGUUCUUAGUUAGAUAUUUUUUGGGAUUUCAGGCAAAUGAAAAAAGAGAUUAAGAGAAUGAUUUCAAGAGAACAGGUGGAUAAUAACUUAAAUAUUCAUUUUUAUACAUUUUGUUAAUGUCCUCUUUAAUGGAUUUCUAUGGAAUUAACCUUGUAAUUGGUGUAAUUACGGCAUUGGUGGUUGACAUGGCUUUCCUUGUGCAGGUAUGUAUGAUUGUACUGCAAUUUGCAAAUUUGCAUACUUGAAUGUUCUCAGAAUGGUAUAAUGCUUCGUGUAUGCAGGCAAAUACUACAGAUGAAUUACCGGAGCGGCUGAUUGGAGCUGUACGUGUUUCUUAUAUAGAACUCAAGUCUGCUAUUGUUCCAAAGUUGGAACCAGAGACAUCAUGACUCUGGUUUCAUUUCACCUCAACUGUUUUUUUUUUUAAUUGAAAAAAAAAAAUCAUUUGUUUUAGGUAUACAUACAUGUAUUUUGAUCCCGUUUUCAUUGUAAUUUCUCAUUUACUUUGAAAGAAAGUCAUUGGUGUUUUCGAGUGGGAAUUUUGCAUUAAAAAAUAAAGAAUACUUAAUAGGAAAUUUCAUAAUUCUUUAGUUACUAUUUUUGGAAUGUGUGUAAUAGUAUUAAAGUUGGUUUCUACUCGCAAACAAGUGAACUACUCGAUCCCCAACUGCGACCACGCUAGUUGUCAUUUAAAACUCAACAACUAACAAAAAUACUAAUAAAAAAAUGAUUUUCUUAUAUUGCUGUGAAAACAUUUAUGGGUUCAUUUAUUUCCACAAGAUCUAUAAUUUGGUCUUGACUUUACGAAAUUCUUUUAAUUUAAAGGGUUUUGGUCUGAGAAAGUCAGUUUGACGGAUUAAUUCUUUUUAAUAAUGGUCGAGUUAAUUUUACUAUACUCAUAAAACUAUUUUUAUUCUGAUAAUGCCACAAAUGUUAUGAUGUUUUCUUCAGCUAAUGAUCUUCUAUCAGGACUAGUUAGAAAUCAAAUGCUUAAAACACCGAUUGAAUGUAUAAUGCAGAAGUUUAAACAGUACCUAAUUGAAAAUUGCAUGAAACAUGAAACAUCAAUUCAAGUCCUUCCUUAAACAGAGAAUGCAUCAAACAAAUCCAAAGUGUCUUGCAAGUCUGUAGCAUGACAAAAAAGUUGUAAAUGCGUUUGGAACCAAAUUCUUCAAGUACAGGAGAACGAGCAAGUUGAAUUAUGUACAAGAGAUUGGCCUGGUUCGAGAUAGCUUCUUCACUGUACCUGAAGGAUUGGCUCAAUCUUUUCUUUAGAAUUCUGCACAUUUUGUAAUUACUCGUGUAAGCAAGCAUACAUUACAACCAUAAUAAUAAUAAAGCAAGAGUAAUGAUACGACCACCACCUUUUGUACACAAACAAUAUUGUAUAAACUAAUGCGACAUAAUAUGAUUGGUUAAACAAAAACAUUACAUGGCCCUCAUAAUUUAUUUAUUUAUUUAUUUAUUAUUAUUAUUAUUAUUAUUAUUAUAUAUUUUCAGUCAACCAAUCAUAUUAUAUCACAUUAGUUUCUAUAAAAUAAUUUGCUAAAUAGCACCAAAACUUAAUUGAUACUCACCAUUUCAUUGAACAAUUUUUUUAUGGUGUCAUUGAGGUUGCCUUCCCAACAUCCUUCAUCAUCAUCAUCUUCUUCAUCAUCAUCUUUUUCUUCUUCGGUGACGUUCACUUUGUUUAGCAUUGGUGUGUCUAAGACUCCUUGAGAGAAGAUCUUCAUUUUUGGACACAGUCUCACAACUACUUGUUUCAAGGACGGGAAUUCAAGAGCGUAAUUACCUAAACAAAAGCUUGUUAGGCUUGGCAAACAGUCAAGUUCCAAGUACCUCAAUUUCCCAAAAACAAUGCAAUCUUCCGUUUCUUCUCCAACCUGCGACUGUAUAAUUUCUUCCAUCAUUUUGCAAUCAACUAUCUUCAUUCUUCCGAGAUUCACUAGAUUUUUAGAUGCUGAGAGCGUCAACACAUUUAUCAACCCGUGACACUUCGAUACUUGUAGUCCCCACAGAUUUUCCAAAUGCCACGAAGGUGGUACUAAUUUUUGCAACUUACUACAUUCCGAUAUUUCUAGCCUUUCCAAGUUUGCAAACACUUUGUUGGAUUCGUCAUUUUCCUUCCAGAGAUGCUGCACUUUGUGUAAUCCAGACAGUCUUAACUUCCUCAAUUGAGGGAAAGCAACCUGAAAAUCAACAAAGUUAAGUUGUAAAAGAAAAUACGUAUCCAAUCUCUGGAGUCUUCACCUGCAUAUUUUAUGGACAAGAUUAAUCACGGCAUUUUAUAUUUUAUUUCCAAAUUAGUAUGCUUUGCAGUAGGAUCCCAAAUAUAAGUAUCAAAUCGAUUACCCUUUGAAACACAUAAAUGAAAUCUAAUGCUAAAUCCAAUAUGAAUUAGCUAGGAAAACAGAGAUGUUACACACAUAAUUAAUAUAGUUCAUCACCUCGUGUUAUCAGGCAUCCAAUUAAUUUCAGUCAUUUUUAUAAUUCAUACUAUAAAGAUAGUUAAUAACUGAGGUUAUAUUGUUAAAUCAUAUAUAAAUUAAGAUGACAUGCAAAAAGAUGAGUCAUUAAAUUUGACUUGAUUCUAAUGAAAUUACAUCUGUGCGAACAAAAGUGAAGGGAAUAAUAAUAAUAAUAAUAAUAAUAAUUACCUUUUCAUCGAAGAGGGGUUGUACUUGAUGAGCCAGCAAGAAGUACUCUUCUAAUGUUAAUUUUUGAGGUUCCUUGUUAUCAGUUGUCACAUGCACUACAGAGUUGGAUAUAAAUGUUUCCAUAUCAGGGCAAUUCUCAAUAGUCAGACUCCACAACAUAGGCAUUUCAAUUAUAUUCCCAGUGAAGUUGCAGAAUCUUUUGAGUUUUGGAAGAUCAAUGAGCGUUAGGCUAAAAAGCCUAGGAAACAGGGGGCCUAUAUGUUCUUUGUCAGCAUUUAGCUCUUCCAAAUGAAGCAUCUCUUCUAGUGAAUCACAAUUCCUCACUUCCAGCCUUGCCAAAUUGUUCAAGCAUCGUAGCAGAUUGGCAGGAAUAGCACUCGACAUAUUGGUGCAGUAAUCCACCUCCAGCUCUGCUAAAUAGUUGAAGAAGCGGACAGGCAGUGCUUGGCCAUGCCAUAUUUCUUUCAAACGUGGAAAAUGUGAGAGUUGCAAAUACUGUAUGUCACGGAAUCCAAUCUGCACAAACCAAAACAAUUGCACUGGAUAUAUAUAAAUACAUUAAACUUACAUGUUUUGUGUUUUAACUUCUAAAACUAUAUAUACAAGGCAGGUGUAUAUGUUCAAAUGUGCAAGUGCAAGGGAGAUGCAUAAGUAAUUUCAACGAAUCGAUUUAACACAUACCAUUUCUUCGUAACACUUUUGUAUAGUGGAAUUAAGGUUGCCUUCCCAACGGCACAAUUCACCCUCUUCCUGUUAAGAAUAGAAUUAGUUAGUUAAUGAGUAUGCUGACAUGGCAGCUGAGUCAGCUAAAGGUUGUUAUAGAGGUUGUUAGUAGUAAACUGUGCGUGUGUGCAAUGUGUGUAGAAUCUUCUAUGCACAUAUAAAAAGGCUUGCAAUUUCCAGAUUCAUUAGAUCAAUAAUAACAGAAUUCUCAGCUUACAGAAGUUUUCUUUCCUCCUAUUUUCUUAGUAACCAAACAACAUCACAGUUUCAUAUAAAACUUAAUACUUCCUUUUUACUCACCUGCACUUCGUGCAGCUUUGGUGUGGAUACGAUUCCCUGAGAAAAAGUCUUCAUGUUCGGGCAACGUGUCAUAGAAACUCGUUCCAAUGAUGGGAAUUCAAGAGUGUAAUUCUCCAAACAAAAGCUGGUAAGCCUUGGUAAAUAAUCAAGUAUCAAAACUUUUAAAUUGCUGAAAGCAAUACGAUUCUCCUUCACUUCUUCUCCAACAUGUCCUAUGAUUUCUUCUAUUUUUUCACAGUAUGAUACAUUAAGAUUCACUAGACUAUUGGGAAUUCCAACCUGAAAAUAAAGAGUAGCAUUCAACUAAAUUCAAAGUAUGUCAAAAUCAUACAAUUGUUUUAUGAAAAAUAACAAACCAUGUCUACUAGAUAUUUUUUGUUAAAGAAAAAAGGAAAAAAAUUAAAACAAAAAUAAAUAAAUAGAAGUCCAGAAAAACAAAGAUAAUGAAAAUGCAUUUACACUAAAACGCUGUAUUUCCCUUUUUUUUUUCCCGAUAUUCAUGCUUUUAAAAAUGGAAAACAUUUCUGGAAAACACUUCCCAACGCCAUCAACAUGGGACUGUUACAGAGUGAAUAUUUGAGGAAAUUUUUUAAUAAACGGUCGAUUCAAAAUGACCAUCAUGAAUUUGUGCUUAAUCAAUGGCGUAAUCAAUUCAUAACUAAACUAGAGAUAUUAACUACAUUUGAACACUUUUCUUUAUUUUAUUUUUAAAAUCGAAAUCUAAAGACCCAAGGAAAAGAGAAAUAUAUAUGAAUUUGUGAACUUAAAAGCUGAGUAACUAAGUAUCUUUUAAUUUCUGAAAAUCUUAUUCAUUAGGAUUUAAGGAAAAAAAACAAUUAAAUUAAAUUAUAUUAUGCUGUUAAAUCGUGUUUAAAAUAAUUAUAUUGUUGACUUUAAUGCAGGUGAACCUAUAAAUUAGAUUGAAAAUGCAGAGUUCAGAAUGGUGAUUUGAAGUACAAUACUUUUUUUCCCUCUAGAAGUUUGAAGUACAAUACUUGCAAUAAAUAAUUUGUGAAUGAAAAUUAUUUGUAAACAAAAAAAUGAUUAAAAUAAUUGUUGAAUGUUAUUUGAAAUAAAAAUUCAAAAUGAAUAUAGCAAUCUUACCAAUGGAGGAAAAAUAUUCAGUAGAUUAUGACACACAGAUAUCUCUAAUUUUUUCAAUUUGCUAAAAGACUUCGAAGCAAGCUGGUGGUGCCAUAUUUUUCUCAACUUAUCCGCCCCACGAAUAUGUAAUACCUCCAGACUUGGGAGUCGUACCUGAAGUUAAAAAUUCAAUGCAAUUAGAGAUGGAUAUUAAUUAAAUUUGAAGACUCAACGAAAGAAGAAAUUAACUAUUAAGAAUAAAAUUAAUUUAAAAAAAAAACCUUUGCAUCAAAGAGAGGUUGAGGUUGCAUUUCAGAAUUAGCUUCUGGUGAGGCAAAGCUACUUAGUUUUGGAAGACCAUCGAGCUGCAGGAAGUGUAGUUUAGGAAAAACCUUAAAUUCAUCUCUUCCUCCUAACCCCGUGGUGUUGACUAUCCCUUCCAUUGACCAACAAUUAAUAAUCUCAAGAUGUCGGAGCUGCCCAAGACUAUUAGCCAUAGAAUAUGAAAACAUAUACUUCAGAGGACAACACCUUGUCACGGUCACUUUUGUUAAAUUUUGACAACAAUACAUUCCCUGAAAUUGAUCGGGCCAUAAUUUUUUGAUGUUUGUUAAACUGACAAGUUCCAGUUCCUCCAAGCGUGGAAAAGUAACCUGCAAAGAAAAACCAUACAUUUUUUUUCCUUCAACUACAACUUCUAAUAUAAUAUUCUUUCGAUGAUUGAAGAUCAAUCGUGAUAAUAUAUUAAUUAAUUAAUUAUUAAACAGAAAAUUAUCACCUGAUCAUCCUCUGCAUUGAUUUCUGUGAAUCCCUGAGUAGUUGUUGGUUUCUCCAUGUCGGGCCCUAUAAAUGAACAAAAACAAUAUAUGAUUAACCUCUGUUGUCCCCUCCCAAAACAAAAAAAAAAAAAGAAUGAGCCAAUGUCAAUAAUCCUACCAAUAAUUAAUUUAAACACUUACCAAUCAUCAUUUUCAAUUUAUUGCAAUUUACCACUUCUACUUUUUGAAGCCCCAAUAGGUUUUUGGCCAUAGAGAAUGAGAAGAGAUACUUCAAUUUUGGACAGGAAUAUACGUAUAUAAUCCUUAAGUUGCUGAAAGAUUGAUCUUCUCUGAGUUGGCUGUAGCAUAUCGUCUCCAAAUUAGUUAAAUUAAUAAGAUCCAAUGAUUCCAGCAAGGGAAAGACUUCGCAACGAACCCGUCUAACUGAACCGACAAUAUGUAAAAUCUCAGAACAACCUGUUACAUGAAGAUGCUGCAAUCGUGGAAAACCUUCCCCAUCGUCUAAUUCAUGAACAACAUUCUGAACACCCGUCAGUGAGUAUAGACGGAGAUCUUCAGUUCUCUUCAGCAACAUUUUCGUCCCAUCAUUCCCCAAAAGAAGGCUAACUUUUUCUGGCCCCUUGAGCACCAUCAAUGUUGAUGUUUUAGAUUCGACGAGUCGUCGGUUAGACAUUUGUCCUAUAAAUAUCUUAUAUCUUUCCAAUUCCAUAGAGACAAAAUCCGGCGGCAGAAUUUCGGAAUCCGAAACAUCUAUCUCCAAAGUAGUUAGAUUUGACAACCCCUUCAACUCGACAAGACUGGCAUUACUUCCUCCUUCAACCUUAUCCCACUGUGAAAAGCUGUUAUGCAUAAACAGUUCUUCUAAUCCAGAUAAUUUUGAUAUGACAUUUGGUGGUAUCAACUCAAGGCUCCAACAAUUGCUCAAAUCUAGCAACUGUAACCGCGUCAAUCGUCCAAUUUCAAGUGGUAACUGCUUGAUAUCGGAAUCUGCAAGGCUGAGAAUCUCUAAUUUCUUUAGCUGUCCAACUAUUGCUAUAUCUUUUAGUCGGCAAUAGUCUAAACGCAAUGUUUGAAGGUUAAUGAGGCAACCAAGUGAUGAAGGUAAUGAAGAGAAUUGAAUUCGAGUAAAAUUCAAAACUUUGAGUCCUUCCGUCCCUUUAAAAAAGUGGUCUGAAACUUGCAUAGAGCCAUCACCCUCCGCAUGCAAUAGCUCAAGACAGGGACAUUGCAACCUUUCAGGAAGCACUUGAAUACCUCCAUAAGGUAAAGAAAUAGCAAUUGGACCUUCCUGUACUGUAUCUUCCAUCUUUUUCUCCAAGUCGGCAACAUUUGGAAUAUUAAACAUGAGCUCCUCUUCUGCAAUUGAUACAGCAACUACACGAAUGACGUCAUGCAUUUUAACUUCAUCUUCAGCAUCACUGUCCAACAAUAAGCAUGAAGAUUUGAGUUUGUCGAUCAACGUAUGCAAUCUCCUCCUUGCUUCUUCCAGUGAGUAAACCUUUUUAAAAUAGUCCAUACCCAUACCAUAUCUCAAUAAGUCUGGAACAGGUAUAGCAUAACCUUUACUAAGUAGACCACAAAGACGGAACAGAGAUUUUGCCUCCGCACUUUCCAGCAAGUUGUAACUCAAUUUUAUGGAGGUGUACACAUUUCUUUCCAUUCCAUCAAUUUCUCUUGCAUCGGAACUUCUUAGCUGAUUCAAUGCAUCCUUCCAAAUGUCAAGAUCCUUAGUUUUCAGAGCUUUUGCAACUGUACUCAGUGCAACAGGCAAUCCUCCGCAUUUUUCAACGAUCUCAUCUGCAGUGGGUUGAAAAGCAGAUAUUUUAGUUGAAUCACCCACUAUCUUCUCAAAUAACUGCAAGGCUUCUUCUUUUGAUAAAGCAUCGAUCGGGAAAUUUUUCUGAGAAUUCAUAUCAGUGCACAAUAAAUCUCGACUUCUAGACGUCAGUAUUAUUGUGCAUCGUCUCUGAUCAUCCAUUCUUUCGUUCGGAAUCCCAACUUUAUCGAACUCCAGUUCCCCCCAAAUAUUAUCCAAUAUAAUGAGAUGCCGCUCCUUGUUCUUCAAUACUCGACAUAGUCGAUUUGCUCUGUCGAAUAUACUCUCAUUCAACUCAAACUUUAUGCCUAAAUCAGAAGCAAGUUUGUCUUGAAUUUUCUGAUGAUCUGGGUUCUCUGUUACCUCAGCCAUAGCGACCUUAUCGAACAACUUAUUUGUUUCCAUCACUUGCUUUGCAACUUGCUUGACUAGCGUGGUUUUACCCACGCCGCCCAUGCCGUAGACCCCAAUUAUGUUGAGUUUCUCAUCCUUCAACGCCUCCAUAACAUCCAGUAAUACUUUCUUUCUUGAAUCAAAGGCCUCGUUAUCUUUCCCGCCCCUAAGUGCUUCGAUAUCUGCAGAAGGAUCGAAGGCAAUUUCUUCACUCUUCAGUUUGUCGCCUUUUUCCAUGAGAUUAGCAGCAUCUUUUGCGGCCUUUGCUGCUCGUUUACUGAGUUUGUAACGAGACAACAAAUUUGCACACAAUCCUUUGAAGCAGGACUUCUUGGCUCCAUCUUCUUCAUCAAUGAUAGAUUUUGCAACCCCCUCCGUAGAUUCAACCUUACUUCGCCAAUCUUUGACACCCUGAUAAAUCUCUUUGCCUUGUCGAGUAUCAUGCUUAACACGUUGUUGCACCAUUUCGUUUAUACCUUCCAACCCCUUCACUUGAUCUUUUAGCUCAUCUAUGUAGCUCUGGUACUUGAACACAUAAGAUAUUUGCCGUAUAAUCGGUUUGAACAGUGACUUUGCACCUUCUAAUACAGUGCUGGAUAAAGCAGCCAGAGCCACUUCUGCCAUUGUCUGCUACUUAACAAAUCUAAUAAUAUAUCAAAGAAAGGAAUACAAAUAAAUUAAAAGGAACUAAAGGGAAAGACAGAGAAAGAAAAGACGGCAAACAACAUCGCAAUAUUGAUCUUGAACCAACUGAUACCUAAAUAGAGAAUUUCUUUUACUAUCUUAAGGAUCAGAGGUUUCGCUAUUAACCGAAAGGUAUCGCUUCUAUUUUGUCACUUUGAACGAAUAACUUUAUGUUUUUAACGGAUGUUUAAUACAAAUUGCAUACAUUGGGUGUAAAAUUAAAUAAAUUUAAAUAUUUAUAAUAAUUUUAAUAAUUGAAUAAAACUUUGAGUAAAUGACUGAUAAUUUCUCUAAGAUGAUUUAUUGUUUGGGGUCUAAGAUUUUAAAUAUUCAACUUAAAAGAUUAAUAUCUUAUAAAUUGAUUAAUUAAUUAAUCAUUAAGCAACUAAAUUGGUCCCUGGAUGUCAAUUUAUUUAAUAUUGACGCACCUAUUUUUUUUUUCUGGCAAAUAAUUAUUAAUGCACUUAGGNNNNNNNNNNNNNNNNNNNNNNNNNNNNNNNNNNNNNNNNNNNNNNNNNNNNNNNNNNNNNNNNNNNNNNNNNNNNNNNNNNNNNNNNNNNNNNNNNNNNNNNNNNNNNNNNNNNNNNNNNNNNNNNNNNNNNNNNNNNNNNNNNNNNNNNNNNNNNNNNNNNNNNNNNNNNNNNNNNNNNNNNNNNNNNNNNNNNNNNNNNNNNNNNNNNNNNNNNNNNNNNNNNNNNNNNNNNNNNNNNNNNNNNNNNNNNNNNNNNNNNNNNNNNNNNNNNNNNNNNNNNNNNNNNNNNNNNNNNNNNNNNNNNNNNNNNNNNNNNNNNNNNNNNNNNNNNNNNNNNNNNNNNNNNNNNNNNNNNNNNNNNNNNNNNNNNNNNNNNNNNNNNNNNNNNNNNNNNNNNNNNNNNNNNNNNNNNNNNNNNNNNNNNNNNNNNNNNNNNNNNNNNNNNNNNNNNNNNNNNNNNNNNNNNNNNNNNNNNNNNNNNNNNNNNNNNNNNNNNNNNNNNNNNNNNNNNNNNNNNNNNNNNNNNNNNNNNNNNNNNNNNNNNNNNNNNNNNNNNNNNNNNNNNNNNNNNNNNNNNNNNNNNNNNNNNNNNNNNNNNNNNNNNNNNNNNNNNNNNNNNNNNNNNNNNNNNNNNNNNNNNNNNNNNNNNNNNNNNNNNNNNNNNNNNNNNNNNNNNNNNNNNNNNNNNNNNNNNNNNNNNNNNNNNNNNNNNNNNNNNNNNNNNNNNNNNNNNNNNNNNNNNNNNNNNNNNNNNNNNNNNNNNNNNNNNNNNNNNNNNNNNNNNNNNNNNNNNNNNNNNNNNNNNNNNNNNNNNNNNNNNNNNNNNNNNNNNNNNNNNNNNNNNNNNNNNNNNNNNNNNNNNNNNNNNNNNNNNNNNNNNNNNNNNNNNNNNNNNNNNNNNNNNNNNNNNNNNNNNNNNNNNNNNNNNNNNNNNNNNNNNNNNNNNNNNNNNNNNNNNNNNNNNNNNNNNNNNNNNNNNNNNNNNNNNNNNNNNNNNNNNNNNNNNNNNNNNNNNNNNNNNNNNNNNNNNNNNNNNNNNNNNNNNNNNNNNNNNNNNNNNNNNNNNNNNNNNNNNNNNNNNNNNNNNNNNNNNNNNNNNNNNNNNNNNNNNNNNNNNNNNNNNNNNNNNNNNNNNNNNNNNNNNNNNNNNNNNNNNNNNNNNNNNNNNNNNNNNNNNNNNNNNNNNNNNNNNNNNNNNNNNNNNNNNNNNNNNNNNNNNNNNNNNNNNNNNNNNNNNNNNNNNNNNNNNNNNNNNNNNNNNNNNNNNNNNNNNNNNNNNNNNNNNNNNNNNGGGAUUAUGGGGGUAUGCUAAUGCGGCAACCUGACUGUGAGUCGGGAAAAGCUAAUGAGGCAACUUUGCUUGUGCUGCUUCUUUUUUUUUUUUCUUUUGCUUUCUUUUUUGCUUUUUUUUAAUAAUAUUAAAUAAUAUAAAUUUUAAUUUAAUUUAAUAGAAUAUUAUAUAAUAUUAAUUUUUAUUUUCUCUUAUUUUGACAUCAUAAUUAUUAAUAUAAAUUAAUUAUUUUUAUUCAUAUUUUAAUUUUUAUUACUAAAUAAUAAUUAUAUAAUAAUUAAUAUAUAAAAUUGAUUAAUAAAUACUUAAAUAAUAUAAAAAUAAGAAUAUAACUUGAUAUUACAUUAUUUAAUUAUAUUAUAGUAAUUAAUAUAUAUGAAAAUUUAAUAUAACUAAUAAAAAUAUUUAUAUAUGAAUAAAUUUAAAUAAUAUUAAUUUAAAAUUAAUAUUAAUAAAAAUAAUAAUAUAAAAUAUCAUUAUGUUAUGAUAUUAUUUAGGUAUUAAUAAAUAUUAUUUUCUAAAUAUAUAAUUUAAGUUAAUCACAAAAAAUUAAUACAGUACAGUGUAGCACCAAACAUUGUAUUAUGCUGUAUGCCUGUAUUGUAUUAGCACUGAUUGGGUGUAAAGCGUUUGUAAGUGGCUUUUUAAGUCUGCCGUCAAAUCCCCUGCAAAAGCUUUUUUCUUAAUAUCACGCGUGUUGGUACUACAUAAAACCGUAAACUCUAACAAUUUCUUUGUUCUUUCUUAAUAUCACGCGUGUUGGUACUACAUAAAACCGUAAACUCCAACAAUUUCUUAGUUCUCAACACCCCUUAAUUUACAAGAAUUAAUCACUUCAAGGGUGGAUUAGGUAUAUCUUUAGUUCAUAUAUAACUAGCAAUAUCUAAUAUCCCAUAUACAUGUUUUUCUCCCAGAAUGUAAACCAACUAUUCAUAUCUUAGACUCCAAGUAUUCGUAUCUUAAAGUCAAUCGAUAAUAUUAAUUUAAAUUUAAUAAUAAUAUAAAAUAUUAAUAUAAUAUAAUAUUUAAUUUAAAUUAAUUACAAACAAAUAAUAUAGUACAAUGUAGCACCAAACAUUGUAUAGCAUUAUUAUAAUACAAUGCUAAUGCAAUACAAUAUAAUAUAAUCCACCAACAUUAAAAUAAUAUAAUAUAGCAUAAUACAAUACAGUGUGUCAAAUGCACCCUUAGGGUGUGUUUGGUAUGUGGUAUUGCAUAGCAUUAAAUGUGGGCCCAACAUUAAUUUAAACCAAUAACAUGUUUGGGAGCAAUUGAGGCUUAUUGGGAUUGGGUAUUGAGGGGUGCGCUAAUGCGGGAACCACCGCAUUAGCUUGUCUUUUUUUUUUUACUUUUACUUAAUAAUAAUAUAAAUGAAUAAAUAUAUAAUUUUUAAUUUUUAAUAUAAUAUUAUUUUUAUUUUUAUAUCAUAAUUUAUUAAUAAAUUUAUAAUUUAAUAUGAUUAAUAAUAAAUAUUUAAAUAGUAUAUAAAAUAUAAUAUAAUAUUACACUGUGUAAUUAUUGUAAUAUAAUUAAUAUAUAUAAAUUAUUUAUUUUUAAAUAAUUUAAUAUAAAAAAUAAAAAAAUAUUUAAAUACAAAUGAAUUUCAAUAAUAUUGAUAUACGAUUAAUAAUAACAUAAAUAAUAAUAUAAAAUAUUAGCACAAUUCAUUUUGCUAUUAAAUAUGUUAUAACAAUUUUGUCAUUUUAUAAUUUUGUGGUGUAUAUGAACAUAUGUCUUAAGAUUAUUUUUGAACAAAUCUUGUAGGUUUUAACUAUUUAUUUUUCUUGUUAUAUUAUUUCAAGAUUAUUUGAUUAAAUUAUUUGCUUCGAUAUUUAACAAGUUAUAUAUUUAGAAAAUAUAGAAAAUAAAUGUUAUGCUUCCAAAAAUUAAAGGAUAUAACGUUCGAUCUUUAUGAAGAAUUAUGAUAUUUUUGAACAUUUAUACUAAAAAAUUAUUAAAUUUUUAGAAAAUUAAAAGAUAUAACAUUCGAUCUUUAUGAAGAAUUAUGAUAUUUUUUAACAUUUAUACUAAAAAAAUAAUUAAAUUUCUAAAAUUUAAGACCUCUAUAUUUAGUUUUUUUUAAGUACUAUUAAUAUUAUUUUAUAAAUAUAUAAUAUAAAUUAAUUACAAAAAAUUAAUACAGUACAGUAUAACACCAAACAUAAUAUAAUUAAAAAUUAAUACAGUACAGUGUAAUACCAAAUAUUGUACAAUAUUAUUAUAAUACAGUACUAAUGUAAUACAACAUAAUACAAUACACUGCAUAAAAAUAAUGUAAUUUAGUGUACCAAACACACCCUUACAGAACUUUUGCAUAUCUACACAGCGAUUUUAAAUAUUACUGAUAACUCCUGAGAAAUGUGUGAGAAAGGAGUUGAUAAGAGUAAUAACAGCGACUUGCAAAAGGAAAAGACAGAAUCAUUCACCCCUUUUUAUAUCAUGUAUUUGGUUACUGUUGCCCUGUUGACGCAUGUAUAAAAUAACCGUAUGUAUUUUUUUUGGCUGUUGCUUAACAAAAUGUGUGUUUGUGUGUGUAUAUAUAUAUAUUUGCUGUUUGAAAAAAUUGGAUUCAAAUAAAUUAAAAUGAACUAGAGAGGAAGAGAAAGAAUGAAAAGACAACAAACAAUUGAUAUUGAUCUCGAACCAACUUCUUUCUUUCUUUCUUUCUUUUUUGUGUUUUUUUUUUCGCCCGUACCCCCUCUCAGAUUAGAGUAUUGGCUAUUAAAUGAAAGGUUUUAAGGGUAUGAGUGAAAAACAACAUUCUUUUUUAGAAACUAUUUUAGAGGAGGGAUGCAAAUUAAAUGACAAGAUUAAGACAAACAGGAGAUAUUUUUUCGUGGGCAUUAAGAAAUAACUGCUGUCAAGAUCAAGGAGAUUAUGCUAUUAAUAGAAAUUAUCAAAGGAUUUAGAACAAGUUCACCUCUUUAAUUAUCCGGGAUCAGAUAGUUGAUGAGCUUCUCUUCUUGGCGUUGAAUAUUUAAGAAUAAUUUUAAUGAGCAAAAAGAUCACUGGUAACUGCUGAAAAAUAAGUGAGAAAAGAGUUGAUGAGAAUAAUAACAAUGAAUUGAAUAAAAAAAGGACUUAAUCAUGCACCCCCUUUGCAUAUCAUGUAUUUGGUUACUGUUGCCUUGUUGACGCAUGUAUAGAAUAAUUAGUGACUUCUUUCAUGAAGAAUUAAACUUGGAAUGACCAAAAGACGAAGCUGCGGUGUAUUGUUGGACCAAAUUAAGUUGAAGAAAGCACUAGUUCACAACCUUACGUUUGGAUAUAUUCUAAAGAAAUAAUUAAACAGCAAAUCAUCACAUGCACUUUAAUGAUUUGAUCUAUUGUUUUCAAAAGAAAUUGCAAUUAACAGUUUUUGUCAAAAGUUCGCACUGCGUGAAACUAGUGCUAAUAUAAUUUAAAAAAUUAAUUUCAGUAUUAGUUUUUAAAAUGUUAAUUAUUAUAUUUAUUUUAAUAAUAUAUUUAUAUUUAUUAUAAAAAAUUCUGUUAAACAUUUGUGUUAAAUAGAAUUUAUAAUUAAUAUAAUAUAUCUUAGGUAUUAAUAAUAUUAUAAUUAUUCUAUAUGCUAUUGAAAAUAAUUUAAAUUUUUAGACGUUUAUUUUCACAUUAAGUUUCUAUUUAUUAUAAAAUUUAGUUUAAUAUAGUAUAAGCUUGUAAAGUAUUAAAAUAUUUUUUCAUAUUUUUUGAACAUAUUAAAAUUAUUUUAAAAUAUAUUUAUAUAUUAACAUUGAAGUCAAUUUUUUAAGUUAAUAGAACCAGUAGGUGUUAUAGUAAAAAAGCGUUUCUUAGCAUCACUUAUUGAAAAUAUAAAGAUCUAUAUAAUCAUUUUUUCAAAUAUUGAGAUGUAGUUAUAAAAGAAAAAAUAAAUUAAAAAAUUUUAAAUUUUAAUAUGGCCAUCGUAGAGUUAGAAUCCCCGCUCCAACCCGAUUUGGAGAUGAGCUUGGUCUAUUUAUGUUUUGGAAAAAGAAAAACCAAAGGAAAAAAAAGGCACCCGACCAAAUCAAGUAACUCAUCAAAUAAAAAAUAAAAAAAGGAAAGAAAUUUAAUGACUUGCAUGCAAUUUUGGAUCUGAAAUUAAAAUUACAUAAAAAUUAAGGAUUACGUACCUUAAUAUUUACAGCUUAUUUGAUGGACUCAACAGGUUUAAGCAACAUCAAAAUGUUUGUGGCUCCUUAAAUGAGCCCCCGACAUGGUGCAAAUGACAACAUCGACUUGUUUGACAGCUCCAACAAGGCUACGAUGAUCAGAAGAUGAGCCCUCAAUCAACAAGCUAAGAUUGGCUUCUCUAUCCUCUUCGCCCCACAACCAGCGCCUUGCUCUUUGUCAUUUUUCCUCUUGUUAGUUUUCUUCUACAUAUAAUUAUUACACUGGGAAGUAUACACACACCUCUUUUCUUUUUAUAGUACCUUACUAUUAUAUCUUUACAAAACAAUAUCACCCUAAGACAGCUAUGUAUGAAAUAAAUGAAAUAAAUAUAUAAGGAACUGACGAAAUAAAAUUAGAUCUAACUCUAAUUUCACGUUGCGUGAAUUUUUGACAAUUCACCCGUAUCCCAACAAAAGCUUUGUCAUAUUGCGAAAAUACCUUUUCAAUGUUUCAAUUGCAAUGUCAUUGCCAUUAUUCAUAGUGGCAGACAAUGGACGUCACGGGACGGUAGAAGUCUAUGUUACGGCUUGUGCAAGUAACAGCAGCCAAUGGGGAACUUCCACGGGUGCUAGAGGAGAGAGAAAGAGGUCCCAAUGCAAGGUGAUGGAAAUGGGAAAGUUCGAAGCUGUUACUUUCAGCUUCUGCACCUUAGCCAUGUCCCACGGGACAAGGCUAGAAGUUAUCAUGACCAUAAACUUUUCUAAUUUAUUUUUUCCUUUCAAAAAGGGACAAGGAUACGUUUCGGAGAAUGAUUAUAUUUUUAAUAAAAGAAUUCUUUUUUAUUAUAAUACUUUUUUCUUUAUUAAUUUAAAAAUAUUGACUCUUAUAUUUUAAUAAAUAUAAAUAUAAUAUUAUAAUAAAAUAUAACAAUAUAUACAAAUAUUUAAAAAAAUUUAAGAUUUUAUUAAAAGAAAUUUUAUAAUAAAUACAAAUAUAUUAUUAAUAUAAUUAUAAUAAUUUGCAUUUUAAAAAGUAAUACUGAUAUUAAUUUUUUAAAUUAUAUUACUCUACCAAAAAAAUUAAACUAUUAAAUUAUAUUGAUAUUUAUUAAAAAAAUUGAAGUUAAUUCUUAUUAUAUUUUUAAUUGGAAUUUUUUCAUGUGACAUAAUUACAAUUGCUACAUUUUUUUCCCUAAAUAAAGAUGGGAGUUAUAAAUUAUUUGUAUAAGUGUCUGUGUGUAAACUAAUGUGACAUGAAAGUAAUAGCUGAAUAACAAUAAUGGAGCUUUAGGUAAUUUUUUAUGAGGUCUUCUUGCAAUUUCAACACUUAAACAGACUUGUCCUUGAUCCCAAUUUAUUUACCCCAUUUGGGCCCCUUAUGACAAACAUAUUCUUGUGGAAUGAAAAACAUCAGGAGAAGAAAAUGUUUUAUUAUAAUAGAAAAAGUUGUCCAUAAGUCUAUUCAUUUUUUUUUUAUUCAAUACAAAUGCGGGCCGCGUUCUGUGGGUCUNNNNNNNNNNNNNNNNNNNNNNNNNNNNNNNNNNNNNNNNNNNNNNNNNNNNNNNNNNNNNNNNNNNNNNNNNNNNNNNNNNNNNNNNNNNNNNNNNNNNNNNNNNNNNNNNNNNNNNNNNNNNNNNNNNNNNNNNNNNNNNNNNNNNNNNNNNNNNNNNNNNNNNNNNNNNNNNNNNNNNNNNNNNNNNNNNNNNNNNNNNNNNNNNNNNNNNNNNNNNNNNNNNNNUAAGUAGAGUGAGACUCUGGCAUCCUCUAAAUAUCUCUCAACACUCUUUCUUAUUAACCCCAUUAAAAUAUUUAAAAAUAUUAUAAAAUUCUUUUAACACCUUUUUUAUGGCAAAAAUACCCUUAGUUUAAAUUUAUUAAUAUAAACCCCAUUUUAAUUUUUGACCCCUGAUUGUGAUUUUUUUUUAAAGCACCUGAAUUUUGAAACAAUUAAUUAUCUAUUGAAAAAGAAAGAAAGAAAAGGAAAACAAAAGGAAAAGGGCACUUGCUCCAAGAAAGUUCUACUUUAAUGUGGCAAAUCAUUGAAACACCACAUGGCCAAAACUUUACUCUAUGCAUGACAACUCAUUGUAAUUGAUAAUGACCCUCGCAAACACUUGGCUACCAUGCGUGUAAUUCUAAGGCCAAGUGCUAAUUUGGUUUACUGAUGAAGAUGCUGAGCACAAGCUUCUGAAAAUGCAGAAUUACGAAUUUUUCGAAAGACUGCGAACCUUUAUGGAGAAAGACAACUAGGCCACUGGAAAACAUGUCGGUGGGAAAAUAAUUCUGAUGAUCGUUCAGCUCGUCCUUUGCUUCAUAAUUACUUUCUUCUUUCUUAAUUUCUCUCAUGGGUCUCGGUUUCUUCCUGAAGCUUGUUGAUGAUGAGUUGCAUAUGCCGAUAAUUCCUCACCAGAAAAUAAGAUGAAAAGGUAACUUUCUUAAUUUUUAAAAUGCUGAAUUUCAAUUUAAGGUACUAUUCAUUUUGUCUCUUUCAAGUUAUUUUUCAUUUUUCUGCUGAUAUUUUAAUAUUUACAGUCAAUUGUAGCAUUACUUAAAUUUAUAGUAUGUAGAUCAUAAUUCAUAAAUUAGUUUGCAGUUGGAGUAAACUCGAAAAUGUUAAAAAAAUAAUAAUAACAACAAAAAGAGUAGAGACAAGUUGUCAUCUUGAGUAACAAUAAAAUAAAGAAUUGCAGCUUUUACAAAGUCUUUCUUUAAAAAUAUGAAAUGAAUAAAAUGACUAUUAAAAUGGUUCAAAAUUUUCUGAUAGUGUCAUUGACUAGCUAGAUCAAUUGUUUCUUGUGUGGUAACUUCAAACACCAAAUCCUUGAAAGCAAGUAUAUUAGUUUUGUAUGGUGUUGCCCAGCCUUCUGCACAUGGUUCAUGAUAUUUGAUCCAACUAUUCGCAAUAGGAGGAAUAGGUGAAGCUGGAAGCAUGAACACCUGUAAAAAAAAAAAAAAAGCCAUAGAAAAAUUAGUCCAAUAAUUAAGAUAUUGCAGCAUAAUUUGAAUUUCUAAACUUUUACAUACCUCUAUGAAAUGAUUUCUAUUAACAAAUCCAAUAGCAAUGAUUUUAUGCGAGGAGCGUGAUAAUGGAAUAGAUCUAAGUGGAAGGAAUGUGACAAUCAGCACAUCUGAUAUAUGUAGUAAUACCACAUUAUAUUUAGAAGCAAUAAUAUGACCAAUUUCAGGCAUGGUCAUCCAAUACUCUCUUCCUGGGUUAUUCUCAAAGUAUAAAAGUGAAUGAAGCACCUCCUCUGCUCUACCAGCAUAUUCAAAGACUCUUUUAUAAUCAUUAAAGUGACUUUGCAACUCAACAACUAAGACUUUCCUGACUUGUGCCCAGUUAUCUUCACCAAUACCUAUUAGGUCAGCCACUGCCUGAAAACCACAAUUACCAUCUGCAACAACAUCUCUAACACCACAAAUAUAAGGCCUCAAACCAAAUGGAAAUGAAUCAAUAUAAGAAGCAUGCUUUGGUGCUUUUGUUUGAGAAACACUCAUUUUUCGUUGCCCUUUUGGUUUUUUUGUAGUUGUACUUGAAGACAUAAUGUCUGGAGAAUGAUUAUCCUGUGCGGAUACUACAUACUCAAAUCUUGAUGGAUCUCGGCGGGUAGAUUUAUCAAGCUUUUGGGAGGGUCGUCCUCGAGUCUUAGCUUUAACAGGUAGCUCAAUUAAAAAAGUUAAGAAUGGAUCAGCUAAUUCUUUCAGUUUUCUUUUUAUUUGCAUUUUUCCGAAACCAUCUGAAUCUUCAAAACGCUUGAUAAUCAUUUCCAUUUCAGGGGUACAACUCAACUCUGCUGAUUUUUCAUAGCUGGUGCAGACAAGGUCUAAUUUCCUCCAAUGCAAAUGUACAGAAUCUAAAGGUAUCGGUCGACCUUCACGCUUAUACUCUGCAAUUUCAUGUGCACACGGUAGCCCAUAAGUGUGUCGAACUACACAACCACAUGCUGAAAUAUCUAUACCAAUUAAAUCAGCUCUUUUUGACUCACUUAGUAUCAUAUCUAAUGCAUUUCUAGCAACUAACCCCCUUAAUUCUUUAAAAACUGAAGGUGUGAAACUAUGUUGCACAGUAGUCAAACUCUUCUCAAAUGAUGCCUUAAUUUUUGUAUGUUGCAACUCUACCAAAGAAUGAAGUUUUGUCCAUAAUGUUACAAAGUUUCCUUGGGAUGAACAUAGUUGCCUUUUUAAUUUUGAAUGUGCAGUCUCAGCCCUAAAAAUAAACCAACAAAAAAAUAAUAAAAAGAUAUAUAAAAAAAUGGUGUUGAGUUUAUUUAUAAAAUCAUUGAAAACUAAAUAUUGGUUACCUGUUGGUUGUCAUAUUUCCGAAAUGCAUAAUAAAGUCUGUCCAUGCUGCAAUAAAUUUUUCUUUAUACUUAUCAAGCCAUGUCUACUUCACAUAGACAAGUGCUUUCGGAUAUCUAGCAUAAUCACUCUAAAAAAUACUCAAGUGUUGUAUGUACUCUUGUUCAGUGGCUGAGAACACCAGUACAUUCCAGUUGCUGUUAAAGGCUUCCCAUCUUUCAUUAGUAUGAAAUAGCCUCUUAUAAUUAGCUAACACAUUUUUUGAAAUAUGCCAUCUACAAAGUAAAUUAGUUGCACUUGGAAAUAUCUUUUCAAUGGCAUUCAUCAGAGCUAAUUCCCUGUCUGUCACAAUCACAGCUGGUAACAUAUCAUCUUGCAUAAUGGUUUUCAAUCUUUCUAAUGCCCAAAUAUAGUUAUCUUCUCGUUCGGACUCAAGAUAUGCAAAACCAACAUUAAAUGUCUUUGCAGUCGAUGUGUCACCAACUAUUUCUAACAACGGAAACUUAUACUUAUUGACUUUAUAAGUGCAGUCCAUUAUCAGAACACUUGGAAAAGCUUUUAACAAAUCAAAAGUAAGAGGAUGUGCCUAAAAUAUGUCUUUCACACAAUUUGUAUCAUCAUCACUCCGAUGCCACUCAAUGUAAUUAUGAUCAUGCAAUUUACUCAUAAGCUGUUGCAUUUGUGACCGUCCGCCCAAUUCGCGAACCUUAUAUUUAUACCGAGCAUUAUAAACCGUCUUCAUUGUUGUAACAUUAAAUGUAUCCCUAGUCUUUAAAGUAUGUAAUAUCUCUUUUGGCCGAACAUUAUUUUUAGACAAAUCAACCAAUAUACUAACAUCUUCAUUAGUAAGUCUACCUGCAAAUGAGUGGCCCUCAAGAUAUUGUGCAAAAUGAUGGUUAUGCAAUCCACAGAUUACUUUUAACACCCAAUCUUGAUUAUUCACCAACAUUUGACCCUUUAAUAAAAAUGGACAGCCACACUUUUUUGUUCCAAUUGCAUUCGGUCUUUUCUUCUUUUCCAAGUCGCUAUUCUGCUUAGACAUGUUGGUACUUCUUUUCGGAUAUGCACCACUUCUUUCACAAGCAAAAAUUAUCCUUGGUCUCCUUCCAAUCACAUUCACGUCAGAUCUUUUAAUAAUAAUCACAAGUCCAUUUUUUUCCCAACAUCAUGCAUCCAUCGAAUCAACUUGUCUCUACUGGUGAAAACCUAUGAGAAAGACAAUAAUAUAUUAGUUAAUGAUACAAAGAAAAGAGAAUAUAUGUAUGAAAAUUUAUUUAGCAUUUUACCUCUUCAGUAGUGAAUGCAGCAGUGUAAUCCAUAACAUCUACUUUAUUAUCAAGAAUGACAACUAUGGUAGAACUUUCCUCCUUUACAAUCAUUGUAAGAUAUUACAUAAGUUAAUACAAGACACAAAACUAGAAUAAUAGCAAUUUAUUCAGCAAUAAUCAACCAAACAAUUGACAUUUGUUAAGGGAUAUUUGUUGAACAUUGUUCAACGCUCUCCCAGUCAUUAUAAUUCUAAAACAAUAAAUUAAUAGCAAACUUACUUUUUUAUUAUCAUCCCCAUCUAUUUGCAUGAUUAUUUUGCCCUAAAUUUGAAACUCUUAGAUUAGGGUUUAAGAAAGAAAAGAGAGUUUAUAUCGUAUGCCACACAAAGAAUUUAAAACUCUUAAACAAAAAUAUGCCAUAUAAGAAAUUUUUAAGGGGAAAAAAAUAUUUGAUUUUGAGUGGGGGUUUAAUUAGAAAUUGUCUUAUUAUGUAAUUUUAAUAAAGGUUAAAAUUGUAAAAUAACUAAAGGGGUGUUAAGAGGUAUUUAGAGGGGUGCCAAUAGUCCCACUCAAAUAAGUAAUGGUAACAAAAGACUAAUUUGUAAUAUUGAAGUGUACGGGCUUAACUAAAUCCAAAAAUUAGUAAGUUAGCUCAAGAGUUGAGAGUUGUCCAAAUCUUAAAUGUUGAACCCAAGUUCAAUACUCAAUUGAUGCGGGAUGUUAUUCCUAACACCUCCCGUCAUGUGUAGGAUUGGUAAAAAAACUCGGGUCAGUCCCGCCUAGACCUACGGGCUUUAUGCAUGGCCCGCAUGAUGAAGUUACGAAAUUAACCUAAAAAUUUGAAACUUACGAUGAAUGGCCUUGCUUAAAGAUUUUUGCAACUUUAAUUUAUAACGAGUAUGUAUAUAUACACACACAAAAGUUUAGAUUGCAUUUGGAUGACUUUUUUAAUCAAUUCAAACAAUCUGAAAUUUAUCAGAUUAAUCCGAAUUUGAUCUGUAUCUGAUUUUGCCCGCCCCUACUAUUUAUAAGCCCAAGUGACUCUCUUUUACUAAUUAAUAAGGGAAUUUUUUACCUUAUAUCCUUGCUGUGGCGUUAGACUACUGGUCAUUUUGAUUGUUUCCUACCUUCCAUUUACGCCAGUUGUAACAUUGUAUUAUUCACCACUUUAGCCAUUUAAAUGAAAUUUUAUUUUCAUAAAAAAUAAAAUGACACCCUUAAAAUUUAAAAAAUAGAUAUGUAGAUCUCAAAUUUUUAAUAAAGAAUGUCAAUACCCCUUUUAACUACAAGAUUCUUAGUAGAUGAUAACCAAAAACAUUAACUUCAAAUUUUUCACUAAAUGUAAAUCUGAUUGAAAUAGUUUAAUUUUUUUCUAGUAGACUAAUAUGUAUAACUUAUAUAAUUAAUUUCAUUAUUAAUUUUUAAAAUGUUAAUUAAUAUAUUUUUAAUUAUUAUAAAAAUUUUAAAUAAAUCUUGGAUUAGAUAGAUUUUACACUUAAUGUAAUACUUCUGAUUUAUUAAUAAUAUUAAAAUUAUUUUAUAUGAUAUUCAAAAUAAUUUAAACUUUUAUAUAUUUAUUUUAAUAUUAUGUCUAUUUAUUAUAGUUUGGUUUAAUAUAAUACGGGAUUGUAAAAUAUUAAAAUAUUUUUCAAUAUCAAAUUAUUUUAAUAUGUAUAUAUUAUUACAUUUAUUUUAAUAUCACAUUUAUAUUUAUUAUAAAAUAUAAAAUUAAUAAAAUUAAAGAGUAUUGCAGUAAAGUAAAAAAAAAAGUCUUAUUAUCCCAUAUUCACGGUAUGAGUUUCUACAAAAUUAUUUCCUCAAAUGGGUGACCUUUCCUCAUUUUCAAAAGAAAAAAUAAAGUAAGAAUAAGUCCAGGGUUUCAAAAACUUCUAGUCUUAUCCCAAGACCUCCAUUGUCUACCACUAUGACUAAUGGAAAUGACAUUGCAAUUGACAUUGCUUUUCGCAACAUGACAAAUUUUUGGUGGGAUAUGAGAGAAUUGUCAAAAGUUCAUGCCGCGUGAGAGUUUUUGGUGGGAUGUGGGAGAAUUGUCAAAAGAUCACACCACGUGAUAUAACCAUAAUUGCUACAAUUUUUUUUAAUAAUGAUGGGAGUUAUAAAUUAUUUAUAUAAAUUUGUGUAGAAACUAAUGUAACAUAAAAGAAGUAGCUGAAUAACAAUAUUUGGUGCUUUAGGUAAUUUUUAUAUGAGCCUUUCUUUUAUUUAGCGACUUUAGUGCUUAAACAAAUUUGUCCUCGAUCUUAAUUUACUUACCCCAUUUAAGCCUAUGAUGACAUAAACAUAUUCUUUUGUGACGAAAACAUCAAGAGAAGACAUCUCAUGUUUUAUUAUAACACAAAAGAAGUGGUCCAAACGUCUAUUCAUUCUUUUAUUUACUCAAUAUGAAUGGCCAACUUUAAAAAAUGAUAAAAAUCACACCACGCUCAACUGAAAAUUUAUAAUUACAUUUUUUAAUACUCUCUAUACUCUCUAGCCUCUCUCUCCUGCCCCCUUUUUUUUUUAAAAAAUAAACCUUAGUGUAAAAUUAGAAGAAUUUUAGAUAUAACAUUUGACAAUCGCUAAAUAGAAAAGUAGGGGAUUGAAAAUAGAGGAGCUCUGUUAUCAUUGGAAUAUUGAUUAUAGAUCAUAUAAUAACUUGUUGUGGUUCAUUGUAGCACUCUGAGUCAUAUUCUAAAAUUUAUAGGUUUCUUAAGGUUUUUAUUAUUGACAUUAUUGUGUCAAUACUAUUAUAAUUUAUUCAUUUUAUUGUAAUGAUAAUUUGUCUAGUCUUAGGUACUUAUUAUAUUAAAUUAUGUAAAUUAAUUGAGAAUACAUUUAGAGACAAAAGAAACACGUGUAUGUAGGAUUAAUAAUCGCAGAGUUGUAAAUGAAGGUGAUUGCUUCAUUGAGAGGCAUAUUAAAUAAUUAUGGAGAGUUGCACUAUUUCGGAAGCAUAUAUUUAUACUUCCCUAUCAGGAUUUGGGGUAAGCGAAGUGCUUUAUGUGUUGUAGUAAGCAAUGUGGGCAAUAUCGGAGGCGAAAUAUUAAAAGAUCAUAACGCAUAUAUUUGAGCCAUUUAUAUUGAAGACACGUAUUGAAGACACGUAUAGAGGAAAGAGUGCAUAUCCGGCGGUAACUAUUAUCAGGCUUUCCUAAAAUAUUCUCAUGCUUCCUCAACUGUUCUGAACUAUUCUUCAUAGUGGGCAGAUUUACUUAAAUACCCUUCUACCUAACAAAACUUGGUACUUCUAAUUGCACUCGCAGAGAAUCUAUAAAAUUAAAAAAAAAUUCAUCCAUGAAAAGCCUCGUAACAGAAAAACCAUCUUUCAAAAAAUAAUAAUAAAAUAAAAACAGAAAAACCGACUCAUUUAUCUGCCAAUGAACCAAUCGGGACUCAUUUAAAAAAGAUUACAAAGCAAAAGUAAAUGACACAAAUUGCAUAGAUAUCUAGGAGCCGCAUCAAAGGGCAAUGGUGUUAAUUUGUCCGAGUAAUAAUUAAUUUCAAUAUUAAUUUUUAAAAUGGAAAUUAAUUUAUUUAUAUUUAUAAAAUAUUUGUAAUUAUUUUAAAAUUUUAACUAAAUCCUUAGGUUAAAUAGAUUUUACAAUUAAUAUAAUAUUUCUCAUGUAUUAAUAAUAUUAAAAUUAUUUUAUAUGAUAUUGAAAAUAACCUAAAUUUUUAUAUAUUUAUUUGAAUAUUAUGUCUCUAUUUAUUAUAAUUGGGUUUAAUAGAAUACGAGAUUGUAAAAUAUUAAAAUUUUUAGAUAUUGAAAUUAUUUUAAUAUGUAUAUAUUAUUAUAUUUAUUUUAAUAUCCUAUUUAUAUUUAUCAUAAAUUAUUAGAGUUAAUUUUUUUAGUUAAUAAAUUUAAAAACUAUUCUAAUUUUAAAAAAAAGUCUUAUUGUCUAUUAUUCAUGAUAUGAGGUUCUACAAAAUUAUUUCUCCAGACGGAUGUCCUUUUCUUAUUUUCAAAAGGAAAAACAAGUUCAGGGUCUCAGGGGUUUCAAAAAUUCUGGUCCUAUCUACCACUAUGACUAAUGGGAAACAACAUUGUAAUUGACAUUGCUUUUCACAAUAUGACAAAUUAUUGGAGGGAUAUGGGAGAAUUGUCAAACAUUCACACCACGCGAGAGCUUUAGUGUGGGAUAGGGGAGGAUUGUCAAGAGUUCACACCACGAGAAACUAAUGAUAGGCCCAAUUUCAUUGUCAAUUCUUUAUUUAUUUCAUGCAUUAUUGUUUUUCUAAAGGUAUAAAAGCAAAGUAAAAUACUAGGGGCGCUUUUAAGUUACAAUUGAUGUAACUUACAAUUUUUUCAAAAAUAAUGUAAAAAAAUUAAUAGGUGGUGGGACCCACAUAUUUUUUAAGAGACUUAAGUUACGGCAGUUGUAACUUAACAAAAUUUAAAUAUUAGAUAAUAAUACAUAUUAAUAAUAUAUAAUUUGGGUUUGAUUUUUAAAAGAUUAUUUGAGUACCACCUAUCCUUAUGAUAUUAAUGUGACUAUAUCUUAAUAUUAAAUAAUCAAAAUUUGUUUAAUUGUUAUUUGUAUUUCAUACAUUACAUAUUAGAUUUGUUUGAAUUUUAAGUUGUUGCUAAUAAAUAUUUAUGUUGUCAAAGUCAAAUUCAAUAGCUACAAAAGCAGAGAUAAUGGUAUUGUAUAUAGUUUUUAAGAAUGCAAGGAUAAGCUGGAUAAUUGACAUAAAUUCUAAUGAUUAAAACAGCAACUAUCCCUUAAGUUAUAAUGUCAAUUUCUUUAAUUAGAUUUUUUUUUUUAUGUGAUAUAACCACAAUUGCUACAAAUUUUUUUUUUUAUAAUAAUAAUGGGAGUUAUAAAUUAUUUAUAUAAAAUUUGGGUUGAAACUAAUGUAACCUAAAAGUGGUUGCUGAAUAACAAUAUUUGAAACUUUAGGUAAUUUUCAUGAGUCCUUUUUAUAUUCAGCAACUUGAAUUGGGGGAAAUCCGACUUGAAUUGGCGGUUGAUUUUCGUGAUGUGGCUUUUGGUUUAUGGCGACCUUACAGUGGCAGAAGACUGGAUUUACGGUUGCCGACUGCUAGGGAUUAUGGUGGGGGUGUAAAUUGACGGAAAAAGAAGGUGUUUUGGUGGCGGCGCGUGUAGGAAGCACUCGUGGGUUGUCGUUUCGUGUGGUGGCGGGCGGCGAUCAAGGGCUGAAGUUGGUCGGUUUUUGGUCAACGGAGGCCGGCGAGUUUGUUGGUGGAGGUGGCUGGUGGAGAAAGUGACUGAAUGGUGGUGGGUUGCUUGGUGGAGCCGCGGGUUUGGGUUGGUGAUUUGUGGCUGUUCAAGCGGCGGUUGAGGCAGCGAUGACUGAGGCUUGGUCGACGGUGGCUAGUGAGGUUUGUGGUGGUGUUGGCUGACUGAUCGGCGGUGGUGGGCGGCCGUGGAGGUUGAUGUGACGGGUAGGGUUUUCAAAUUUGUAAAUUUUUUUUUUUGAUGGAUUUGGUUUGGAUGGGUAUCGUGUAUCUAGGAAAGAUGUGCGAUUCGCACAGAAUCCCUUUGACACCAAUUGAUGGAGCGAGGCGUAGCGGAAGCGGAAUUGAUAGGGUAAGAAACAUUAGAUAUUGUUCUAGUACUAGACCAAGCCAACGCAAUUAGCUUACGCUCUAAUCGAAGCGUGAUUAGAUAUCGUUCUAAUCCAAAUAACUCAAUACGAUUUUUAAUAAUGCGUAAUACGAGAUUAAAUGACACUCUAAUCCAAACGACUCUACAAGAGAGAUUUUGAUAAAUAAUCAUAGAGGGGUUUUAUUUAAUAAUUGAACCUGAAGUUAAUGAAAAUAAUGACAAGACAUCUUUAUUUUUUUUUAUUACAGACAUCUUUAUUUAUAAUAAAAGAAACCCGCUUUCCUAAGUUAACCUAAAAAGAAAAUUUAAAUCAUAAUUAUAAUGGAAAUAAAAGAUUAAGAUACAUAUCAUAAUUGACUCAAACUAAAAUAGAAAAUCAUAAAAUAAUAAAUAUUCUAAAAUUAUAAAUUAUCUAAAAUAACGUUAAUUAACUUCCUAAAUCACUUCUUUGGUGUAAACCAUUUUGCAUCCAAACUCGCUUUAAAGGUUUGAACUAACGUUACCAACAACAAUGUAUCAAAUUCCAAUCUAACUUAAGAUCUUGAUGCAUCUAUCGAUGUCCUUGUUUGAUUAGACAAUAAUGAGUCUAUCUCAUCACUUGUUACCUCUUUCUUGAAAGCUACAUCUGUUGAAGUGAUAGCCUCACUUAGAGUUUAAAGAUCUUCUUCCCUGUUAAAUAAAAUGGGCAUUUGAGUAAAAAGCUUUAUCUCUAUCUCCUUCUAUCAAAUAACGACAACUAUCCAAAGGGAAAAAAAAAAUUAGAAAAGUCCAUGGGUCACAAUAAUUUAUGGUCUGUCUCCGGACCCCAUUAUCUGCCACUAUCAAUGAUGAAAAUGAAAAUAAAUGGCAUCUUCCCUAAAUGGCAAAAGAUUUUUGGGGGAUAUAGGGGAAUUGUCAAAAGUUCAUACAACGCGAAAUAAGUGUUACAUCCAAUUUUAUUUCGUCAUAUAAUGAUAAUAUUAAAUAAUGACAACCAUCCAAAAGUAUGAUGGGUCUUCCAAAAUUUUGAAAAUGUCGUCAACAUUUAAUCUUCAAUGCUAAAGAAGAUGAAACGCCCAAAAAUGACACGCAGGACUCACUCAAAAACUAAAUGGCCCUCACCACAUGUAACAAACUUUGACCUUAUGUCCCUGCUGAGGCGUUAGACUGUUGGUCAUUUUGAUUGCUUUUUACCAUCCAUUUACGCCAUUGUAGAAUUGAACUAUUCACCAGUCUAGCUGUUUAAAUGAAAUUGUUAUUUUUUUUCCAAAAAUAAAAUGACACCCUUAAAAUUUUAGAAAAUAGUCAUGUAGACCCCAAAAUUUUAUUAAAGAACACUAAUAUCCUUUUUUACUAUAGUACUCUUAGUAGAUGGUAACAAAAAAAAAAUGAUUGCAAAAUAUUUUAGUAAAUGAAAAUAUGAUUUAAAUAGUUUAAAUUUUCUAGUAGACUAGUAUGUAUAAUUUAAAUAAUUAAUUUUUAAAAUGUAAUUUAAUAUAUUUAUUAUAAAAUUUUUAAACAAAUCCUUGGGUUAAAUAGAUUUUAUAAUUUAUAUAAUAUUUCUCAUGUUUUUAUGUUAUAGAAAUAUUAAAAUUAUUUGAUAUGAUAUUGAAAAUAAUUAAACAUUUUAUAUAUUUAUUUGAAUAUUAUGUCUCUAUUUAUUAUAAUUUGGUUUAAUAGAAUACGAGAUUGUAAAAUAUUAAAAUAUUUUUAGGUAUUGAAAUUAUUUUAAUAUAUAUAUACAUAUUAUUAUAUUUAUUUUAAUAUCCUACUUAUAUUUAUUAUAAAAUAUUAAAAUUAAUUUUUUUAGUUAAUAAAUUUAAAAAAUAUUAUAAUUAUAAAAAGAGUCUUAUUGUCUGCUAUUCACGAUAUGAGAUUCUACAAAAUUAUUUUGAAAAUGAAAAAUAAGUCCAGGGGUUUCAACAAAUUCUAGUCCUAUCUGCCACUAUGACUAAUGGAAACGACAUUGCAAUUGACAUUGGUUUUCAUAAUAUGACAAAUUUUUGGAGGGAUAUGGGAGAAUCGUCAAAUGUUCACACUACGCGGGAUUUUUGGAUGGGAUCAGGGAGGAUUGUCAACAGUUCACACCACGAGAAACCAAUGAUAGCCCUAAUUUCGCUGUUAGUUCUUUGUUUAUUUAUUUUAUUUAUUUCAUACAUUGUUGUCUUGUUGGCAUUGUUUUGUAAAGAUAUAAAAGUAAAGUAAACUAUUAGGGUGCUGCUAAGUUAAGCUGUUGUAACUUGCAGUCCCUUAAAAAAUAAUGUAAAAAAUCCACAUUUGUUUGAAGAGGCUGUAAGUUAUAGUAGUUGUGACUUAGCAAAAUCCAAAUAUUAGACAAUAACGCACAUUAACAAUGCAUAUAAUUUGGGUUUGAUUUUUAAAAAAAUUAUUUGAGUAUUAGCUAUCCUUAAGAUAUUAAUGUGAAUAUAAUUUAAUAUUUAAUAAUCAAAAUCUGUUUAAUCAUAAUAUAUAUUUCAUACAUUGCAUGUUUAAUCAAAAUCUGAUUGCUUUUUACCUUCCAUUUACGCCCACUGUAGCAUUGUACUAUUCACCAUUUUAGAUGUUUAAAUGAAAUUUUUAUUUUUUUUCCAAAAAUAAAAUGACACCCUUAAAAUUUUAGAAAAUAGCCAUGUAGACCCCAAAAUUUUAAUAAAGAACACUAAUAUCCUUUUUAACUACAGCACUCUUAGUAGAUGGUAACCAAAAAAAAAAAAUUGAUUGCAAAAUUUUUUAGUAAAUGUAAAUAUGAUUUAAAUAGUUUAAAUUUUCUAGUAGACUAGUAUGUAUAAUUUAAAUAAUUAAUUUUUAAAAUGUAAUUUAAUAUAUUUAUUUUAAUAUUAUAUUUAUUAUAAAAUUUUUAAACAAAUCAUUGGGUUAAAUAGAUUUUAUAAUUUAUAUAAUAUUUCUCAUGUUUUAAUAAUAUUAAAAUUAUUUUAUAUGAUAUUAAAAAUAAUUAAAAAUUUUAUAUAUUUAUUUGAAUAUUAUGUCUCUUUUUAUUAUAAUUUGGUUUAAUAGAAUACGAGAUUGUAAAAUAUUAAAAUAUUUUUAGGUAUUGAAAUUAUUUUAAUAUAUAUAUAUAUAUAUAUAUAUAUAUUAUAUUUAUUUUUAUAUCCUACUUAUAUUUAUUAUAAAAUAUUAAAAUUAAUUUUUUUAGUUAAUAAAUUUAAAAAUAUUAUAAUUAAAAAAAGAGUCUGAUUGUCUGUUAUUCACGAUAUGAGGUUCUACAAAAUUAUUUUGAAAAGGAAAAAUAAGUCCAGGGGUUUCAACAAAUUCUAGUGCUAUCUGCCACUAUGACUAAUAGAAACGACAUUGCAAUUGACAUUGCUUUUCUUAAUAUGACAAAUUUUUUUAGGGAUAUGGGAGAAUCGACAAAUGUUCACACUACGCGGGAGUUUUAGAUGGGAUCAGGGAGGAUUGUCAACAGUUCACACCACGAGAAACCAAUGAUAGCCCUAAUUUCGCUGUCAGUUCUUUGUUUAUUUAUUUUCAUUAUUUCAUACAUUGUUGUCUUGUUGGCAUUGUUUUGUAAAGAUAUAAAAGUAAAGUAAACUAUUAGGGUGCUGCUAAGUUAAGUUGUUGUAACUUACAAUCCCUUAAAAAAUAAUGUAAAAAAUCCACAUUUGUUUGAAGUGGCUGUAAGUUAUAGUAGUUGUGACUUAACAAAAUCCAAAUAUUAGACAAUAACGCACAUUAACAAUGCAUAUAAUUUGGGUUUGAUUUAAAAAAAAAAAAUUUUGAGUAUUACCUAUCCUUAAGAUAUUAAUGUAAAUAUAAUUUAAUAUUAAAUAAUCAAAAUCUGUUUAAUCAUAAUAUAUAUUUCAUACAUUGCAUGUUUCAUCAAAAUUUGAUUGCUUUUUACCUUCUAUUUACGCCCACUGUAGCAUUGUACUAUUCACCAUUUUAGAUGUUUAAAUGAAAUUUUUAUUUUUUUCCAAAAAUAAAAUGACACCCUUACAAUUUUAGAAAAUAGUCAUGUAGACCCCAAAAUUUUAAUAAAGAACACCAAUACCCUUUUUGACUAUAGUACUCUUAUGGUAGCCACAAAAAAAAAUUGACUUCAAAAUUUUUUAGUAAAUGUAAAUACGAUUUAAAUAGUUUAAAUUUUCUAGUAGACUCGUAUGUAUAAUUUAAAUAAUUAAUUUUUAAAAUGUAACUUAAUAUAUUUAUUUUAAUAAUAUAUUUAUUAUAAAAAUUUUAAACAAAUCCUUGGGUUAAAUAUUUUUAUAAUUAAUAUAAUAUUUCUCAUGUUUUAAUAAUAUUAAAGUUAUUUUAUAUGAUAUUGAAAAUAAUUUAAAGCUUUAUAUAUUUAUUUGAAUAUUAUGUCUCUAUUUAUUAUAAUUUGGUUUAAUAUAAUACGAGAUUGUAAAAUAUUAAAAUAUUUUUUGGUAUUGAAAUUAUUUUAAUAUAUAUAUAUAUAUUAUAUUUAUUUUAAUAUCCUACUUAUAUUAUUAUAAAAUAUUAAAAUUAAUUUUUUUAGUUAAAAAUUUAAAAAAAUAUUACAGUUAAAAAAAAAGAGUCUCAUUGUCCGUUAUUCACGAUAUGAGAUUCUAUAAAAUUAUUUUCAAAAGGAAAAAUAUGUCCAGGAGUUUCAACAAAUUCUAGUCCUAUCUGCCACUAUGACUAAUGGAGACGACAUUGAAUUGACAUUGCUUUUCGCAAUAUGACAAAUUUUUGGAGGGAUAUGGGAGAAUCAUCAAGCGUUCACACCACGCGAGAGCUUUAGGUGUGAUAUGGGAGAAUUGUUAAGAGUUCACACCACGAGAAAUUAAUGAUAGGCCUAAUUUCGUUGUCAGAUCUUUAUUUAUUUUUUAUUUAUUUCAUACACUAUUGUCUUGUUGGUAUUGUUUUGUAAAGAUAUAAAAGUACAAGUAAAAUAUUAGGGGAAGUAAAGUAAAAUAUUGGAGGUGCUACUAAGUUACAGCUGCUGUAACUUACAGUUCCUUAAAAAAUAAUGUAAAAAAUUUAACACGUGGUGGGACCCACAUUAUGUUUGAAGAGGUCGUAAGUUAUAGCAGUUGUAAAUUAGUAAAAUCCAAAUAUUAGACAAUAAUACAUAAUAACAAUGCAUAUAAUUUGAGUUUGAUUUUUAAAAAAAUUAUAUGAGUAUUACCUAUCCUUAAGAUAUUAAUGAGAAUAUAUUUUAAUAUUAAAUAAUCAAAAUCUGUUUAAUCAUAAUAUGUAAUUCAUACAUUGCAUGUUAGAUUUGUUUGGAUUUUAAGUUGUUGCUAAUAAAUAUUUAUGUUGUGAAAGUCGAAUUCAAUAGCUACAAAAGCAGAGAUAAUGGUAUUUUAUGUAGUUUUUAAGAAUACAAGGAUAAGUAGGGGUGGGCAAAUCGGGUUUCGAUUCGGGUUGUUCGGGUUUCGGAUUGGGUUUCAACCCGUUCGGGUUGGAGAAUUGAACCCAAUCGGGUUGAAAGCACCAACCCGAACCAAACCGAACCGAAUUUAAUUCGGUUCGGUUCGGUUUGGGUUGGCAAUUCGGAUCGGAUUGGGUUGAUAAUUCGGGUUAAAAUUUCGGUUCGGGUUAAUUCGGGUUAGAAUGGGUUGGAACAAUUUAAUCUAAAAAUUCUAACAACAACCACUUAAAAUCUAAAAAUUUAAAUUUCAAACAUUCUUAACAACAAAUAUCAAUUACAAAUCAUCCUUAAUAACAUUUCAACAAUUUAAAAAUCUCAAUUCCAAACAUUCCAAACAUCCUUAAGGAACGAUUUAAUCUAAAAAUUAUAACAACCUCUUAAAAUCCAAAAAUCUUAAUUCCAAAUAUCCUUAAUAACAAAUAUCAUCUACAAAUCAUCUUUAAUAACAUUUCAAUAAUUUAAAACUCUCAAUUCCAAACAUCCUUAAUAACAAAUAUCAACUACAAAUCAUCUUUAAUAACAUUUCAAUAAUUUAAAACUCUCAAUUCCAAAUAUUCCAAACAUCCUUAAGGAACAAUUUAAUUCAAAAAUUAUAACAACCACUUAAAAUCUAAAAAUCUCAAUUCCAAACAUCCUUAAUAUAUAUAUAUAUAUAUUUUUUUUUUUAAUUUAAAAGCUGAAUCUUAAAAAAAAAAAAAAGCUUCAACCCGAACGGGUUGAAACUUUGAAUCCGUUCGGGUUUCACCGGUUAACCCAAACCGAACCGAACGCCCACCCUAAGGAUAAGACCAUAACGCAUGAGAUAAUGGUAUUUUAUAUUAAAAGACCAUAACACAUGUAUUUGAGCCAUUUAUAUUGAGGACACAUAUAGAGCGAAGAGUGCAGAUCCGGCCGUAACUAUUGUGAAGCUUCCCUCAAGUAUUCCCAUGCACACAACCCUUAUCUGUUCAAGUUUUCUGAUUCAAUAUAAUCAAUUUCCGAGCAGUACUGACGACAGCUUCUCUGUAAAGCUCUUCAACCACAAGCAUUUCUACAAGGCAAAAGACUAGGACGUGUCGGAAUGAAUAUCAAUAAGGGAAUGUCUUAUGAAUUCAGUUUAUAUCCUAAUAUAAGACAAUCAGUAAAUAUUGGAUGCAAUCUUAGGCUAACAUUUGGUUGAUCAUUAUACAAAAAAAAAGGUACAAAAAUACAAAACAGAGCUGAUUGAUGGCCUCUCACAGUCAGUUAUAUGACAAAGUAGCCAUCACUACUUGAACUUGGCUGGAGGUCUCAUUAGCAGUAUACCUCAGAAAUUAAUACAGAGACUUUAAAAUGCAAACUUAUGGAGCAAUUUAAGCACUGAAACUAAUAACAGUACGGUAUUAGCAAUUGACCUCUGCUUUUUGCUUGGACAAAGGUUCUCAUCACAAGGGACUCAUUAGUUGCCCUUGCCUCACACUUUUGGAUGCUAAGGGGAAAAAGGAAGCUUGAAUUAGUCAAUCUCAUGUCUAAUGGCAUUCACAGAGAACCUAUAAAACCAAAUAAAUAAAUAAAGUUUUCAUCCAUGAAAAGCUUAGUAAUGGAAAAACCGACUCUUUUAUCUGCCACUGACGAAAAAAAAACUGAAGUAUUAAAUAGAUAAUGAAUUUAAUUUUUUUCUUGGAAAAACUAAUAAUAAAUUAACAAUUAGAUAGUACUAUUAAUUAGAGAUCUUUAAUAUUAAGGUUAUCAAAUAUAGAAUGUGUAUAAAAAUUCUUAAUUAUAAGAUAAUUACUAACUAAAAAGAGGCCUAAAAAAGAAGAUUUGCUAUUAUAAGUAAUACCAAAAAUAAAAAGGGAGACUUCCUAAUUGUUUAAUUGUUAAAAAAGAGGAUUUGUUAUUAUAGGCCUAAUUUGCCUAUGCUUAAAACCGUUCCCGGAUGUAAAAAAAUAAAAAUUAUUGUUAAAUUCCUGACUAAUAAGGUCAUUGAAAGUAUUCAAAGGACCUGAACUAUACCACGUUGCAAGUGAGCUCGUAUUUUUAUCCCUUGAUCUGCCAUCGGUAUUUCUCUUCCACUCACUAUACCAUCCUUUUCAAUCGAUUUUUAUUGAUCAUAAGAGACCAUGUGGCCCACCUUUUUUUUAUUUUGGAUCCAUAACCCAAUGCUGGCCCAAGUUAAACAGCAAAUCAUCAAACGCACUUCAAUGACUUUGAUUUUGAUUUUUUUUUUCAAAAGAAGUAAAAAAAUCCAUGGGUCGCAAUAACUGCUGGGAAAUUUAUAAAAAUAGUCAUAAAAUAUUUGUAUUUUUUAACUUUAAUCCCUUAAAGUUUUUUCUAUCAUAACUAGCCAAAUACCCUACUUUUGGACUAGAUUACCCUCAUCACUUUUAUCAAAUUUAUAAAGACAUGCCACUUUUUCAAUUCCAGCACAACUAAAUACGGUUCUUCUUCAAUAACUUAACAAACAUUUAUCACUCUCAACAAACUUCAUCACUCUCUAUAAAUCAAUUACAUAAUUGAAUAUAAUCAUCAAUGGGAGAGCUUCUUAAAAUUAGUUUAUGCUUUUACACAAUGUAAAUCUUUAAUCUAUUGAUUUUAUCAACUAAAUUUGAAAUUAAAGUGGGUUUUGUUACAAAUAUUGUUAUUUUUCAUUCAUAAAACAAUGUGAUUUGUUAAAGUACUUAGUUUGAGUUGAGAAAUGAAGAAAAAUCAUUGAAAAUAUAGAAAAAUCGGGCAAAAAACGAAGUUCAGAACAAGUGAGAUAGGCAAGUGGGACAGGUGCAUGUCUCACAUAAACGCACUGCAUUUAUGUGCGACAGGCACCUGUCCCACUGCUUGUCGCACAUAAACCCAUAAAUUUUAUAGAGUACAUGAUUUUGGAUUUGAUUUGUCUCGUCAUAAGCUUCGAAACAGUAUAUUAUACGCCUAAAACGAACAUAUGUAGCUCAAGUUAUAGCUUUUGCAAUAUAUAUGAAAUUUAGUGAGACAGGCACCUGUCCCACUUGCCUGUCUCACUAAAUUUCAUAUAUGUUUCAAAAAUCAUAACUUGAGCUAUAUAUGUCCGUUUUAGACGUAUAAUAUAUCAUUUCAAAGUUUAUGAUGAGACAAAUCAAAUUCAAAAUUAUGUACUCUAUAAAAUUUGUGGGUUUACGUGCGAUAGGCAAUGGGACAGGUAAAAUGAAUAAACUCUGAGCCUCUCUCUAUAACACUAUAUAGAACCCUAAGCCUAAGUCUCACAUUCGCAACCGCCCCACAUAUCAGAACCACAGCGAACUGCCUCCGACCCUACGGACCCAAAAAAAUUAUUGUAUUCCUGCUCUUUCACUUCAAUAAUUUUUUGUAUUAUUCCAUAUCUUUCACUUUAAUAACCCAAAAGCUUUCCUCUGUUUCAACCCAAAAGCUCAAAUUCCUUUUUUCAAUCGAAAUAAAACGUAGCCACAAAACCCUAAUUCACCACACCAAUUUAUCUCUGCCCGGUAUUCAUUUAAACCCUACCUCGCGGUUCAAUGUCAUUCAAUACGAUUGCAGAUGCCGUUUCAACUUGACAUUUAGUUAGCGCCAUCCCGUUCUCUAUGGUAAGCCUUAACCCUAACAACUAAUCGACUGUGGUAGCACGUUGCUUGUUAGGAGUGGGGAUACAUUAUUUGAAUAUAUGAAUUGGGUGAUGUUAGUGAUUCAUUCCCCUAUUUUUCGUGAAUUGAGAUUUGUGUAUAAUGCUAGUAAGAUUGCUAAAAAUUUCAUAUUUUGUAUUGUUCCAGUUGAAUUUCUUGCUUGUGGAAGAUAAAACAAAAGUUCAAUUUCAUGUUGAUUUAAUUCUUCUUUUUUUUUUCUUCUUUAUAGUCACGCUCUGGCUUUGGUGCUAUGCUUAGUGCAGUUUAUGGUUUCAAGAUUAAGUCACGUUUAUUUGAUGGCAUCGAUUCCAUCAUUAAGAAGCUCUUCUUAUUUUAUCUCAGUUUCAAUUUUCUUUUAUUAUCUGCCUCUACCUGAAAAUGGACGUGUUUUACUAGUAAGCAUAGACUUUGUUUAUUUAAUUGAUAUUAUAAUUUUAUGUAUAAGAAUGGAGGUUUAUUUUGAAAAAAAAAAAGAAAUAAAAAAAUAGACUCUGUUGAAGCUAAUUAGUACUGAAUUUUUUUUGGUGGUGCGACCAGAGGUGGAAACAGGGUAUGAAAAUGUGUUACUGGUGAGGUUGCUGCUUAAGAUGAGAAUGGCUAAAAAUCUGUCAUACGUUCAAAUUUUGUUUGUGUUUGGAAGAAUGGUGUUGACUGUAUAUUCGUUUGGAAGAAUGGUGUUGAUUGUAUAUUCAUUUGCUUAGCCUUUUGACAGAUGGAUUUGAAACUGACGACAAAUGUGAUUCAAUUUACAAGGUUUUCGAGGGGCUCACAGUGGAAGGGAUAUUGAAGAACUGGUCUAAGAUAAAGCCUAUGAUUGUGAAAGAUUGGAGUGAGAAUAUAGAUGCUCGUUUAAAUCUUUUUGGCAAGGUCAGAGAUGAAUGGAUAGAUAAGGAUUUAUUUGACUACUUCGUCUGGUGCUAAUAGGUAUUUUAGGCAAGCUUUUUGAGAUAACACUGAGCAAGUUAUACUACUAGUUUGCACAUGAUGAUCAAAACUCUCGAAAAGUAAAAUAAAAUAAAUUAUUAACUUUUACUUUCAUCUUUUGCAUAGCAAUCAAUGUGGUGCUUGUUCUGUGACAACUUUGAUAGUCUACUUAAUUAUUGGUUAGCAUUUGGACCAAAAAAGUUCUUAUGAUUUACAUGUUUUGUAGAAAUGCAUGAACCUUAAAUGUGCUGAUCAGGGAGUUUAAUUAUUGCACCUUGAAAUUCAUUUAUUGUUAACUAAUUGGCUUUCCUUUGCAUAAAGACGCUUAUAAGGCUUGAGUGGACGUCUUUAUGGGCAUAUUAUUUGUAUUUCUAUAUGCAUGCCUUUAUCAUUAAUUUAUGUGCUGCUUGUAUUUCUUUAUGCAUGCCUUUAUCAUUUAAUGGCCAGCUCCCUCUCCUCUUUUGUAAUUUGAAUGGUAGUAUGGGCCUCCAUUUUACAAAUCUUUAACAUUUUUUGCUGUAAAUUAAUUUUUCUUUCAAAUAUUUUGGAGGUCAUUGGAAUUCCUGUAGGUCUAUUUACCAGAUUUUAGUACGUUUAAGGUUUUAAUUUUGCUUAGACUUUAAUUUCUCUGAAAGAUUGUAGUAUUGAUCCUCAAAGAAAGAUCAUGCUACUUCAAAUUAUUUUGAAGUGUUGCUAGUUAUAGCCUUACAUAUCAAAUUCCAUUUGUCUGGAAAUUUAUUGAUAGUUGUUACAGCAGCAUAUUUUAUGACUCUACUUCUUAGUUAUGUAAGUUCAUUAUGUUUAGGUCAGAGGCAGUCAGCUGUGGGGAAUCGAUAUAUACACAGAUGACUUUGAUCUUGUUGCUGGUACGUGGUUCUAUGAAUAAUUGUUCACAAUAAUUGUGUUUGCCUCACUGUUUUUGUUUUAUGAGGUCUAUAAUUGAUCUUGAGAUAUUACUUUCUAGUUCUCAUGCAAGCAAGUUACUACCUUCCCACUGCAUCUCCUCCUUUAUCUGCUAUUCAAGAGUUGCGUGCCAUAAUCUGGUGUUACCUCUGCAAGAUUGUGAAUGAAUAUGAUGCCUCUAAAUUUAUUUUAUACAUAAUGCUGAUGCUGAAUAAUAUAUUGUAGCUCCUGUCAUAUUCUACUUUGACUUUUUAUAUUCUGUUUCAUAUAAAAAUCUUAUUCAACUUUAGUUGUUCAUGAGCAAAUGUCACAUGUAUAAGCCCAAAUGAUGCUUAAAGGUAGCGCGGCUACCUUUAGUUUGAGCCUACAAUGGAUGAAAAAGAAAUUGAAACUGAUAUUUUGCUGUUUUUCUGAUUUUUCAAAGUAUUUUAGAUCCUGACUUUUGUUUGGACUUGAUGGUUAUAGAUUGUGUCUAGAUUUGUUAAGUUGUUUCCAACACCUCGUGCCAAAUGAAAGCACAAUCUUUCUGAUUCAGAUGUCUUGUUAAUUAUGCUUCAUUUUUUUCGUUAAAGAAUGGAUGGUUGCAUGGAUUGAUGGAGUUGGAGUUCAACCAAUAAUUCUAAUUUUUUGGACUUAAAAUGCCUUUUUCUUCUGUAUAAAAACUUUAGUAAGUGCUAUUGAGUUGACAGAAGUUGAAUACUUACAGGUUGUUUCACACAUUUUAAUCGUUUUACAUAUAUGAAUUUCUGUUUUUUGAAUUGCAGAAAGGAGGUGGAACUAUUGAUUUGGAGCCUUAUCUUACUCAAUCAUCGACAGCGGAGCCUACCCUCGCUCCCAUGGCAGUGGAACGGACAACGACUACUAGGGCUGCAACAUCAGUUGGUUUGGGUCUGUUUUGAGUUUAUUGUCAUUUAUUUGGCAAUGUUUUGAUAGCGAAUUUUGAUAUGUCAAUAUAAUGUGUAAUUGUUUUGGGUUGAGCUGGUAAUUAUGCUGGAUUAGAUUGGUUUGGUUUUGGUGCUUCUCUGACGGAACACUGCUUUUUUUAGAAAUUUUGAAUGUAAUAUGAGACUACAUUUAGUUUAAUUGAACACUGCAUCUAGUCUAAUUACUAGACGUGUGGCAUUUGGUUUGGUUUAUCCGAUAUUCUCCAGAAUUUCACUUGCAUCUGGUUUUGUUGCAUAUGUUUGCUUGCAUUUGAUGGCAGUAGCAGACUGUUUGGUUUUGUGAGAUUUGAUGGCAGUUUGGUCUGUUCUUGGUGUUGAUUUAAGAUUGUUCCUGUUGUGCUGAUGUUAAUUGCAGGUGCUUGAAUCAGCUAGGGUUGCUGGUUUAUUCAGAUGGUUGACUCAGGCGUUGUUACUGGUUAAUUCAGGUGGCUGACUCAAGUUGUUCAUUUAAUGUUAGGAAGCAAAUUAAGAAUUAAUGAAGUAUUCAUUUAACUAUAAUUUUUGUAGUUAUAUUAUUUCAUAACUGAAUUAUAAUCUAUGAUACUUUUGAACAAAUUAGAGAAUUUUUAAAUAUGAAUUAAAUAUGUGUGUGUAUGUACAUUUUGCUAUUUAUAUAAUAAUUUAAAGAAUAUAUUUCAAUUCCCACAAAAAUAAUGGCUCCAAUUUCAAUAAUUCCCGCCAAAUAAUUAAAUUUUUUUAAUUUACCACCAAAGUAUAUCUUAAAGAAAUUUUAGUUAUUCUUGCUAGAUUUAACAAAAAUAAUUUGUAGGAUUAAAUUUAAUUAAAAUAAUUAAAUAAUUUUAUUAUUCCAAUUAAAAAUGUCAUGUUUAUACGACAGACAAUAGUCAUGAAUGGGAAGUAUUCGUUACAUGUUUUUCCUUGGGAUUUCAGGCAAAUGAAAAAAAGAUUGAGAAUGAUUUCAAGAGGACAGGUGGAUGAUAAGUAUUCAUUUUUGUAUAUUUGGCUAAUGUCCUCAUUAGUGGAUUUUUAUGGUAUUGAUCUUUUUUUUUUUUUAAUUUUCAAUUAGUUGCAGCCCUAGAGGAAGAGCAGGCUGAUCAAAUUGAUUUGUCUUGUUUUUGGGGCAAUCUACGACACGAUGACCGUGAUAAUGCUCGUGACUGCUGGAAACUUUCUGAUGUAAAUAACUUUAGAGUUCGUAGCAAGCAUUUUUGUUAUGACAAAACAAAGGUUCCCCCAUAUUUUGUUUAUUUGUUAUUUAUGGUACUUAUUUAUGGUAUUUAUAUAUCCUGCAUAGGCUAGGUAGACAGGUUAUGAUGUAGUUUGGUUGGCUCUUCUUGUGCUUUGUGCAAUUUGUAACUGCAGAUACCUGCGGGAAAACAUUUAAUGGAUCUUGUUGCUGUUGAUUGGUUCAAAGACACAAAGAGAAUGGACCAUGUAACUAGGCAUCAAAGCUGUGCUGCACAAGUAACUAUUCUUCUCUUUUUUAUUUUUCCUUUUCCAUUGACGGAUUAGAAGAAAAUACUGCCUGUGAGAUACUGUAAUGUAAAUAACUUCUCAUGGUUCAUUGAAUCUAUAACACACUGACCCUCUUCUAAAAAAUGUAGGUUGCUUCUGAAAAAGGGCUUUUCUCACUGAUCUUUAAUCUUCAAGUAAGUUUGUUUCAUUUCAGAAGGUAUUAAGUUUCAAACUUAUUGUAUUGGGAGGUUGUAUAGUUGUAACCUAAGCAUCUGCAGGUUCCUGGUUCAACACAUUAUAGUAUGGUAUUUUAUUUUGUCACAAGGCAAUUGGCUAUGGGAUCACUUUUGCAACGGUUUGUUGAUGGCGAUGAUGAGUUUCGCAAUAGUAGGUUGAAACUUAUUCCAUCUGUUCCUAAGGUAUCCAUCUUGGCCUUCAUGUAUUAGGACUAUAUUAAUGUAUACUUACCCUUUACUGCAUGGUACACUUCAAUUUGUCCAAAGAAGGCAUGCAUUUAGGUGAAAAUGUAUUGAUGGGUUGUACCUUCAAACUUCAUGUCCUUUUUACCCUCUUGAAUUUGUUUUGCACUUGUUCUUGAUUUUAAGCACUGAAUCAUGCAGGGGUCAUGGAUCGUGCGUCAGAGUGUUGGAAGCACCCCUUGUUCGUUAGGGAAAGCGGUUGAUUGUAACUAUAUUCGCAGUCCCAAGUACUUAGAAGUAAAUGCUCUUGGAAUUUCUAUAGUACAUGAGAUGUUCAUCUUUCAAAUAGCAUCCGAUACCAUUAACAUGGUUUAACAUUGUUCAUCUUUCUGUAGAUUGAUGUUGACAUUGGUUCUUCUACCGUUGCUAAUGGAGUUUUGGGCCUUGUAAUUGCUGUAAUUACGACAUUGGUGGUUGACAUGGCUUUCCUUGUACAGGUAUGUAUGAUUGUUUUUUUCCCCCACUUCUAAAUGGACACAAGGGAAAAGACAUGAUUUUGAGAUAUUGCACUGCAAUUUGCAUUUUUGCAUACUUGAAUGUUCUCAGAAUGGUAUAAUGCUUCGUGUGUGUCUUCUUUAUCUUGCUCUUCUGUAUGCAGGCAAAUACUGCAGAUGAAUUACCGGAGCGGCUGAUUGGUGCUGUAGGUGUUUCUCAUAUAGAACUCAAGUCUGCUGUUGUCCCAAAGUUGGAACCAGAGAUAUCAUGACUGUGGUUUCAUUUCACCUCAACUGUGUUUUUUUUUUAAUUAAAAAAAAUCAUUUGUUUUAGGUAUAUACAUACAUGUAUUUUGAUUCGAUUUUCAUUGUAAUUUCUCAUUUACUUCGAAUGAAAGUCAUUGGUGUUUUCGAAUGGGGAUUUUGCAUUAAAAAAUGAACAAUAGUGAAUAGGAAAUUUCCUGAUUCUUUAGUUACUAUUUUUGGUACGAGUGUAAUUAGUAGUAAAGUUGGUUUCUACUCGCAAACAAGUAAACUGCUCGAUUCCCGAGUGGUAUCAACCAGUUUCCAACUUUUUAAUAUACACUAAUUGUUCUUGUUUAAGAGAUACUACUAUUAAAACUCAACAGCUAACAAAAUUACUCAAAAAAGAUGAUUUUUCUUAUGAUGCUGUGAAGAAAAUUACGGGUUUACUUCUCUCCACGAGAUCUAUAACAUGGUUUUGACUUCACGAAAUUCUUUUAAUUUAAAGCAUGCUGGUGUGAGAAGGUCAGUUUGACUGAUUGAUUCUUCAAAAAUAUUCUUAUUCUGAUAUUGUCACAAAUGUUAUGCUGUUUCGGCUAAUGAUCUCCUAUUAGGAGAGGUUAGAAAUCAAAUGCUUAAAAGACCGAUUGAACGAAUAAUACAGAAAAUUUAAGCAGAAUCUAAUCGAAUAUUGCAUGAAACAUGAAACAUCAAUUCAAGUCCUUUCUUAAACGGAGAAUGCAUCAAACAAAAUCUAAAGUGUCUUGCACGUCUGUAGCAUGAGCAAAAAAUUGUAAAUAUGUAGAACCAAAUUAUUCAAGUACAGAAGAACGAGCAAGCUGAAUCAUGUAUUAGAGAUUGGCCUGGUUCGGGAUAGCUUCUUCACUAUACCUGAAUAAUUUGCUAAAUAGCACCAAAACUUAAUUGAUACUUACCAUUUCAUUGAACAAUUUUUUUAUGGUGUCAUUGAGGUUGCCUUCCCAACAUCCUUCAUCAUCAUCAUCUUUUUCUUCUUCGGUGACGUUCACUUUGUUUAGCAUUGGUGUGUCUAAGACUCCUUGAGAGAAGAUCUUCAUUUUUGGACACUGUCUCACAACUACUUGUUUCAAGGACGGGAAUUCAAGAGCGUAAUUACCCAAACAAAAGCUUGUUAGGCUUGGCAAACAAUCAAGUCCUAAGUACUCCAAUUCCUCGAAACCAUUGCAAUCUUUCGCUUCUUCUCCAACCUGCGAUUGUAUGAUUUCUUCUAUCAUUUUGCAAUCAGCUAUCUUCAUUCUUCCGAGAUUAACCAGAUUUUUAGAUGCUGAGAGCGUCAACACAUUUAUCAACCCGUGACACUUCGAUACUUCCAGUCCCCACAUAUUUUCCAAAUGCCACGAAGGUGGUACUAAUUUUUGCAACUUACUACAUUCCGAUAUUUCUAGACUUCCCAAGUUUGCAAACGCUUUGUUGGAUUCGUCAUUUUCCUUCCAGAUAUGCUGCACUUUGUGUAAUCCAGAUAGUGUUAACCAACUCAAUUUAGGGAAUGCAACCUGAAAAUCAACAAAAUUAAUUAAGUUGUAAAUGAAAAUAUGUAUCCAAUCUCUGGAGUCUUCCCCUGCAUAUUUUAUGGACAAGAUUAAUCACGGCAUUUUAUAUUUUUUUUCCAAAUUAGUAUGCUUUGCAGUAGGAUCCCAAAUAUAAGUAUCAAAUCGAUUACCCUUUGAAACACAUAAAUGAAAUCUGAUCCUAAAUCCAAUAUGAAUUAACACGCAUAAUUAAUAUAGUUCAUCACCUCAUGUCACUAGGCAUCUAAUUAAUUUGAGACAUUUUAAUAAUUUAUACUAUAAAGUUAGUUAAUAACUGCGGUUAUAUUGUUAAAUCAUAUAUAAAUUAAGACGACAUGCAAAAAGAUGAGUCAUUAAAUUUGAUUUGAUUCUAAUGAAAUUACAUCUAUGCGAACGAAAGUGAUGGGAAUAAUCAUCAUCAUCAUAAUAAUAAUAAUAAUAAUAAUAAUAAUAAUCACCUUUUCAUCGAAGAGAGGUUGUAGUUGAUGAGCCAGCAAGAAGUUCUCUUCUGAUGUUAAUUUCUGAGGUUCCUUGUUAUCUGUUGUCACGUGCACUACAGAUGUAGAAUUGGAUAUGAAUGUUUCCUUAUCAGGGCAAUUCUCAAUAGUUAGAUAGUCCAACUCAGGCAGUUCAAUUAUAUUCCCAGUGAAGUUGCAGAAUCUUUUGAGUUUUGGAAGAUCAAUGAGCCUUAGAUUGGAAAGCUUAGGAAACAUGGGGCCUAUAUGUUCUUCCUUGGCAUUUAGCUCUUCCAAAUGAAGCACCUCUUCUAGUGAAUCACAAUUCGUCACUGUCAGGUAUUGCAAAUUGUUCAAGCACCGUAGCAGAUUGGCAGGAAUAGCACUCGACAUAUUCGUGCAGUCAUCCACCACCAGGUCACUUAAAUUGUUGAAGAAGCUGACAGGCAGUGCUUGGCCAUGCCAUAUUUCUUGCAAACGUGGAAAAUGCGAGAGUUGCAAAUACUCUAUAUCACGGAAUCCAAUCUGCACAAACCAAAACUAUUGCACUGGAUAUAUACAAUUUUUUUUAAAGGCAUUAGAUAUAUAUAUAUAUACACACACACACACAUUAAACUUACAUGUUUUGUGUUUUAACUUCUAAAACUACAUAUACAAGGUAGGUGUAUAUGUUUAAAUGUGCAAGCGUAGGGGAGAUGCAUGAACAAUUUGGGUGAAUCGAUUAACACAGACCAUCUUUUUGUAACAUAUUUUUAAAUGUGCAAGUGCAAGGGAGAUGCAUAAGCAAUUUGGACGAAUCGAUUAACACAUACCAUUUCUUCGUAGCCCUUUUGUAUAAAGGAAUUAAGGUUAUCGCCUUCCCGAUGGUACAAUUCACCCUCUUCCUUUUUACUAACUUGCACUUUGCAUGGCUUUGGAAUGGAUAAGAUUCCGUGAGAAAAAGUCUUCAUGUUCGGACAAUGUGUCACAGAAACUCGUUCCAGUGAUGGGAAUUCAAGAGUAUAAUUCUCCAAACAAAAGCUGGUAAGCCUUGGUAAAUCAUCAAGUAUCAAAACUUUUAAUUUACUGAAAGCAAUAUGAUUCUCCUUCGCUUCUUCUCCAACAUGUCUUAUGAUUUCUUCUAAUUUUGUGCACUUCGAUACAUUAAGAUUCACCAGACUACUAGGAAUUCCAACCUGAAAAUAAGCAAAAGUGUGUGUAUAUUAAAAAAGUAAAAAUGUAAGAAUAUCAUUCAACUAGGUUCAAAGUAUGUUUAAUCAUACAAUUAUACGUUUUAUAAACAUAACAAACCAUGAAAUGUCUACUAGAUAAUUUUUUAUUAAACAAAAAAAGCAACAAGAUAAAUAAAUAAAUAAAAGCCAGAUAAACAAAGAUAAUAAAAAUGCAUUUACACUAUUUACUAUUGGGAACGUAGAAAGAAUUUAAGGCAAUUUCUAAAUAUUUUAGACUUAUUUUGCAUCUUGAUAUCAGUUUUUAAGCAUAAAUUUACAAAUUUCAACUAUUCCUUUUAGGGAAAAAAAAUUCAACCAAAAUGCCGCUUUUUCCCUUUUCCUUGGUCCCUUUUUUUAUGUACAUUUAAAAAUGGAAAAAAAAAAUUGGAAAAGACUUCCCAAUAUUGUCAAUAAGGGACUGCUGCUGUAAAGUGGAUCUUUAUUAAGUACUUCCAGACUCAAGGAAAUUUCUUUACAAUCACGGGUCAGUUGUAAAUAAUCAUGAAUUUGUGGUUAAUUAAUGGCAUAAUCAAUUCGUAACUAAACAAGAGAUAUUAAUUAAAUUUGAAGACUUUUAUUUUCUUUUUUUCUUUUUCCAAUCGAAAUGUGAAGAAUUAAGGAAAAGAGAAAUAUAUAGAUGAAUUUGUGAACCUAUAAGAUGAGUGACGAUCCUUUAAUUUUUGAAAAUCGUACUUAUUAAGAUAUGAGCAAAAACUAUUUAAUUGAAUUAUAUUAUGCUGUUGAAUCGUGUUUAAAAAAUUUAUAUUGUUGAUUCUAAUGCUGACGAACCUAAAAACUGGACCUAAAACGUAGAUUUCAGAGUGGUGGUUCGAAGUACGAUACUUGAAAUAAAUAAUCAGUGGCUGAAUAUCAUUUGUAAACAAAAAAUGGUUAAAAUAUUGUUGGAUGUAAUUUGAAAAAAAAAAAAAAAGAUUCGAAAUGAAUACACUCAAAUAUCUCCAAAUUCUUCAAUUUGCUGAAAGACUCCAAAGCAAGCUGGUGGUGCCAUAUUCUUCUCAAAUUAUCCAUCGACCUAAUACGUAAUACCUCCAAACUAGGAAGUCGUACCUGGCAGUUAAAGAUUAAAUAACUAAUUAAUCAAUUAAUGGCAUAAUCAAUUGAUAACUAAAUUAGAGGCGGAUAUUAACUAAAUUUGAAGAAGACUCACGGAAAAGACAAAUUAAAUAUUAUGACUAAAAUUAAUUUUUUUUAUUAAAAAAAAAACCUUUUCGUCAAAGAGAGGAGGAGGUUGCAUUUCAGAAUGAAUGGUGUCUUCUGGUGAGCUCGUAGAGAUGAAUCUUAACAUAUUACUGCAACUCUGAAUCUCGAGCUUUAGCAAAGAAGGGAAUUCAACGACUAAAUCUGAAUGAAUAUGUCCCGUAUUGGCAAAGCUUGUUAGUUCAUAAAGCGCUUCUAGCUGCAGGGAGUGUAGCUUAGGAAAAACCUUUAAUUCAAUCAACUUUCCUUCAUCUCUUUCUGACCACCCCGUGGUGUCGACUACCCCUUCCAUUGAAUCACAAAGCCUUAUCUCAAGAUGUUGGAGUUGCAUCAGACGAUUACAAUUCCCCACGUACAGCUUUGUUAAAUUUUGACAACAGUACAUUCCUUGAUUAUGAUCGGCCCAUAAUUUUUUCAUGUUUCUUAAGUCCCAGAGAUUCAAUUCCUCUAAGCUCGGAAGAAUAACCUGCAAAGAAAACCCGUACAUUUUUGUUCCUUCAAGUACAACCGUCUAGUAUAAUAUUCUUUUGAUGAUCGAAGAUUAAUCGUGAUAAUAAAUUAAUCAAUUAAUUAUUGAACAGAAAAUUAUCACCUUUGGAGCAGUAUCAUCAUCAGCAAUGAUUUCGUUGAAUCCCAAAGAAGUUGUUGGUUUCUCCCUGUCGGGUCCUAUAAACAAACAAAAACAAUAUACAUAAUUAAUCUUUGUCGUUGUCUUUUUUUUUUCAAAAUAAUUGAGGCGAAGUCCAUAAAUCCACCAACACUUAACUUCAACACUUACCAACCAUCAUUUCCAGAUCAUGGCAAAAAGCCACUUUGACCUUUUGAAGCCGCAGUAGGUUUUUGGCUAUGGAGAAUGAGAAAAGAUGCUUUAAUUUGUGACAGGAUUGUACUCCUAUAAUCCUUAAGUUGCUGAAAGAUUGAUCUUCUGUGAGUUGGCUGUCACAUAUUGUCUCCAAAUUGUUCAAAUUGCGAAGAGACAAUGACACCAGCAAGGGGAAGACUUUGCGACGAACCCGUCCAACUGAACCGACAAUAUGCAAAAUCUCAGAACAACUUUCUACAGAAAGAUGCUUCAAUCGUGGAAAACCUUCCCCAUCAUCUAAUUCAUGAACAACAUUCUGAACACCCUUCAGUUCGUUUAGAUGGAUCUCUUCGGCUUCCUUCAGCAACAUUUUCGUCCCAUAAUUCUCCAAAAGAGUGCUAACAUUUUCUAGCCCAUGGAGCCCCACCAAUCUUGAUGUUUCAGAAUUAACGGGCCAAAUGCGCCACCACGCUUCUCCUAUACAUAUCUUAUAGCUUUGCAAUUCCACAGAGACCCAAUCCUGCGGCAGAAUUUGGGCAUCCGGAACUUGUAUAUUCAAAGUAGUUAGCUUUGACAGCCCCUUCAAUUCAGCAAGACUGGCGUUACUUCCUCCUUCAACCUUAUCCCACUGCGAAAAGCUGUCACCCAUAUAUAGUUCUUCCAAUCGAGAAAAUUUUGAUAUGACAUUUGGUGCUAUCACUACAAGGCUCCUACAAUUGCUCAAAUCUAGCAAUUGUAACCGCGUCAAUUGUCCAAUUUCAAGCGGUAACUGCUUAAUGUCGGAACCUCGAAAGCUAAGAAUCUCUAAUUUCUUUAGCUGUCCAAUUGCCGCUAUAUCUUCUAGUUGGCACCAGUCUAAACACAAUGUUUGAAGGUUAAUGAGGCGACCAAGUGAUGAAGGUAAUGAAGAGAAAGGAAUUCUAGUAAGAGUUAAAACUUUGAGUUCUUCUGUCCCUUCAAAAAAGAGGUCUGAAAUUUGCAUUGAGCUAUAACGCUUUGAAAACAACAAAAGUAACUGGAGACGGGGACAUCCCAACCUUUCGGGAAGCUCUUGAAUAUCUCUCUGGGGUAAUGAAAUGGCAAUUGGAUCUUUCCGUAUUGUCUCUUCCAUCUUUUUCUCCACGUCAUCAACAUUUGGAAUAUUAAACAUGCGCUCCCCUGCAGCAAUUGAUACAGCAACAACAUGAAUGACGUCAUGCAUUUUAACUUCAUCUUCAGCAUCACCGUCCAACAAUAAGCAUGAAGAUUUGAGAUUGUCGAUCAACCGAUGCACUCUACUCCUUGCUUCUUCCAAUGUGUAAACAUUUUCAAACAAACCCCAACCCACGCCAUAUCUCAAUAAGCCAGAAACUUGUAUCGCAUGACCUUCACUGUACAGACCACAAAGACGGAACAGAGGUUUUGCCUCCGCACUUUCCAAAAAGUCGUAACUCAAUUUUAUGGAGGUGUACACAUUUGCUUUCAUGCCAUGAAUUUCUCUUGCAUGCGAUCUUCUUAGCUGAUUCAAUGCAUCUUGCCAAAAGUAACGCUCCUUAUUUUUCAGAGCAUUUGCAACUGUACUCAGUGCAACAGGCAAACCUCCGCAUUUUUCAACGAUCUCAUUUGCUGUACUUUGAAAAUCAGAUAUUUUAGUUGAAUCACCCACUAUCUUCUCAAAUAACUGCAAUGCUUCUUCUUUCGAUAAAGCAUCGAUCCAGAAAAUUUUCUGACAAUUCAUAUCAUUGCACAAUAAAUCUCCACUUCUAGACGUCAAUAUUAUUGUGCAUCUUCUCUGAUCAUCCUCUCUAUCUUUCUCAUCAACAUCCCCAGAAGGAAUUCCAACUUCAUCGAACUUCAGUUCUCUCCAAAUGUUAUCCAAUAUAAUCAGGACCCGCUUCUCUUUCUUCAAUACUCGACGUAGUCGAUUUGCUCUGUCGAAUAUAUUCUCAUUCAACUCAAACUUUAUGCCUAAAUCAGAAGCAAGUUUGUCUUGAAUUUUCUGAUGAUCUGGGUUCUCUGUUAUCUCAGCCAUAGCGACCUUAUCGAACCACUUAUCUUCCAUCACUUGCUUUGCAACUUGCUUUACGAGCGUGGUUUUACCCACGCCGCCCAUCCCGUAGACCCCAAUUAUGUUGAGCUUAUCAUCCCUCAACGCCUCCAUAACAUCUUGAAAUACUUUCAUUCUUGAGUCAAAGGCCUCGAAAUCUUUCACUUGCAUGUGUUCUACCAGCUUUGGAGUAGGACGGUGGGAAACAUUGGAGAAGUUGCCUUUUCCCAUGAGACUAGC
This 144276-nucleotide long non-coding RNA is filed under the name Citrus x clementina. RNAcentral's name for it is "Citrus clementina (C. clementina) long non-coding RNA (CCLE_LNC002796)". Lineage: Eukaryota; Viridiplantae; Streptophyta; Magnoliopsida; Sapindales; Rutaceae. The record is from RNAcentral.